Molecule: long non-coding RNA, 95454 nt
Filed under: Vitis vinifera (wine grape)
Lineage: Eukaryota; Viridiplantae; Streptophyta; Magnoliopsida; Vitales; Vitaceae
Description: long non-coding RNA (VVIN_LNC002842)
Source: RNAcentral
AAGUUGGUUUCUAUGUUUAGGGAAAUAUUAUUUUUGAAGGGCUGAUGAUGAUGAUGAUGAUAAUCAUGAUUGGUAAGGGAGGACAGGCAAAAUGGUUUUAACUGUCACAGAAGAGUCAGGAUGGUAGUGUGUUACUUUUCUUUAUACCUCUUUUUAGAACAGCUCUGUUCCUAAUUUCCUUGUAACCUUAUCCUUUUUUCCAUUAAAAGCAAGGAGAACAUGUUCAUCAAUUUUGGGUAUUUUGGCUGUCCAUCAGUGUGGAGCUUUGUAGUUUUUGUUUGGGUUAAAUGCGUGCAGGGCCUAGGUAGAUGGAAAAUGAUGCCGGUCUUUUUAACUCUUGGAUUUUAGCUUUAUCAUCUCCAAAUUUUUAAAAAAUAGAUAUCUAAGGUAUGUUUGUUAAAUGAUGUCUAACUGUUUUAUUAGUAGUUGAUUUUAGUGAAUUAUAACUUUUAUUAAUAGUUUAUUAAUAGUGAUUGAGACAGGCAUUGUUGACCUCUCUUUUUUUUCUUUUAUUUCCCACUGCUUCAAUUCAUCCAAACGUAAAAUAGCCAAUUCCUACAGCUUUGGGAAUACUGUGUUGAUGAUGAUCCCAAAAACUCACUACCUAUGUAUUGCACACCAUACAUAGAGCAUAUAUCCAGCUUCUCAAGGACAGGCAGCUGCCCCAAAGGAGGCAAACAUGGACAUCUUAAGCAAGAGUCGAGGUAAAGUAUUUUCAGGUGAGCUAAUGAUGAACCCAUCAUCCAAUUGGGCCACUCUCUAUCACUAUAAUCGAAUAUACGUAGAGAUUUCAAGUUUGGAUGGGGUUGUAGAGCUUCAGCCACACCCUUGGUCCCCUCCUUUCUACCAAAUUCCAAAUCCAAACGUUGGAGGAUUCUUAUUCUUCAAUUCUGCUUUUUCUGCCUCCCCAGCAUCUUUCACUUCAUCCAACCCUUCAACGGAAAGACGUCCUCUUAGGUUGUUCAAGUUUCUCAGGUCUCCUAGUUGGCAUUCAUCAUUGCCAUGACUACUCACAAUGAAAACAUCGAGUGUCUGAAGAGAGCUUAAUCUUCCAAUUCCUUUUGGUAAGCCCUCUAGAGUACCAUAACUUUCAAGAUGCCUCAACUUUUUCUCCACUCCUCCCGUGAAACGCUAUGGUACUGAACAAUGACCGGCAUUGCUCAUUGGACAGUUCUCCUAAGGGUUGCUUGUACGUGCUUCCCAUGAUUGUAGAAACGUUUUCGUUUCGUGUGGUCACCAAAAUUCUACUUCCCGGUGCCCCACUCUUGAGAGAACUCUCUACUUGUUCCCACAAUUCAUAGUUUUCAGUCCAAACAUCGUAGCACAAGUAGGAACUUCUUAUCGGCAAUAAGUGUGCGAAUUUUUUGUUGUACAGCUUCCAGCUCAUGGAAACCAGAAGACUCUUUCUGGAGGGCUUCAAGAAUAGCCUAGAAAUCCUCAUUGGGUCAAAAGGAUCAGACACACAGACCCACACCCUUUGAUGGAAAUAGGCCUUCACCUUUUCGUGGUUGUAUGCUAAUUAAGCAAGAGUUGUUUUGCCUAUCCCUCCCAUCCCAACUAUGGAGAUGCUUUCUCGGGAACUCCCAACCAACAGCUUCUCUAUUAUAAUGCCAACAUUAUACAAUUAAGUACCUUUGGAGUUUCCCAUUUUUUUUCUUUUAAAUUAGAAACUUUUAUAUAAAUAGAUAUCUGGUAUAAAAAGUAUAAAUUUACUUUAUAUUUUUUAAAUUCAUUUUAAAAAAUUUUAAAUUUUGAGAUAGUAAAUUUUCUUUAAUAUUUCAAUUUGUUAAAUUAUCAGAGUUCUUAUAUCUUAUAUAAAGAAACUACUAUUUUCUAAUUUUAUAAAUAAAAAAAAAAGCAUUUUAUAAAACUAAAAAGUGUAUCCAAACAAACACUAAGAACCUAUUUGGUCAUUUGAUUUAAAAACAAUUUUUUGUUUUUAAAUAACAAAAAACUAUUUUUAAAAUUUUCUAACAUUGUUUUAUCGUUAUUCUCUGAAAACAUUUUUUAAAAACAAAAUGAAAUAUAUAACAAUUUUUAGAGAACAAAUAAGAGUUGUUUUCACCAAUUUUUAAAAACAAAGGAAAACAUGAAUCCAUUUGAUCAUGUUUUCUGAAACUUGUAAUUAAAAAUUGUUUUUAAAUUAAAGAAUAAAAAACAGUUUUAAAAAAUAAGUUUCAGAAAACAUGGUCAAAUGGACCUUAAGUGACUUGAUAAUACCUCACAUUUAUUAGGCAAAGCCCCCUCUAGGAGAAAAUUUUUGUUGGAAUCAUAACCAAGCAUUUGAAACCUUUGCAUUGAAAUUUCAAGAACAUCCCACUUCAUCCAUUAGGUUAACAAUAGAUAUGUCCUUACAACAAAUCAGAAGAAACAUCAUGCAUGCAUGCAUGCAAGUUCCCAUCAUUCGCAAACCAUUUAUGUUGUAGGAAAUAAAUCCAAACAAUAAAGUUGAAGUUUACACAUUCUUACAUAUAUAGGCAAACCAAUAAAAGGGGAAAAGAAAAAGAGAAAAUUUUUUUACAAAUCACCAAUUUGAAAUUGAUUCAUAGACAACUUCACAAUACAUAGGUGUUGGGAAUUUUCUCCUCUUUAUUUGAACUUGCUUCUCUGAAACGAAAAACAAUAAAAUUAAGAUGGAAAAGAGAUAAGGAAAGUCAAGACAGAAAUAAAGAUAAAAGCUUGCAAGUAAAAAUGACAAAUAAUAAUAAUAAUAAAUGAUGCCUUUGGAUAUAAUUUUGAGACAAUAAUCAAGAUGGUCUUUAUUGAUAAGUUUUGAAAUUUUCUUUGCAAUAUUUUGAGCAAAUAAUCUAAUAGGUUAGGCUAUUAAAAUAUUAAUUAGUUAACAUUUAGAUCAUGUUUUUCAUUUGUUUCAUUUCUCAUUCAUUAAUGUAUUUGAAAUAUUAUUUUUACAAUUUAUAUAUAUACCCAUGGGCCUGAAACCUAAUCAAUCAUGGUGCCCAUACCACUAGAAAAGGGGAAACACUAGGCCCAUGGCCCAACAAAAGUCUACUUUAAGCCGAAAACCCUCAGCUCCACCAGAAAAGAGGGAACACUAGGCCCAUGCCCAACAAAAAGUGUACCCUAAAAUAAAAUGGAAUUUGAUAAUAUAUAACAUUAUAUAGUAUAUAUAAAGUCUAAAGAUCACAUAUGACCUAUGGAUAUCUUCUACAUGGCUGUUGGAGCUUUUUCAAGGUAUUUGAUCAUGUAACAAAACACUUUUAGAAUAGAAAAGGUUUCAAGUUUAGAUGAGGUAUUUUUGAAGAAAAGUUUUUUUUUAAAGAUUUGUCUAAUUUUAUUUUAGAAUUUUGCAAGGUGUAGAUAUUAUAGGAUAAACACUUUAGUAACAGUGUAAAUGUGCCAAAAUGGACCUAUGGAUACAAUAUAAUAAUGUUAUGCAAAAUGGAAAGCUACAGAAAAAGAAAAUCUAUGGAAUAGAUUAAUGUGUGCGAUUAUGGAUGCAAUGGAAAUGAAAACUAAGAUAAAUUCUAAUUACCUGUAACAAGAGCGACAUGAGGUGAAACGUGAUGACCAUUCAGUCUGAUGAAAAUUCGAAUUCUGGGAUAUGAGAUAUUUUGUGUCGAUCCUCUCCAAUAUCCUUUCGAUAGCGUCGUUUCAGAAUAGGAGAAGAUCUGAUGUUCAAUGUCUGCAAUGUUGUCCUCUGGAGCACGUGGUCUGGCAGUCCCUCUAGCUUUGGGCAGCCUCUCGUACUCAAAUGAUUGAGACAUGGCAUUAUUGACCUCUCUUCUUUUUCUUUUAUUUCCCAUUGCUUCAAUUCAAGCAAGCCUAAAAUAGUCAAUUCCUUCAGCUUUGGGAAUACUGUUGAUGAUGAUCCCAAAAACUCACUACCUAUGUAUUUCACACCAUACAUAUUCCGUAUCCACAGAUUCUCAAGGACAGGCAGUUGCCCCAAAGGAGGCAAACAUGGACAUCUUAAGCAAAAGUCGAGGUUAAGUGUUUUCAGUUGAGCUAAUGAUGAACCCAUCAUCCAAUUGGGCCACUCUCUAUCACCAUAUUCACAUAUACAUAGAAAUUUCAAGUUUGGAUGGGGUUGUAGAGCUUCAGCCACACCCUUGGUCCCCUCUGUACCAAAUUUCAUUGUCAAAUCUUGGAGGUGUACCUUAUUCUUCAAUUCUGCUUUUUCUGCCUCCCCUGCAUCUUUCACUUUAUCCAACUGUUGAAUGGAAAGAUGUCCUCUUAGGUUGUUCAAGUUUCUCAGGUCUCCUAUUUGACAUUCAUCAUUGCCAUGACUACUCACGAUGAAAACAUCUAGUGUCCGAAGAGAGCUUAAUCUUCCAAUUCCUUUUGGCAAGCCCUCCCGAGUAUCAACAAAACCAUUUUCAAGAUGCCUCAAAUUAAUUAGUUUACCCAUUGCCUGUGGUAGUUUCUGAAGACUUUCACAUACUUGAAUAUUUAAGGUUUGCAAAUUAUAUAAAUCACAAAUUGUUUCAGGCAACUCUCUCAAACUAAGACACAAUGAUAGAUUAAGGUAUCUUAAAUGUAUCAAUUUUCCUACCUCCCUAGGAAGUUCCUCAAUCAACUGAUUGCUGCUCAAAUCCAAUGCCUUGAGACAUGUCAAAUGCCUUAACAAAUUAGGUAAGGCUUUAAAAACUCUUGAAUUGAAUGCUUCCUUAGCCAAGAGGGUGUGUAGAUUCUUCAUGUUAUAAGUGGAGGUGAAAUUAGGGGUACUCUCUCGGACAACUAAGGUGGUAUGGCGAAUCUUUUUGAAGGAUAAGUCUAUGCUCUCCAUUUGUUGGUUGUCAACCUCCACAAUAAAGCAUUCAUUCUGAGUCAAAAAUUGAGCAAAAUCAUGCACUAUAUCAUGCAUCUUACAACGUAUUAUAUUACCAUCAUCAUAUUUUUCAAAAUCUUGGAAGAAAGACCGAGCAGCUAAAUAUUCAAAGUACGUUCUCCCAACCAUCUCCAUCUCUUUUCUCCCAUCAGAUUUGAGAUAGCUUUGUGCCAUCCACAACUUGAUCAGCUCAUCUCUCUCAAUAACCGAGUCUUUUGGAAAAACAGCACAAAAUGAGAAGCAGCGUUGAAUUGCAGGGGGCAGAUCAUAAUAACUCAACAACAAAGCAGGGGAAAUAUCUCUCUCAAACUCAUCUAGCUGCCAUACUUCACUAUUCAAUACGUUCUUCCAUUCUUCCUCGCUAUUUUUUAUGCGCAAGAGAUUCCCUAAAGUUUUUAUAGCGAGGGGCAAGCCCUUGCAUUUGUCUGCUAUUUUCUCACCAAUUUCUUUUAAUUCUUCCUCUUUCUCCCAACUACUCCUUUCAUAGAAAGCUAUUUGAUGGAAUAAUGCCCGAGAUUGCUCCAAAGACAGCUCCCCCAAGGGAUGCUUGUACGUAGUUCUCAUCAUCUUAACAACACUCUCUUUGCGUGUGGUCGCCAGAAUUCUACUACCUGCUGCUCCGCAGAGGAGGGUGUUCUUCAGUUGUUCCUACAAUUGAUUGUCUUCACUCCACACAUCAUCUAGCACAAGAAGGAAUUUCUUUUCGGCAAUACGUGUUUUAAUUUCUUCUUGUACAGCGUCCAACUCAUGGAGAUCACAAGGCUUUUUUUGGAGGGUUUCAACAAUAGCCCUACAAACUCUGAUUGGGUCAAAAGGAUCAGAAACACAGACCCAUAUUCUCUCAUUAAAAUGGGCCUUCACCUCUGAAUGGCUGUAGGCUAAUUGAGCAAGAGUUGUUUUGCCCAUGCCUCCCGUCCCAACUAUGGAGACGAUGUAGAGGCCAGAUUUCUCUUGACACUUCUUACCCAACAAAUGGUCUAAUAUGAUUUUUUUAUCCAUAUCCCGACCGUACACCUCUGAAAUAUCAAUUGCAGAGGUAGUUAUAAGUCGCUGUGGUCGCUCCUCACUCCUACUAGAGACAAAAUUAAAUCUAAUUCUCUCCCUUUCAAUAUCAUCUAGUUGUUGUUUAAUGCCCUUAAUCUUAAGAGCAAUGUCACGACGAGAAGCAACUUGCUUGAAACAGAUGCAAGGGGAGGGCAUACAGAAGCUUACCUUCUUCUUAGACGUGGAAGCAUUUUCAACUCUCUCCAUCUGGAAUUGAAGAAUAGCAAUGCUCCACUCAUCCAGCGCGUCCUCCAUUUCGUAGGCCAUGUCUUUGAGCCUCUCCAACCAACCUCGGACAGAUUUUUCCUUCACUUGUCUCUUCUCGGCAUCUUCAAGAACAUCUCGGACGGAGCAGAGUGUGUUUUUGAGGCUUUGAAUUUCUGAUUCAACACCCAGAACCAGAGAAACUUGUUCAUGAAUAUGCUGUUCAACAACCGAAGUUAAGCGUUCCAGCACAAUAGAAACCAGGACAUCAGCCAUGGGAGGGUGAAGAAGGUUGGAUUGAUGAAUGAAGAAGAAUGGAGGAUGAAUAAAGGCGAGUGAGACGAAGAGAUCAGAUCUGCAGCUUUUGUGAGGUCUAUCCUUUUGUAGGACGGUGGGGCCAGAGGGAUGCAUUAUUGAGGCUUUAGGAGCUACUUUAUUUGGAGCUUUGCUUUAUACGGUUUGUAUUAUAUGAGGCUAGUGGGGUUACUUUAUUUGAAUCAUCGAGGCUUGCUUGAUAUGCAUGAUUGAGGCUGGUGGGGUCAUUAAAUAAUCGUACAUAGCUUUGAAUCAAAAUCCAGAUAAAUUAAUCCCAUCAUCUGACUGAAUAUUCAGCAUAUUAAAAUACCCUUCAUUCAAUUAUUAUGGCUCCUUACAAUUAAACUAAUUAGUAAUUGGUUCCAAGUCUCCAUUCACCAUGGUUGAUAAAUUUAACAAAAUAAUUCAUUGUUCUUAUUAAAUAUGUACAAUUCACUUUUCACAAGUAAGGAGCAACUUAUUAGUGCAACAAUUAAGCAAAACACAGUCCGUCAAAUUCAUAGGAAAUGCUGCCAAUUUAAAAAGAGUUAUUCACCACCCUAAUAAUAAUUCAUACACUAUCACAUGUUACAUGUCAAGAGAAAAAAUAAAUUCUUUACUACUCUUUUCCCUUCUCUAGCAUUUUCCAACCCCCUAUAAGUUACAAAACACAUUCGCAUAUAAACUAUAUAUAUAUGAAAUAAGAAAAAGGAGGUACAAGAACAAAAUGAUUAGCCAUAUAAGGAAAAUUAGUUUGUUGAUACCUAAACUCUUACAUCUCACAACUCACAACUUAGUUCUAUGCUUCCAUCGUUGAGAAGUUUAGAGCAUCUUUUAUUGUCCUACUUUACUUUUUUCUUUGCAUAUAGAUAGUUAAUCAAACUUAGAUAUUUGUUAAUGUUUGGAACUUAAAGUGCUUUAUAAAGCUUUAAUUGGAAGUAUACAAUAAUUUAUUCCAUAUUUCUUUUUUCUGAAUCCUAAAUGAAUUAAAAAUUAUGUAAAUUUGUACUUUUAUGCGAGUUCUCACCACUUUUUUUGAAGAAAGGUUAAGAGAAUAACAUUUUUUUUGUUUAUUUUUAUCUUUGUGUAUAAAUUUGUGCUAUUGUGCAAGUUUUCACUAUUGGACUUUUGACUCACAUUUUUUUGUUUAAUAAUAAUAAUAAUAAUAAUAAUAAACAAAUAUAUUAUUAUAAAUCGGUUAGAAUAAGUGAAAUUAUGAUUAGAAUACAAAUAAUGUAACCAAAGUGUGGAAAUCAUGAGAAUGGUACAAAAUAUAUUAUCAAUGUAUUAUGGUAAAAAAUUUGUGACAUUGAUAUGAAAAAGCAAGCAAUGUAUAGGAUACAAAGUAUAUGAUAAGGGUAAAAAGAAUGUGAUUGAAGUACUAAAAUACACUUAAAUUAGUAACAUGACUUAGGUAUGAAAAUUUUGAUCAAAUUAUUAAAGGUAUAAACAUUGUUAUCUAGGUAUCAAAAAUGUGAUUAAGGUACUAAGGUAUGAAAAAUAUCACCUAAGGUAUUAAGGUACAAAAAAUGUUUUAAGUAUAAAUAAUGUGACUAGAGUACUCACAUACAAAUAUAUAGUACAAGUAUGAAUAAUGUGAAAAUUUUCUGAAAAAUAUGAUCUAGGUACGAAUAACCAAUUUAAUGAUGAGAAAUGUGACUAUUAUGUGAAAUAUGUUGACUAAUCUAUAAUAAGGUACAAAAAAUGUUACCAAGGUACCGAUACAUAAAAAGUGCGAUGUAGAUAUAAAUAAUAUAACCAAUUACUAUUAUAUUAUAAAGCUUGAAUCAAUCUUGUUAUCCCAUGUAAGGGGUAAUAGGGGUUGAGUUUGCAAGAGUUUAAGGGGGGCAAUACCCCUUGGAUUUUUUUAUUUUUUUAUUUUUUAUUGAAUGACGAGUUUGCUCCUAUUAUAUUUAAUUAUUGUAUUCUUAAGUGUUAGUAUACUUUGUAUAUAUAAGAAUCACAUUGAUCACUUAAUAACAUUAGAAAUCUCGUCUUUUCUUUAUUUCCACUCGUGUGUGUGGUUUGAUUAACAAUUACAAAACAUGCUAUUGAUUUAUAAAAAAUGUGAGUAGGUUAGUAAGGUACAAAAAAAUAUUAUCUAAGUAUGAAUAAUGUGAUGAAAUUAUAAAAAAUAUGACUAAGGUAUACUGAGCUAAAAAAAAAAAAAAACCAAAGUUAUAAGGCAUAAAAAGUAUGUUCUAGAUAUGAAUAUUAAUGUAACUAUGAUGGAAAGAAUACGAACCGGGUAUUAAGGUACAAAAAAGGUAACCUAGAUAUUAAGAUAAAAAAAAAAAGGAACGUAGGUAUAAAAAAUGUUAUCAAAUCAUUAAAGUAUGAAAAUUAUUACCUAAAUACAAUAGAUGUUAGUAAUAACUAAGAUAUAAAAUAUGCGACUAAAAUAUUAACAUACAACUUAUAUAACUUAAGUACAAAAAAGAUGAUUAGGGUAAAAAAAUAUAACUAAGGUAUAUAGAAUGCAAUUCAUAUAUAAAAAUAUAAAAAAUUAUACUUUAAAAAUUAUAUAACUUAUCUGUAAAACCUCUUUUCAUAUUUAAUUACCAUUUUGUUAGAAAAAAUAAAAUAAAAUAAACUGAAUUUAAAAAAGCUUAGGAAUUCAAAUUGGAGAAGAAAAUCCUGUUGGAAAAUUUUUUAUAUGGGCUAACAUUAAUUGAAUAAUUUGUAUUUGCAAAAACGGGUUAAUGGAUAGUCUAUUAUAUAAUGAACCUAAUUAACUAGUGAUCAUAUUUUGGAUUGGGUUUUACAUCUUUUGAGUAGAAGCUCAGUUGAGUGGCAAGUGUAGGCUAUGGGUCUCAUUGAAGCCCAUUAUGGGAGGACCCAAUGAGAAUCCAAUUUGAGUUAUGCUAAGUCCCCUCUCUAAUCUAGAUAAAAAGGGUUUUUAUGUUUUCCCAUAGAGCCACCAUAGCUGUUAUCAAGAUCAUAGAGAGGAAGACUUGGUUGCAACAAUCAAUCACGGUUUUUUAUCAUAGCUCAAACAGGUAUGUUCUUUAUAGUGAUUUCCUAUUGUUAGUAUCCUUUAAUCAUGUAUGAUUAAUCUAUGUGAUUAUGUAAAUAUUUUACAUGUGGUAUCAGGGCCCGAUUUACAUGAUUUAGGAUCUACAUUUGGAAAUCAAAAAUAAAAUUUUUAGUUUCUUAUUUUAUUUUCUUUUCGAAGCCGAAUCUGUGAUCCAUGAAUGUGUAUUUUUUUUUUUAGUUUCUUUUGAUUGUGAAACUUUAGGCCUUUUGUUCCUCUUGUCACAAGCUUCAAAUUGAUAUAUCAUAUGUGCAAUUUCGUUGGUUAAAUUGGGAGUAAUUAAGUUUUUAAAUUUUCGGAAUUUUCUUGUUUAAAAAUUCAAGAAAAAUUUUAUUUGUUCAAAUUAUUGUGUUUUACUCAAAUUAAACUCUUAGAUUUUGUUGUUUACAUAUAUUAUAGUUGAUAUGUAGCAUCAAUUUCAGUUUUUUGGCUCAAUUUGGUGAAAAUUGAAAAUUAAAAAAUAUGGGUAUGAACCUCAGAAAAUUCGUUUUAUUUUAUUUUUUAAAAAAUUGAGCAAGAUUGAGAAGUUUUUUUUUUUUUGUUCAAUUAAUUAUUGUAGAGAGAUUUCUUAUAUUGUUAAGGUAAAAAUACAUAUAAAAUGAGGCCGAAAUAGGUGUUAAAAUAGAGUUUUUCAAUCUUGGCUAUGGAGGUAUGAAAAAUCGAAUUUUGUUAAUCAAUUAAGGAGAUCUUUAAGUUGUUGUUGUUGUUGUUUUUUUUUUAUUUUUUUAUUUUUUUAUUUAUGAUUAAAUGUCCUAGAAUUGUUAGAAACAACCUAAAGUUUAAAACCCCUCAAGAUCCCGAUCAAAAAAACUUUUUUUUCAAUUGUUUGUAAUCCGGGUUGCAACUGGGUCAUUUGACCCGUAUUGCAGAAUUUUGGACCCAAUGCUAGAGGUUGAAGAUGACCUCCAGCACAUGCCACACGUUCCCCACUCGUGGGUCAAGUGUGUGAGGCGCGUGUAAUCUCAUCCGGUGUCCCUUUUGAGCCCAAUAUUUUCCUAUGCGCUCGUUUUUUUGUAAUCUAUUUUUAUAGAUAUAUUAUUUUAUUUUUUGGGGGUAAAAAAUAUUUAUUAAAUAAUUAUUACUUAUUUAUGUGAUUUAAUUAGUUUUAAAUUAUUUUUUGGUAUAAUUUUCUGUUGAGAAUUUACCAGAAAUUAUGCUAAUAUAUAUGGAAUAGGAGUGUAGUACUCACUCUCUCUAGAUUGAAACUUUUUCAUGCAUACUCUCCUACUUGGUCUAAAUCUCAUAAACUAGUUAAAUAAUUAGUUUAAAGUGUAAUAAUAAUACUAAAAAAAAAUUGUUGUUCAAAUUCUUGCAACUAUAAUUGAUCAUAUGCAUAUAUAUCGCUAAUAUGCACUAUUGUUGUUGGGCAAUUUUUUUUAAUUUACCCAAUUUUGGAACGUUGCAUGUGAAUUGUUGAGGUUAUUUCACCAAAGUGGUUUAACCAUCAAAAUUUGCAAGUUUAUGAGUUCCUAUUUUGUUGAUGGGGAAAAUUUUAGAUUAAUUUGUACAAUCGCCUGCCCAAAGGGGGUUAUUGUGCAAAUUAAUUUAACAACAUGAGGAUAUUGAAUGAGAUAAAUAAUUUGAUAAAUUUAUUUGCCCAAAGGAAAUAAAUUUUAAUGAAUUAUUUGUUGAUCUUCAUGCUUAGAGAAUAUUUGUUUAUUGUGGACUCUACCCAAAGGGGAGUUUAUGAUAGUACAAUUGAUUCUUGUAUUGUAUUGCUUAUGAUUAUUUAAGUUUUUUUUACCUAUUGCCCAUAAUUGAUCUAGUUGCAAAAUUUUGUCAAUCAGUUUCCUUUGCUGUGAACAACAAUAAUGCUACAAUUGAAAUUCUAAGUGGGUCGAACUAUAAGAGAUGGAGAUCAAACAUAGAGUUUGUUUUAGGAAUGAUGGACUUGGACAUGGCUCUACGUGAAGAUGAACCUCCUAAGCCUACUAAUGAAAGCACUGAAGCUAUGAGAGCUCAUUAUGCGAAAUGGGAAAGAUCGAACCGUUUGAGUCUCAUUUCAAUCAAGAGGUCCAUUGCUGAGCAUCUCCUUGGAGGAAUACUUGAGAGCAAUAAUGCUAAGGAAUUUCUCGUUGUUGUGGCAAAUAGAUACCAAACAUCUGACAAUGCUGAAGUUGGGCAUUUUAUGGAUGAAUUGAUGAAUAUGAGGUAUGAUGAUAUGAAAGGGGUUCGUGAGUAUAUCUUAAAAAUAGUGCAUCUUCAGACUAGAUUGAAAGCAUUAGACAUUCCCAUUCCCGAUAAGUUUAUUGUUCAUCAAGCCCUCAAUACUCUGCCAUCUUCUUUUAGCCAAAUCAAGACUGCAUACAACACCCUGAAUCAGUCUUGGGGUGUGAAUGACCUGAUCACUAAGUGUGUGGUUGAGGAAGAAAAGCUGAAAAGAGAAAAGAAUGAAUCUGCUCAUCUCGUUGCUCUUGGAAAACCAAAUAAUAAAAAAAGAGUUGAAAAGACUCAAAAACCCAACUUCCAUAGUCAUAAGAAAAAUAAGAAUUUCAAGAAGAGUGGGAGUGAAAAGCAGAAGAAUGGAAAUGCCAAGAACACAAACAUUAAGUGCUAUCACUGCAACAAAAAGGGUCACAACAGGGUUGAUUGCUUUAAGUUUAAGAAUUGGCUAGAGAACAAAAAGAAGGAACAGGGUAUGUUAUCUACCUAUGUCUGUUUUGAAUCUAAUUUAUUUAAUGUUCCUUUAGAUUCAUGGUGGCUUGACAGUGGUGCUACUGUUCAUGUUGCAACUUCUUUACAGGGGAUAAGAAAUCUGAGGAAGCCAAGUGAAAAAGAGUCAAAGCUUAAAGUUGGCAGUGACAUCGGGAUUGAUGUUGAGCAUAUUGGGGUUGCUAUUUUAGAAUUAGAUUAUGGUUUUCAGCUUGUUUUGGACAAUGUUUUUUGUGUACCUUCGUUUAGGAAGGAUUUAAUUUCCCUUUCAGUACUUGAUAAAGCUAGAUAUAGUUUCACUUUUGAAAAUAAAAGAGUUGAUGUGAUUUAUGACUCUAAAGUGAUUGGCAAUUGUGUUUUAUCUGACGGGCUAUAUUGAUUGUCGUUGUUAUCUACUUGUUCUUACAAUGUUGAAAACAAUGUUGCUAAAAGACCUUUGACUAAGGAAAGAUCUUCAUUGUUAUGGCAUAAGCGUUUGGGGCACAUUUAAAAAAUGAGUAGAAUGCUUAAUUAGUUCUAGGAUUCUUCCCUGCCUUGAUUCUAAUGACUUAGAAAUUUGUGUUGAUUGUGUGAAAGGAAAAUUGACAAAGAAUAAGAAAAAGGGUGCAACUCAUAGUCAAAAUUUGUUGGAGAUUGUUCAUACAAACAUUAGUGGACCUUAUUCCACUACCUUGUGUGGCAACAAGUACUUCAUUACAUUCAUUGAUGAUUUUUCCUGUUAUGGCUAUGUAUUUUUUAUCAAAGAAAAGGCAGAUGCUCUUGAAAUGUUCAAAGUCUUCCGAACUAAAGUUGAGAAACAAUUGGGGAAAGUCAUCAAAAUUGUGAGAUCUGAUCGAGGUGGUGAGUAUUAUGGGAAACAUGGUGAUGUUGGACAACAAAAGGGACCUUUUGCAAGGUACUUACAAGAUAAUGGUAUCGUUGCUCAGUAUACUAUGCCUGGUAGUCCUGAACAGAAUGGCGUAGCAGAAAGGCGCAACCGCACUCUUAUGGAAAUGAAGAGGAGCAUGAUUGGUAGAUCAAAUUUGCCAGAAUACUUAUGGGGUGAAGCCAUUAAAACAACAACCUACAUUUUGAACCGUGUUCCUAGUAAGUCUAUGCCUAAAACACCGUUUGAACUAUGGACAGACAGAAAACCCAGCUUGAAUCAUUUUAAAGUAUGGGGAUGUCCAGCUGAGGUGAAAAUCUAUUAUCCUUCUUUAAAGAAGACGGAUUCAAGAACUACUAGGUGCUACUUUAUUGGGUAUCCUAGUCACUCAAAAGGAUACAAGUUUUAUUGUUCGACUCGUGGCACUAGAAUUGUUGAGUCUCAAGUGGCAAAGUUUUUAGAGUUGGAUGUUGCUGAUAGUAUACCCUCUCAAUCCGAUGAAAGAGUGGAACCCAUGGAUGUUAUUUCUUUAUGUUUGCCAGUUUCAGACGUUAACCUUGAUGUUGGAGCUUUUGAUUCUGGGAUUCAACAAGGAGUUGCUACUGUCAAUUUCCCUACUGUCAAAAUAAACCCUAUUGUGGAUGAGAUUCCUCCUGUGGAAAUGAGGAGAUCACAAAGAACUAGGAGACCUGCCUUAUCUAACGAUUAUUAUGUUUACCUUGGAGAGGGAGAGUAUGAAAUUGGAGAAGAAGUGGACCCUACUACUUAUUGUGAAGCUCUCAGUAGUGAUAAGGCAAAUGAAUGGUUGAUUGCCAUGAGAGAUGAGAUGCAGUCUAUGUCAGACAAUGAUGUUUGGGAAUUUCUUGAUCUUCCCAAAGGAUAUAAACCCAUUGGAUGCAAAUGGGUAUUCAAGACCAAAAGAGACAACAAAGGAAAUGUUGAAAGAUACAAGGCUCAGUUGGUUGCUAAAGGGUAUACACAGCAAGAAGGCAUUGAUUUCACAGAGAAUUUCUCACUAGUCUCUACCAAAGAUUCCUUUAGGCUAGUUAUGGUGUUGGUAGCUCAUUUUGACUUAGAGCUUCAUCAGAUGGAUGUCAAGACAGCUUUUCUCAAUGGUGAUUUGAGUGAGGAGGUCUACAUGUCACAACCUGAAGGAUUUAAGGAAAAUGGAAAAGAGAACAUGGUAUACAGAUUGAAAAGGUCAAUUUAUGGUCUCAAGCAAGCUUCUCGCCAGUGGUACUUGAAAUUUGACAAAAUUGUGACGUCUUUUGGUUUUAUAGAGAACAAGUUUGAUCAGUGCGUUUACAUGAAGGUUAAUGGGAGCAAAUACAUUUUCAUGGUUCUCUAUAUCGAUGACAUUCUACUUGCUAGUAGUGAUGUGAAUCUCUUGAAUGAUACCAAGCGUGUUUUGUCUGCUAAUUUUGACAUGAAGGAUCUUAGAGAAGCAUCUUUUGUGUUGGGUAUUGAGAUUUAUCGUGAUAGAUCUCGAAACCUCCUUGGUCUAUCUCAGAGAGCCUAUAUCAAUCGUGUGCUUAAAAGAUUCAAUAUGCAGACGUGAAAAGCUGGUGAUGUACCUAUUGUGAAGGGAGAUAAACUCAGUAAUGAACAGUGUCCAAAGAAUGAUUUGGAAAAGGAUGCCAUGAAGACUAUUCCUUAUGCUAGUGCCAUUGGUAGCCUGAUGUAUGCACAAGUAUGUACAAGACUUGAUAUCAUCUUCAUUGUUAAUGUUCUUGGUAGAUAUUUAUCGAACCCUAGACAUGAUCAUUGGGUUGUUGCAAAGAAAGUCAUGAGAUGUCUACAAAGAACGAAGGAUUUUAUGCUUGUGUAUAGGAAGGUGGAUAAUCUCGAGGUAGUUGGAUACUCAGAUUUUGAUUUUGGUGGUUGUUCUGAUGAUCGCAAAUCUACUUCAAGAUACAUUUUUAUGUUAGCUGGUGGAGCCAUUUCAUGGAAAAGUGUCAAACAGAGCCUAAUUGCAUCCUCGACUAUGUAUGCUGAGUUUGUAGCUUGUUAUGGUGCAUCCUCUCAAGCUGUUUGGCUAAGAAAUUUGAUUUCAGAGUUGCAAGUUGUUGAUUCCAUCUUUCUACCCAUUGUGAUUUAUUGUGACAAUAAUGCAGCUGUGUUCUACUCUAAGAACAAUAAGAUUAGUAUGGGUUUUAAGCAUACGGAAAUCAAGUACCUUACAGUCAAGGACUUAGUGAAGAAAGGAGAUAUUGUGAUUGAGCACAUAAGAACUGAGUCCAUGCUAGUUGAUCCUCUAACCAAAGGUUUAAAGCCCAUAACGUUCAAGGAACAUGUUGUGAAUAUGGGUGUCAUUAAAUCUUUUGAUUCUUUGGUUUAGUGGGAGCUUUUGUGAUUUCCCUUAUUUCAAUUAUUGUUUUAUGUAAACAUUGAUCAUUAUUUUUCUGCGACUUGCAAAAUUAAAGUCUUUUUAUUAUGAUCAUCAUAAUUAAGUAUUAUAUUAUAGCAUGUCAUAAUUGAAUUACAUACAACAUGGUAUCUUGAGAUAUUGAACCUUAAGAAUUACAGUUGUAUACUGUUGGAUGUCACAAAUACCACUAUUUUAAGAUUUUGUGGUGCAUUGUUGGUGACAUAUGACUUGUUAAAGUCAAGCAAUUUCAUAUUGUUUAGAAAUUGCAGCAAUUUCAUUUUGUUGAGAAAUUGCAAUCACAAUUUCAUUUUGCUGGUAAAUUGUAAUGAGGACUGAUAAGAAACAAUGCAUAUAGAUGAUGAUCACAUGUUGGCAUUGAUUUCUUACUACACUACUGGGUUUACAAUCCAUGUCGAUAUGGUUAUAAAUAUUCAACUAUAAGGGGCAUUAUGUUUGUUGAGAUUAACAUAUAUACCAUUAUAGUCCAAUAUUAAGACCAUGUUAGACCGGAUAAGUUUAACAAGAUGCUACUUAUAGACUAUCAUUUCUUUCAAAAAAAGAAAAAAAAAGGUGUGGCCACACAAAAUAAACUUUUCUGUACUUAACCCGAGAGUCUUAUUUUCAAAAUGAAUUCAAUGAAUCCUCAAAAACAAUUAAUGUAGCUGUAGACCCUCAAUUUUGUCCCUCGACACUGGCAUUUAUCCUUCUGGUGUCACAUCCACCCAUCGUUCGCAUAUGACACCACUAGGGCCCCUUUUGGGCUUAGUCGGUGUCCGAGCCUCGUGUGGGUUUGUGUGUGGUCCAUUAUGGUGCAUAUGUGGUUCAUUUAGGAGGGUCACCAUGGCCAUUUUCCUAGUCGUUCACAUCACGCUAUAGGAAGGAAGUAGGGUCAUCCCGAUGUUUUAGCUUAGUUGGGGUUUAUAGGGGCAUGUUGAGGUUCGGAGCACUCGGGCUUGUUUUGAUUGUAUCUCCCUCAUCCAAAUUCGGAAUCAAGAACCGUUUCUUUUUAUGGAUUCCUUAUUCUUCCAAGAACAUUCUGUAAAAUUUUCAAAAUUUUUUGCAACCGGUCGGCUGGUUGGCAGCCGGUUCAGCCGGUUCAGCCGGUUCAUUAGGUCAGCCGGUGUAGAACACUGAUUUUUGGUAAUUGUUUUGAUCAUAUCUCCCUCUUCCGAACUUGGAAUCAUGCACCGUUUUUUUUAUGGAUUCCUUACUCUACUAGGAACAUUCUGUCAAAUUUUCAGAAUUUUUCUCCAUCGGGUCGACCAGUUGGCAUCCGGUUCGGCCGGUUCAGCUGGUUCAUUGAGUCAGCUGAGGUAAAACACUAAUUCUAGUAAUUUUGAGGCCCAAAUCCUACAUGGAUCAGGCCCAUAAGCUCCAGAUUGGUUUUGGGCAAUGUUGUGGGUCCAUUUUAGGCCUUGGUUUGGGUUCCUUGCAGCCCACCACGAAUCCAUAUGGAUUCUUGGUGGUGAAGCAAGCUGAAAAAACUGAAGGGAGUGAGCUGGCCUUGUAAGUCUAAGAGAAGUAAUGAGGGGUGUGGUUCCCAUGCUGAUGAAGGGAAUUUCGGUGCUGAAGGGGAAGGAACCCAGGAGGCUCAAAUGCUAAGAGGGGUAUGAGUAUAAAAGGUGAGAGGAUAGGAGAGCAAAGGACCUUUGGACAUUUUGGAGAGGGGAAAUCUUGCUGGUGAGAAAAACAAAAGGUCAGUAGCAUCUUCUGAGUUGAGAGCGUGGGGGAAAGCUUCAGCACUGUGGUUUUUUUGAAGAGGAGAGUGACAACCUCUCAGUUUUGGAAGUCAUCAUCGGCAUGCACGGAUCAUAUUUGGUGGAGAUUCUGAGGUAAGCACGCUGAAUUUUCUUUACUUACAAUUUAUCUUCCUCGUCUUCAUAUGCUUUUUCUCCUUCCUCAUCAUCUUUUCUUCCCUUUGAUAUGAAGAUUGUAUUGCUUGGGUGUGGAUAAUAAAGGCCACACAUGAUUGUUGUUGUUUGCUUCCUUGAUCACUUAGGAACUUUCUGACCGAAUUUGGGAUUUUUUUACCAACCGGAUGAACCGGUUCAACCGGUUCAGUACCAUAGCUGGCAGCCUCUGUCAGCCAUGAGGAACACUUGCCUUUCUUUGUCUGGUUCUCACUCAUCCGGGCUCGGAAUUGAGAACCGUUUCUUUUGUUUUCUUCCUUAAUCACUUAGGAACUUUAUGACCAAAUUUGGGAUUUUUUUACCAACCGGAUGAACCAGUUUGGAACUGGUUCAACCGGUUCAGCACCAUAGCUGGUAGCCUCUGUCAGCCAUGAGGAACACUUGCCUUUCUUUGUCUGGUUCUCACUCAUCUGGGAUCGGAAUUGAGAACUGUUUCUUUUUUUUGCUUCCUUAAUCACUUAGGAACUUUCUGACCAAAUUUGGGAUUUUUUACCAACCGGCUGAACCGGUUUGGAACCGGUUCAACCGGUUCAGCACCAUAGCUGGCAGCCUCUGUCAGCCAUGAGGAACACUUUCCUUUCUUUGUCUGGUUCUCACUCAUCCGGGGUCGGAAUUGAGAACCGUUUCUUUUUUUUUGCUUCCUUAAUCACUUAGGAACUUCCUGACUGAAUUUGGGAUUUUUUACCAACCGGAUGGACCAGUUUGGAACCGGUUCAACCGGUUCAGCACCAUAGCUGGCAGCCUCUGUCAGCCAUGAGGAACACUUGUCUUUCUUUGUCUGGUUCUCACUCAUCCAGGGUCGGAAUUGAGAACUGUUUCUUUUGUUUGCUUCCUUAAUCACUUAGGAGCUUACUGACCAAAUUUGGAAUUUUUUACCAACCGGCUGAACCGGUUUGGAACCGGUUCAACCGGUUCAGCACCAUAGCUGGCAGCCUCUGUCAGCCAUGAGGAACACUUGCCUUUCUUUGUCUGGUUCUCACUCAUCCAGGGUCGGAAUUGAGAACCGUUUCCUUUGUUUGCUUCCUUAAUCACUUAGGAGCUUACUGACAGAAUUUGGGAUUUUUUAUCAACCGGAUGUACUAGUUGGGAACCGGUUCAAUCGGUUCAGCACCAUAGCUGGCUGCCUCUUUCAGCCAUGAGGAAUACUUGCCUUUCUUUGUCUGGUUCUCACUCAUCCGGGAUCGGAAUUGAGAACCAUUUAUUUUUUUUGCUUCCUUAAUCACUUAGGAACUUUCUGACCAAAUUUGGGAUUUUUUACCAACCGGCUGGACCGGUUCAGCACCAUAGCUGGCUGCCUCUGUCAGCCAUGAGGAACACCUGCCUUUCUUUGUCUGGUUCUCACUCAUCCGGGCUCGGGAUUGAGUGUUAUUUCUUUUGUUUGAAUCCUCACUCAUUUAGGAGUUUUCUAGAAAAAUUUGGGAAUUCUUCUCAAUAGGUUGUACCAGUUGAGAACUAGUUCAACCUGUUCUGUUGGAGGACUUUAGGUAGCCUUUGAUUUUGGCAUUUUUCGAGCCCUUAUCUAUGGGGGGCUCAAACCCAUUUGCUAUAGGGCACUUGUGAGCCAUCUUGAAGGUUUAAGUCAGUGUUUGAUUUCAGUUAGUAUGGGCAAUUUGGAAGUUAUGGGUGGUGUGGUCUAGAUGAGUCUAGUUCGAUUUGUAUGACAUUUGGGGAGUCCCUUACCUCAUUUCAACCAGCUAUCUUCCUUUUUGGCACAAGAUUUGAUGCUUGAUUUUGAAUACAUGUUGCGUGAUUGACUCACCCUCUGCUGCAGCGCUUGGCUAGGGACCACAGGUACGCAUCGUUGGCUUUGGUUGUUGAAUUCAUAUGCAUGCAUGGUACUUAAUCUUGAAUGUUUGUUAUGUGUUUAUCUGUGUUUGGCUGACCUUUUAUGCAGCGCUUGGCUAGGGACCACAGGUACGCACCCAUUGUUUUGUUUGGUUGAAUUCAUAUGCAUGCCAAAUACCAAUUAGGAUUGUGUGAUUCAUGACAUCUAUUUAGCCUAGGGUUUCAUUUGACCUUUGACCCAUAUGCUCCCAUAUACCCAAUUCAUUAGUAGAGACCGAGUUCCGGGCCUAGAGGGGUGCUACCUCGCAUGAGGUACCUUCCCAACGGGUAACCUGAUCCCCGGACCCAGAAUCUAGUUUUCGUAGACCGCUUUUUCCAUACUGGGGUCAUUAGGGGUUUUUGUUCUUACUUAAUUUUCCCCAUUUUAAAAACAAAAAUAAAAAGUAAGUGGCGACUCCAAACAACACCGUUCCUCACCGGGGGCGGGUUUUUCAAAACUGGAAAACACCAACUUUUUCAUUUCUUUUUUUUCUUUUAAAAGCGAGUCGCGUCGGUCCGGUGGAUCGGGUGAGGGUCCACAGUAGCCCAAGUGGGAGAAUGUUGGAAAAUUUUUUAUAUGGGCUAACAUUAAUUGAAUAAUUUGUAUUUGCAAAAACGAGUUAAUGGAUAGUCUAUUAUAUAAUGAGCCCAAUUAACUAGUGAUCACAUUUUGGAUUGGGUUUUGCAUCUUUUGAGUAGAAGCUCAGUUGAGUGGCAAGUGUAGGCUAUGGGUCUCAUUGAAGCCCAUUAUGGGAGGGCCCAAUGAGAAUCCAAUUUGAGUUAUGCUAAGUCCCCUAUCUAAUCUAGAUAAAAAGGGUUUUUCUAUUUUCCCAUAGAGCCACCAUAGCUGUUAUCAAUAUCAUAGAGAGGAAGACUUGGUUGCAACAAUCAAUCACUGUUUUUUAUCAUGGCUCAAAGAGGUAUGUUCUUUACAGUGAUUUCCUAUUGAUGGUAUCCUUUAAUCAUGUAUGAUUAAUCUAUGUGAUUAUGUAAAUAUUUUACAAAUCCUAGUUCACCUUUUUGUUCCUUAUUAUCAAUGCAUGUAAUGUAAUUGAGUGGAGUCCAUCUCAACCUACUCCAAUUCUAGUAUAGGCACGAAAGUUUGGAGUUGAAUGGAGUGCAUAUUGCGUUGGACCCCUGAUUUCACUCUUACCUUUUUGCCGCGUCCAGAUCAUACAUGUUGGAAAAGAAGAAUUUUGGGUCAAAAUGUCAUGUUUUGAUUGAAUAGUAUUAGGUACGAGUCAUGUUUCAAAUUGUUGUUCGAAAUUAUGAUUCAUCUAUAGCUCUUUUAUCACAACUUAGAUGCUAUGCCCAUUUUUGUUUAUUCAAAAUGUGCUUUUAAUUGAAGUAAAAAAAGAAGAAGAAGAAAUUAUGUGACUUCUAAGACUAGUUUGAUUAUGAGUUUGAGAAGAUGUUUAGAUCGGAUAAUAGUUUUGUUUGAUUGUAAUUUUGGGAAGAUGUCUAGAUAGAACAGACUUUUUUGGCCAUGGAGCCCUUUUGGCCUCAAAGUCAAAGAUGGAGCAUAAAGGUGAAACUGUGGUGUAAGGACAAAUUCAAAUGAAAAUGUUAUCAUUGUUUUCAAAUGCUUACUUUAGAAUUAUGAGCAUAUAAAACACGUUCUAAGUUGUUUGAUAUUUUUUGUAAGCUAAUUUGGGAGAAAAUUGAAAAUAUGAAAAAUAAUUCAUAUGGAAACUAUGGGACCCCACGACCGUCUAGAGACUAACCCCGUGGCCGUCCCGUUACUUGGCAUAAUUAAAGAUGUCAUGACAACACCCUAAUUUACUAUAUGCGUAGUAAUUACCUGGAACACUUCUUAUUGCAGGAACACCCACCAUUUGGAUCAAAGAGGCCAAUUAGAGGAGAUGAUUGUUGACCGUUGACUAACAAUUAGCGUUGUUUGUGGGAAUUGAACUAAGAACCUCAAUUUAGAAUGACUAACAUACCUCCUAGAAUGCAUCCUUAUUCAACAAGUAUGAAUGAUAGGUUCCAUGUGUGGCAAGCAAAAAUGGAGAAAAGGUAGAAAGAGUAUGAGCAAUGCAUGUAAUCCUUGCUUCAGCAUGCAAAGCUGCUGAAGUGGGAAAAUGCAGAAUUGCGGGCAUAAGUGGCCAUUAGGCGUUAUGCAAGCGGAGGAGCCAUUGCACACCCAACCAGUGCGAAGCAAAAUGAUAGGAGUUCCCUUGCUUGAUAGAGAACCAUAAUUGCAAAUAGAUAAUGAAUUUUCGCUAGCAGCUUCCUAACCCUAUCAACCUUGUGGGGAUCUAGAAUAAAGUAGUUAGUUUGGAAAAGCCAGGUAGACAAGGCUACAAGUUCUAUCCAACAAAAAUGUAAGCGAGGAUUGAAGUGAGGGCCAUGUACGUUGGGUGCUCCAAAAAACUGGUUCAGUCAUCCCCAAGAGGGCAUUCUACCAAGCCAUUUACCAUAAUGUAUGAAUCCUGAGCCCUAGUUGCACGAGGCCCUGCCAAAGGCACCCUUAGGCAUAGUAAGCAGACAGUUGGACGAUAUGUUGUCCACAUUGUUCGACUCACACAUAGUCAAUUACAAAUUACCUAGAGGAUUCAUAGUUCUAAAAUUUAUCGUGUAUGAUGGAUUGAGUGACCCCUUCAAUCAUUUAAUGCUUUUUUGACAAAUAAUGACCCUUGAUAUUAGCAAUGAUAUGCUAUUAUGCAAAGUCUUUCCAACUAGCCUUCAUGAGCCAACCCUUGUCAUGGUUUCACUAGCUUCCCUAGAAUUUGGUCAACUCAUUUAAAGAUGUCUCGGAGGCAUUUGUGGCAAACUAUUUGUGCUUGACCUAAUAAAAGCAUAACAUAUGCACUUUGCAAAACAUCAGAAUACUGGAAAACGAGUCGUUAUGGGAUUUCAUCAAGCAAUUUGUCAAGCAGUGUUGCAGGUGGAGUCUUAUAGCAUGGACGCUCUGCUAUAGAUUUUUAAUAGAAGUAUAAGUCCAGGUACCUCUUUCUUCGAAUCCCUCCUGAAAAAGCCAAAUGCCAUAAUGGACGACCUAUUUUGAAGGGUAGAUAAAUACGCAAUCCUUGAAGAUAAUGUUUGGGUAGUGUCCCAACAGAUUCUUAUCACAAAUUAGGUGGCCAAAAGUAAUAGCAAGCCGAGGGUUCAAAGCCAUCUAACAAUCAAUUAAGGUAGGAAAAUCAAAGAUCCUCCCAACAAGGGUAAUAGAGAUGGGAACUGCUUCAGUUCACCUCUUUGACUGUCUCAUACGAGUGGAUUUCUCCUCUUAUCCAAGAGCUACUAGAGUUCAAAAAGACAAUGCCCAUCAAAGUAGAUCUGGCCAAGAGAGAUCAAAGACGAUGGUGCUCUUAUCACAAGGAGUAUGGUCAUACUACAAAAGAGUGCUGACACUUGCAUUACAUGGUGGAAAAUCUAGUAAAAGUUGGACACUUGAAGCAUUACAUCUAAACAAUUUGGGGGCACAGUGAAGUACUAAAAGAAGUGUCGAGUAGAACCCUGACUUUUCCUGUUGAAUAAUGCUUUGUGAUACAUUAUAUCCAUGGGGGCCAACAAGUGAUAAAAUACCAAUCCAGGUGACAUAGGAGGAGCAUGAUUAGGAUCACCAUUGUAAGAGAAUGGGUGAAUAUGGUUCAGUGCACUUUCACUCUUGAAAGUGCCUGACCAAUUGAUGGGCUAUUCACUUUAACACCAGUCAAUCCCAAUCGGAUCAUAGUGCCUCAUGAAGACGAACUAGUAUUAACCCUCAGAGUUAGUGGCUUUAGUGUGUGGAGAAUUUUAGUUGAACUAAGUAGCUCCGCUAAUCUUUUACAAAUGUUAACUUAAAAGCAAAUGAGUUAUUUGCAUGAAGCAUUGGAAAAUCUUGACUGCAUCUUGUCCAGAUUUAAUGGGGUUACCACUAUAUCUAUGGGAGAUGCCUUGCUCCUUAUUGAAGCUGAGCCUGUCACUUUAUGUCUAAGGUUUUCCAUGGUAGGAUAUCUAACACCCUACAAUGCCAUACUUGGGUGAGCAUGGUUGCAUAAGAUGAAGGUCAUCUUGUUUACGUACUAUCAAAUGAUUAGUUACUUGAUAGAGAAAGGCUAAGUGGAUCUGUACGGGAGUUAGCUGGCAACCCGAUAGUGUUAUCAGAUAACUAUGUUACAAGUUGAAUGUAAUUCCAACAACACGAUCGAUACAAUAGAAAGUUUGAUGUUUCCAUCUGGACCGACAUAAGCUAAUACAUACAGAGAUAAGUAACAUGUUAAAGGUUAGAUUUAUUAGAGAAGUGGAGUACCCCAAUUGAUUAGCCAAUGUAAUGAUGGUACCUAAAAAAGAUAGGAAAUGGAGAGUAUGUGUGGACUACACAGACAAGGAUAACUUCCUACUACUACAAAUAGAUCAAAUAGUGACACGACAACCGGACAUGGAAUGCUCUUGUUUCUUGAUGCCUUUUUCCAAUGUUUUCAGAACCGAACCGGUCAUUGAACCGGAAAAGUUACAGGUUCACGGUUCACCGGUUGGACCGGCGGUCGAACCGCUAUCGAACCGGUGACGUCAUAAAUAUAUAUUUUAUUAUUUAAUAUAUUAUAAAAAUUAAUAAAUUAAUAAAUUCUAUGUAAAUUUUGACAGCAUCUACUUUGUUUGUUGAGUUUUGUCACAAAAUUUUUUACCUAUAGAAGUUAGCAAUUAUCAUAUAUGAUAUCUAUAACACAAUAUAAGAUGUUAUACAUUCACAAUGUCAAUAAACUCAAUAUUUAUCAAAUAAUCAAACCAUUACUAUCCUAUAAUAACCAAAUUAUCAAAGAGUUGUUAACUUAACACAUUGUCCAUAAUAGAUAAUACAAAUGUCAACCAUAGGUCCACAACACUUAAAUAAUUACUCAAAAUAAAAAUAUAACAUGUCAAUGUUUGAAUAUUCAUGAAGUUUUUUGCAUACUAAUAAAUAUAAAAUUCAUGUCUUCAUUCAUUUUGGAAAUUGGAAUAUGGAGAUUGAACAUGAGCAUUUGGAAAACCAAAGUUCUCCACAUCAAGCCCUUCUAUAGCCAUGUCACCACCAUCCUUAUCAUCUACAAAAAUAUUGAAUAUAUAUCAACAAUAAAUCAUUUUUAAAGAAAAAAAUAUAAUUAUUGAACUUUUAUAAGUUUAAAUAUUUUACUAACCAAUGUGAGAACUUGAACCUUCCACUUCAUUUAUUGGAAUUGACCCUUCUUCAUAUAGAAGAUUUUCCAAUUCUUCAACAUCUAACUCUGCUGGUUGAUCAUCAUCAACUACCCAAAAAUUGGUCUCAUCAAUGCAUGCAUAGUCAAUUGGAUCAUAGAUUCUUUUCUUGUUAUAGAACCUAAAAAAAAAAGCAUAUAAUUAUUCAUAAUUGUGAAUAGAAGAAUUUAAAUUCAAAACAACUAAGAAAUCAUUUAUACCGAUUUUUUAAGCGCAAAUUAUAAUGAACGUAUACAAGAUCAUUAAGCCUUUGAUGUUCCAAUCUAUUCCUUCUUUUGGUAUGUAUACGUUCAAAGACACUCCAAUUCCUUUCACAUCCAGAAGACGAUGCGGUUUGGCUCAAUAUUAGAAUGGCUAACUUUUGCAAAUGUGGUGCACUGUAUCCAUGUAGCCUCCACCAUUCAUCUAGUUACCAUUUCACAUUAAAAAUAAGAAAAAAAUAAAACACAUUAGCAAGUUUAAAAUAUUAAAUAGUAAGUAGGUAACUAAUAAAAAAGAAUGAACAUACUAAUAAAUGAAAAUAAUAUUUUACCAGGUUGAAGUACUUCACAUGAAGAAUAAGCAAGUUCUCUUCCAAAACUUCCCAAUCGAUCACGAAAUAACUUCAUUUCAUUCAUUGUUUCAAGCUUGCAUUUCAGAACUUUUUGAUCAAUAACAUCCAUGACACCUCCAAUAACAUUUGGCUUAUUACAAAAGUUUUCCUGAUCAUAUUGGAAACAUGGAUUCAACCAUUAAGCUGCUGAAUGAAUGCUUUUCUUUAGUUGUUGAUCCCAACGUUGCUUUAUGAUCUCUGUAUAAGGCUUGUAUAGUCUUUCGUUGUAGUUAAACAAUUUCUUGAUGCCCAAACGAACCCUAUACAUGCCUUCAUAUACAUAUCCGAUGGAAGACCUCUCAUCACAAUCAACAAUAUGCAAUAAGCGUAUUAGUGGAGACAUAAGAUUCACAAUAAUCAAAAGAUCAUUCCAAAAUCUAUUAUCCAAGAUGAUGGAAACUGGAACUUUGCUUUUAUAAUCCUUUGAAUAUCUAGAGUCCACAAAAAACUUACUAGUCACCAAAGCUUGCAAGUCAUGUUUAUGAUCAUGAAGACUCUUGAGUGCAAUGAAUGUAGUAGCAAAGUGAGUUGCACCAGGUCGCAAAAUCUCUGUCCAUCAUUCUCUUUUUCUCAACCAACUUAAUAAAGCAACAUGAUUAUAAACAAAAAUUGUCACCUUUGAUGCACGUCUUACAAGUUCAGCAACAUGGUCCAUCUUACCAAUAUCCUUAAAGAUCAAAUUAAGACAAUGAGCUGCACAAGGUGACCAAUUAAUGUGUUUAUGCUUCUGAGAAAUCAAUCUCCCCGUGGCCACAUAAUUUGCUGCAUUAUCAGUGACUAUAUGAACUACAUUGAGUGGACCAACCCAUUCAAUCACCUCAUCAAAUAACUCAAACAAAUUAGUUGCAUCCUUGACAAUGUCCGAAGCAUCAACGGAUUUCACAAACGAUAUUCCUUCAGGACAAUACACAAGGAAGUUGAUGAGUGUUCUUUGUCUAUUAUCUAUCCAACUAUCACCCAUUAUUGUACACCCAACUUUUGCCCAAAUUGCACGAUAAGAGUCCACAAGUAACUAGACUUCCUUCUUGGCAUCCUUUAAAAGAUUAACCCAUAGUUGAUGGUAAUUUGGACCCUUAUAUCCAGGACCAAUUGCAGAUAUAGCAUCCAACAUUGGCUUGAAGUAGAAGGAAUUCAUUGCAUUAAUAGGAAUGCAUGCAUCAUAAAAGAAUCUCCCAACCGCCAUAUCCGCUCUCCAAAUAGCUUAUUUCCCAGCUAGUACACUCCUCAUGGAAGGUUGAGCUCCUUGAGUAUUUCUUGGUGCAAAAUACUUAUCCAUUGUUGAUUUUUUCCUUUUUCCACUAUUAGCCGCCAUAGGACUUUGCAUUUCUUGAACCUCUUCUUCACAUUCUACCCUAUCCCUUUCAAAUUGUGACACAUUAGGACCAUAAGGAUUUCUAUAUUCAUAUGCUUCUUGGGUUGCUUUCUUAGAAUUCACAAACUCUUGCAAAGAAUUUUCCAUUCGAAAUUUUACAUCAGGAGGAACCGAUUUACAUGGACCAAUAUCUUUUUUCACUCCAACAAGAUGUUGUUUCAUUCUAUGAAUACCCCCACAUUUUGUAAUCUUUUUACAAUACAAACAAAUAAGAGCUUUCCUUCCAUUUGCAUAUCUUUCUUCAGAAACAUGCUCCCAUGCAGGAUCGAUCUUACUUCUAGUUGAUUGAGAAUUGGUAGUUGAAUCUUGACCAGAGGAUGGAGUGAAGUUUGAUUCCAUUUUUUAUUUCUCUAUCAAAUUAGAAACAAAAAUCUCACAUUAACGUAGAGAAUGGAAGUCAUCAACCAUUUAAUGAUUUAUAAUCAAGUCAUCAACAAUUUAUAACAAUCACAUAUCAAUUGGUAAAUUUAUUUAAAGGAACAACCAUCAUUAUAACAAGCAUGUUUUGAUCCAAUUAUAAAUUUAUCUAAAUUUUAAAGUAAUUUGGUAUAGAUAUAUUGAUGGGCAAACUCCACAAAUAUCUAAACAAGCAUGUUUGGAGAAUUUUUCCACAAAUAUCUUGUAAAUUAUGCUUCUUUUUCAAUGCAUGCUUUCACAUUUUCUCUAUGGCAUGCGUUAACAUACAUGUGGUCCAAAAGGGAUCAAUCUUCAUAAUCACUUGUAUAUAAUUAAUAUAUGAUAUCAUUAUAUCAUUAUUUUACCACUUCUUCAUCAAAGGUAAGGUCAUUUUUAAAAUAAGAAUUAUUAAAGCAUCCUAUGCAUUCCAUCAUAUUAUAAACUAAAUCAAUUUGUUUUAAGUUACUUAAGAAUUCCUCAUGAAUAGGCAAUUAAUUAAACCAGAAGGCAUGAAUGCAUGAUGGCUUCCUUCCACAUGUCUAUCUUAGCAUCAUCACCGACAAUUAAUUAAACCAGAAGGCAUGAUGGCUUCCUUCCACAUGUCUAUCUUAGCAUCAUCACCUCAAAUUAUUAUUAUUAAUAAUCCAUUAAUCUUAAUGUAUAGCAUAGCUGCAUAGCAAAGAAAACAGCUACUUACUGGGCAAACUCCAACGCCGGGGCGGGCUACUAGUUGGAAGAGAGGGGGAGCUUUCCAACGUAGGCGAUACCUGUGUGGGUGUCGUGGGCCACCGGCGGGACCGUGUGAGUGUCACAGGUCGCCGACGGGAUCUCUCUUGGUGUCGCGGCAGGGAUGUGUCGACGGCGGGCGGAGGAGAGGGGGGCAACUACCAAUGUGCGUGUCGUGGGCCGCCGGCGGGACCUGUGUGGGUGUCAUAGGCCGUUGGCGGGAUCUCUCUUGGUGUCGCGGUAGGAAUGCGUCGACAGCGGGCGAAGGAAAUGGGGGAAGCUACCCUUGGUGUCGUGGGCCGCCGACGGGACCUGUGUGAGUGUCGCUGUUGUCGCAGGCCGUCGGCAGGAUUUGUCUUGGACCCUUGGUGUCGCGGAUGGGUCGUCGACGACGGGCGGAGGAGGAAGGGCUGCUGGGCUGGAGCUUGGAGGUUGCAGCGGCGCAGCAUGGAGAUCUCGUUUUGUUAAAUAGGACUCUAAAAUGGCGUCAUUUUGAUGCCAGAAGCAUCAAAACAACGUCGUUUUGAUGUUGUUUAAAAAAAAAAAAUUAAAAUCAAUUGAACCGGUCGGUUCACCGGUUGGACCGCCGAUUCUAGCGGUCCGACCCCGGUUCGAUCCCUAUCCGGUCCAAAUGAUCGGACCGGAUCGAAACGGUGAUCGGUCGGACCUGCCGGUCCGGUCAUGUUUUUAAAACAUUGCCUUUUUCAGACACCAUCAAACACCUAUGCAUUCACCAGAUUUUGAGAAAACUGCCUUCAUUACCUCAUAGGUCUUUUAUUGCUACAAUGUAAUGCCAUUCAACUUAAAAAAAUGCAAAGGACAACCUUGCAUGUGGAUAAGCAUUUUUUUACAUGCAGUCCCACUCAACGGUGAGACUCACUUUUUAAGUGAAAAAUUGUAUUUUAUUAAAAAAAAAAACUGGAGUCGCCACUUAUUUUUGUUAUUUUUUAAAAGGGGAAAAUAAAGUAAGAAACUAAAACCUUAAAAAAAAUGAAUCUUUAAACUUUUGGAAAAGUAUCUUUGAAAAACUCGAGUUUAGGUUAGGGGAUUAGGUUACCUAUCGGGAGGGUACUUAAAAAAGGUAACACCCUUUUAAGUCCUAAAAAGGUCUCUACUAGUUCGGCUGAGAGAAGUGUGGUAGUUAAUUGAUUGAUUUAGGGUACUAAAAAAGGUUAAAGUGUUUACCUAAAUUCUAAUAAUAAAUUAAAUAUGAUAAACAAUCAAUUUAAGUCACAAUCAUAAAUGAAGAGUAAGAUGUGUACCUAGACUGCAACUUAAAAUGCUAUUACAAGAUAUAUAACAUGCAUCUUAUUAAAAAAAAUGAAACAAACAUCAAGACAAUCAAGGACAAUAUCAAACAUAAAUAUAGUUCACACAAAACAUUUCUUAUGUAAUUAAAAAAAAUUGAAAGGUGGAGAGUGUACCUGAAUAACAUAUCUUAAAUGCAAUGCACUUCCAAUACAAAUAGAGAAGUUAGGAUAAAAGAUGAUGACAAGUAAUUAGGAGAGCAAAACCUAUCAUGCAUAGUAUUUGCAUGGCAUGAACUUAUAGAGACAUUAGUUAUACAAGGUAUAUAACCAACUAAAUAACUCAACUUUGGGAAAAAGUUUUUUAAUGCAAAUAACAUUCUAGAAUCAAUUUUAAGAAGUGAGUAACAUCAUACAAUUUUGGAAUUUUUUUUUAACACACUAAAAAAAUAAUCAAAACAAAAUUUAAAACUAAAGUGUCAUUAGCUAAGUUGAAAUUGACAACAAAGAUGAGUUUUAAAAAUCUUUCAUGUAGGGGUUCCAUCAAUCCCCAUCGAAUAUUCAUAAGUUCAACCUGUGCAUCCUCAACCUGAAGUGAAAAGAUUCAACAAGGCCAAGAACAUUUCCAUUAGUUUGGGGGCACAAGUUCAAUUUAUGAGAAUAAAAACAAAGUUUUUGGAAAACCAAAAGGAGAAUGCAAUUUGGAUGAAAUGAGUUGCAUGUUUUUAAAAGAAAGUGCGAUUUUUACCCUAAACCUAGAGAAAAUUUUCUUUUAAAGUCUUUAGAUGAUUCAAAUCCUUUACAAAAUAAUUUAAAUUCCUUUUUUUAAAUGAUUUUAGGAGGAGCAAAAAGGAACCAAGUGAAUUAAGAAAUUCCGAACAAAAAAUGCAAAAGUUGGGAUUUUUGAUUCCUAACUUAAAAGAAUUUGAAAACAAGAGAAAAAUCAACUUAGAUAUUCUUUUUGGCUACCUUUUCAUUCAUGAUCCAUGAGCCCUAUUCAUGAUGGAGAAAUUUCAUUUUUGAAAAGAAAUUUUGACUUAACUCCAAAUCAAUUAAGAAAACUUUUUCUUAAAAAAAAAGGUUUGAACUUAAGAAAUCCUCAAGGAGCCUACUAAGUAAGUAUCCAAAUGAGGAAAACUAACAAUUUAACCCAAAUUUAACAUCUAAUGAAUUUUCUUAAAAAAAAUAUACUAAUAGGAAAAUUUAACCGCACAUACAUUCAAUGAAUUUUUAACUAACAUGUAAAUUUAAUCAAACUAACACUUAAUGAAUUUUUUUAAAAGCUCUUAACAAAUGAAUUUUUUUAAAAGCUCUUAACAUAUAAAUUUAGCAAAACAAACACUCAAUAUUUUUUUUUCUUUUUUUAAAACAUCUGACAUAUAAAUUAUCAAAACAAGCAUUUUAUGAAUUCUUUUAAAAGUAUCUAGCAUAUAAAUGGAUCAAAACAAACACUCAAUGAUUUUUUUAAAACCUUCUAACAUAUAAAUGAUCAAAAUGGACAUUCUAUGAAUUUCUUGAAACAAUCUAGCAUAUAAAUUUAACAAAACAAACACUCAAUGAUUUUUUUAAAAGCAUUUAGCAUAUAAAUUAUCAAGAUGAGAACUCAAUGAUUUUUUUUAAAGCAUCUAACAUGUAAAUUUAAUUAAACUAAUGGAAACUAAAACCUAAAUAACUUGAGAAUAUAUAUAUAUAUAUAUAUAUAUAUACUAAUCUCUAAUUUAAAUCAAUAAACCAACAAUAAUAAAUUAUAAACACAUGGAGUAACAUAAUCAAAGGAAUGUAGCCUAAAAACUAAGAACAAAAACAAGAACAUGAAAUUUUUAAAGCAUGAAAUUAACAAAACAAACUAAUGAAAACUAAACCUAAAUAACUUAAGAAUAUAUAUACCAAUCCCUAAAUUAAAUCAAUAAACCAACAAUAAUAAGCUAUAAAACAGAUGGAAUAACAUGAUCAAAGGAAUUUAAACCUAAAAACUAAGAACAAAAACUAGAACAUGGAUUGUUGAAAGCAUGGAAUUAACAAAACAAACUAAUGGAAACUAAACCUAAAUAAUUUGAGAACAUAUAUACCAAUCUCUAAAUUAAAUCAUUAAACCAACAAUAAUAUAAUAUAGAAAUAUGGAAUAUCAAGAUCAAUGAAGUCUAAGCCUAAAGAAAUUUAAGAACAUAUUCUAACAUCAAACUAACAACAAGAAAUUUUAAAGCCAUGCAUAAAUAAGAGAUAAAUGAAAACUAUCUUUAAAAAAUAUUAAAAAUGUACUCCUAGAUGAGAUAUUGACAAUUAAUAACUUCAAAAUAAUUGAAAUCAUGUAUUAAAAGAAAUUGAUGAAACUUAUCAUUAAAGGGCUUAUAGAGAAUAAGAAACCAAAAAAAGAAAAAGAAAAAAAAAUGAAAUGAAAUUAAAAGGAACAUGAGACUCACCUUUGAUAUGUUGAUGCGUGAUGUAUCUUCCAAAAAUUUGUGAUGGAUGCGCCUUCUUUCCAAGGUUUAGCCUGUGUGUGUUUGCUGCCUAAUUAUGUGUCAUCUUUCCUCUCUCCAGCCUGAUUUUUUUUAUACUCUCCAAGUGAACUGCAUCUUGCACUAAAGUGACAGCCUAUACAUUGCCCUUUUCUCUUGUAGCCGUGUGCCUUGCUGUGAUCCAAAAGUAGUGCCACCUAUAUGUCAGACGGGCAGUAUUUGAAGAUGAGGGUGUGGCUCUUUUUCCCCCCUACUGCUGCAUGCUUGGUGUAGAAAAGAUCACAAUGGCAUCUGCUUUCCUUCCAAAAAUACAUUGAAUGUCCUCACACGCUCAAUCUCAUACCUUAGAAUCACACUCAAUCUUCAAACUUUCCCAAAACAUCUUACCUCUUUACCACUAGCCUGAUUACUUCGAAAACUGACCUAAAUCUCACUCCCAAAACCUGGCCCGAAUAUCCCUUUGACUAGCCUUAUUCCCAUAAAAAAAACCUUUGUUUUCCUUCUUAAUCCCAACCAAAAAAAAAAAAAAAAAAAACCAGAACAUUGUUGAUCUUCUCUAAAAAAUAAGUUAUUUUCCAUCCAAGAAUUCCCCCUCCUUGAAUCCCUUCCAGAAUACAACCUGUAUAUCCCAUGUGAUACUUCAAAUCUCCUAUUAGAAGUCCUUUUCUAAUCUCCCUUAAUGCCAUGAAUGAUGAGUCAUUUUUUUUCAAAUCUCUAUGGCAGCCCCUAUCUCUAAGAGUCCACAUUUUAUUUUAUAAAAAUCUCGUCUCAUAUGGCAAGUGGCAGCUGUCAUACCCCUGAAGAUCUCACUAAAUUUUUCACGAGUGGGCGGUGCUAAGGACCCGUCCUUAGCCAACCUUCCUUUCCAGCUUUUAGAAAAAUAGAGUUAAGCAAAGUAAAAGCACAGUAACAGGGACACCAACGAAUUACAGGAAACCUUUCCUAACUUGUAUUAAUUCACUCUACAAGACAAAAUUGUUCCCUUGAGUCAGAGUACAUGCUUCACACCCAAGCAUUACGAGAAGGAACCCUAUCCCAAAACUCUCGCUUUGUUUCAAGGCUGUAGGAGUCCUUUUAAAAGACUUGGCCUGCAGUUACACAUUUGGAUUUCCAAAUUCAAAAGUUGAAGCCAACCUGGUGGUUAUGCAACUGGCCAGAACCGCCCAUAAUUGCCUUGCAUAACCACCCACCACCCAGAUAGUGGCCUGCACACGCCACCCACUUGCACAAACCAUCAUCUCCCUAGCCAAUUGCAAGUCAAUUGGUUGUUUGACUUGAUCACCUAAUGUCCUAACUAGCUGCCACUGACUAGCUACACUGCCACUAGCUAGCUGCACUUCCAUUUCCUCAAGCCUUGCUCACCAAGCUGCUGGAGAGUUCCCCUAACAAGCUGUCUUCUUUCUCGCAAAGUGCCUCUUGUGACCGGGUGCUCACGAGCGUGUCUUUGACCAAGACCUUCUGAUCUAAGCAGCAUGCACCAACCAGCUGACCAAGUGUUUGGUGCAUCAGUGUGCCUUCCCCACACUAAUGUGUGAGCCCAUGCCAUGUCUAGGUGCCCAUGGCUUAGGCGUGUUGCUUACUUCCAUUAUCAGGUCCAGCUUCAUAGCAACGAGCCAUGGUAUUGCGCCCAUGGUUGAUCCCUCUUGGUGCAUAGGGCAUUGCGUCCCUGUGCUGUGCAUAGGCAUCAUGGUGCGAUUCAACUAUUGUUUGGUGUCCCAUCAGACCAUGGCAUUGUGAUCAUGGCUUCAUCAGCUAGCUCACCGCACAAGGCUUAGACGCUCUCGUGCCUGCGCGGGGAGGGGGUAGGCCGCACUAGGCCUCGUGCUGUUGCGGCCACGAGAUGCACACCACACAUGUCGUGGAGCCCAUGUGUGCGUGCUCGAGUUGCGUCCGUGUGUCCUAGGCACGCUCAAGGUCAUGCCAUGGUGCCUUCUUGGUGCAGUCAAGGCUUCCCUUGGUGCUCCCUCAUUUGAGUCACCUACCCCCCCCACCCUUAAAGAGCAACACAAGCCGUUUUCAUUGUUUUUGGAGGAGACAUCAAUAUGUUUGAGAAGACAUAAUGGAAUAAUAAAUAAUUAUAUAUUAAAAUUCCAAAAGUUUCUCAGCCUUCAUCUACACCACCUAAAUCAGGUGCGCGCGCAACGCUUAUCUGGUGCGCAUGCAAUGCAUGUCUGGCUCGCCCACAGUGCGCGCCUGGCCUGCUCGCGGUGUGUGUCUGGCUCGCCCGUGGUGCGCGUACGGUGCGCGUUUGGCUCGCCUGUGGUGCACUCACGAUGUGCGUCUGGCUCGCCCGCGGUGCACGCACUGUGCGUGUCUGGCUCGCCCGCGGCCUCCUCACUUAGCCCCUAGAGUUUGAACCACCAAACCUCCAAGCUUUCCUUGCUUUUAGCCUAGGCUCUCAUGGGUGCAAGGCUUACCCAUGAGGCCUUUUCCUCCAUGGUUAAGUCAAGAGGUUAAGGGGCUGACAAACCCACCCCCGCCUACUGAAGUCAAUGCCCUCAUCGACUUAGUUUGCUAGUAUGCCUGGACCGCCGUCUCAAAUUGCCACAAGGUAACAUCCCUCUCCCAAGUAGCUUCUGCUUCUGAAGUCCCCUUCCAUUGAACCAAGAAAUUAAUUCACUGGUUCUUUCUGCUAUGUCCCAUGGUCCUAUGAUCCUAUGAUCCAAGAUCUUUUCUAUCUCUCGAUCAAACUGCUUCAUGACCAAGAGAGGGACCCGCUUUGUCUGCACCCUUUCUGCAUCCAGAUCCUCAUGGUAAGGCUUCAAAAAGCUAGCAUGGAAAUUUGGGUGAAGCUUGAGCCUCUCAGGUAGUUUCAACAUGUAGGCCACCUGCCCAACUCAUUUAAUCACCUCGAAUGGUCCAUCAUACUUAGGAAUUAGACCCUUCUACCUUGUCUUGUUGCUGAUUUUCUUCCAAAUCUGAGGAGUCAAUUUCAGAAGGACCUUGUCCCCAACCUGAAAUUCCAAGGGUCUGCAAUCACGAUCCGCAUACUUUUUCAUUUGUCUAGCUGCCUUCUCUAGACUGUUCUAGACUUCAUCAAACAUCUCUUACCGGGACUGAGCCAUCUUGUAAGCUGCAAAACUACUUCCUCCUGUUUUUUGCUUAGCCACCUCCAAAGGCAUUCGUGGCUGCACCCCAAUAGCUAGCUCAAAGGGACUCAUCCCUGUUGUCGAGCUUCUCUGUAGAUUAUAACAUAACUAAGCAGUAUCCAACAAAUCCACCUAAUUCUUUUGUGUUGUUGUCACAUAGUGCCUGAGGUAUUCCUCCAGCAAGGCGUUGAUCCUCUCUGUCUGCCCAUCAGUCUGAGGGUGGUUGGCUGUAGAGAACUUCAACUCUGAACCUAAGAGUUUGAACAGCUCAACCCAAAGUCGGCCUAUGAACCAUGCAUCUCGAUCACUGAUUGUCCUUAGGCAACCCAAAAUGUUUGACCACAUUACUGAAAAACAACUUAGCCGCUUCCUCCGUAGGGCAAGCAUCAGGGGCAGGUAUAAACACAGCAUACUUAGAGAAUCUAUCUACAACAACAAAGACAGAUUUAAAAUCAUGAACCUUUGGGAAUCUAGUGAUAAAAUCCAUGAAAAUGUUAUCCCAAGGUCUCUCUGGAAUGGGGAGGGGCUGUAGCAACCUUGCAGCCUUCUUCCUUUCAGUCUUGUCCAUUUGACAAACCAGGUAGCAUUUCACAUAUGCCUAGACAUCCUCACCCAUCUUAGGCCAGUAGUAGGAUCUGGCUAGCGGUGUCAAAGUCCUCUCUUCACUAGGAUGGCCUACCCACUUCACAUCAUGAGUUUCCCGUAGUAAUUCAUUUCUCAGGUCGCCUGUAGGAACAUACCAUCUUCCUCCUUUUGCCACAAGGAGGUCUCCCUCCAGCCAAUACCUUCUUACCACGCUCUCCUUAACUUGGUGCUUCAGCUUGCUAUAUGCAGCAUACUGCUCCGCAACUUGCUUGAUAUUCUUAUUAAAGUUAGAAAUGACUUCUGAGAGGGCCGUGAUGUAGGCAAUCACCUCUUUCGUACUCAAGGCAUCAACCACAGUGUUAUGUCUUCCUGGUCGAUGCAGCCAUUCAAAUUUGAAGUCGGUCAGGAACUCCUGCCAUCGUGCUUGUCUGGGACUCAACUUCUUCUGAGUUUUGAAGAAGGUGCUGGCCACAUUGUCGGUGACCACUAUAAAAAUGCUUCUUAGUAGGUAGUGUCUCCACUGCUGCAGGCAGUGGACCACAAUCGUCAUCUCCUUCUCAUGAGUGGAGUACCUCUACUCAGCAUUGUUCAGCUUCCUACUUUCAAAUGUCACAGGGUGCCAUUCUUGCACCAAGACUCUACCCAAGGCUCUAUCUAAGGCAUCUGUUUGGACUUCAAAGGGUAAGUCCAAGUCUGGAAACCGCAGCACAGGCUUAGUGGAGAUGGAUUAUUUCAAGCCUUCAAAGGCAUCUGACACUGCAUGCUCCAAUCCCACUGGUUGUCCUUCUUCAACAGGUCAGUAAGGGGAGACACCUUAUUUGAAUACCCCUUAAUGAACCUUCUGUAGUAAUUGGCCAAGCCAAGGAAGGACCGCAACUCUGUCACUUUGGUAGGGACUGACCACUCCAUAAUAGCCUGCACUUUGCCUUUGUCCAUCCUGAUCAGGCCUGCACUAAUCUUGUGCCCUAGAAAUGUGAUCUCCUCCUGAGCAAACUCACAUUUCUCUGGCUUUACAUAAAGCCUGUUCUCCUUCAAUCUCUGAAACACCAAUCUCAAGUGUUUCUCAUGUUCUAUUAGGGUCUUGCUAUAAACCACAAUAUCAUCUAGAUACACUACCACAAAUGCAUCUAAAUAGUCAAACAAAACAUCAUUCAUCAAAUUGCAGAAUGUAGCAGGGGCAUUAGUCAGUCCAAAGGGCAUUACCAGAAACUCGUAUGAUUCAUACCGAGUUACACAAGUGGUCUUCCCCUCAUCUCCUGCUGCAAUUCGCACUUGCCAGUAGCCUGAUCUCAGGUCCAACUUGGAGAAGUAAGAGGCUUUUGACAGUCUGUCAAACAGCUCAGCAACCAAGGGGAUCGGGUACUUGUUCUUGAUGGUCACCUUGUUGAGGGCUCUAUAGUCCACACACAUGUAGAGAGAGCAUCAUGCUUCUUUUGGAACAACAUUGGUGCACCAUAUAGGGCCCUUGAGGGCUGGAUCAGGCUUGCAUCCAACAGUUCCUUCAAUUGCUUUCCUAACUCCAGCAACUCCAUAGGAGGCAUCCGGUAAGGGGCUUGAGUCAGGGUCUUUAUUCCAGGUAGUAAUUCGAUCUUGUGGUCAAUAAGUCGCUAGGGUCGCAACUCCUUAGGGAGUUCUGCAGACAUCACGUCUCUGAACUCCUUAAGGAUUUUAAUCAUUGAGUUAGGGACUUUCACAGACUGUCCCUCCUUGAUCUCAAUCAAGGUUGCAACAUAAGUCUCUUGGCCCUUCUUCAAUCCCUUCUUUAACUGAAUAGCGGACAACAUCUCAGGCUGUCCAUUACCACCAUCCUUCGCCUUUAAGGCCUUCACAAAGCAAAGCUGCUUCUCUUUUAACUCUAACAGUCCACCAAGAUGUGGGAUCAAGGCCACCUUGGCCCUCAAGAGGAAAUCUAUCCCAAGGAUCAAGUCAAAGUCAUCCAAGGGUACACAAAGUAGGUUGCACGUGCCUUUCCAGUCACCAAUUUGCAUGGGGACAUUCUUAGCUACACCUUGGAUCUUCUGGGCUUUGCUAUUGACUGCCUUGAUCCAACUGGUAUCCUCCUCCAAUUUCAAUCUCAACCUAGUUGCUUCUCUGGUGGCCACGAAGUUGUGAGUGGCAUCAUUAUCCACCAAGGCCUCCACCUGCACACCAUUUACAAUGGCAUGGACAUGCAUUAGGGAUUUCUGGACUAGGGUCUCACCAUUAAUCACGUUCAGGAGUUGCAGUGGGUUGAAUCUAGAAGGGGUCUCUGAGUCAGAGUCUCUCUUGUCGUCUGUAGUCACAAGGGCUGAGAGUUUCUCUCUUUUGGGGUAGUCUCUGGCUCGAUGAGGACCAUUGCAGAUGAAACAUCCUACCUUCCGGGUGGUCUGCUACACAAUCUUUGUGGUCUUCUCCACUGGUUUUCCCCUUAUAGUAGGCUUCUUGCUCUAUUUCUUCCACCCAUACUUCUUAGAAGUCUUGCCCCCAGUCUUAGCCUUCUUGCCUCCAUCUGACUUGGGUCUCUACAUGGUGGAGAUGGUGCCACCUAUCUUGUAAUCCACCAGGCAGUCUGCUGCAACCAUGACAGUAGGGAGAUCACGAACCUCUUGCCUCCUAAGUUCUGUUUGAGCCCAUCCUUGCAAUCUAGACAUGAAAUUAAAGAGCUUGUCCUCAUCUGACAUGUUCUUUAUGUCUAGCAUCAAGGAAUUGAACUCCUUGACGUAGUCCCUCACAGAUCCGGUGUGUCUAAGCCUUUUUAGCGCUUCUCUGGCCACUCACGCAGUGUUAGUGGGGGGAACUGAUCCUUCAAUUCCUUCUUCAGAGUCUCCCGGUGAUUUGGGGCAUUCCAUACUCUGCAUCAUCUUCCAUCCUAGUUCGCCACCAUAGUUUGGAAUCACCAGUCAGAUACAUGCUGGUGAUAGACACCUUUUUGCCAUCAGGAAUGUGAGCAACCUUGAAGAACUGCUCCAUGUCCCACAAGAAGUUUUCCAACUCCUUCGCGUUCCUGUUAUUGUUGAAGCCUUUAGGCUCUAGGACUCGGACCUUGGAAAGGGCUUCAGGGAUUGACGAGGACCCCUACAACGUCCUCUCCAUAGGACUGCAGGGUGCCUUUGAAGUCAUCCAUCAGGGACUGCAUCUCUGAUUUCAACCUAGCAAGUUUCUCCUCAAAGAAAUUAUCAUGGGUCUCCAACAGACUGCUCUGCACUUGGAUUUCUCCCAUGGUGUUUUCUGUCCACAAAGCCAUAGUGCCUUCCUCACCUGGCCAUUCUACCAAUGCUUCUUUCAUUCGAGUCAUCAUUUCCCGCAAGGCGUCCAUUGCACUACCACCGGCCAUCUCUGGUGCGAGCUCUGAUACCAAUUGUCACACCCCUGAAGAUCUCACUAAUUUUUUCAUGAGUACGUGGUGCUAAGGACCUGUCCUUAACCAACCUUCCUUCUUAGCUUUUAGAAAAACAGAGUAAAGCAAGUAAAAGCACAGUAACAGGGAAACCAACGAAUUACAGGAAACCUUUCCCAACUUGUAUUAAUUCACUCUACAAGACAAAAUUGUUCCCUUGAGUCAGAGUACAUGCUUCACACCUAAGCAUUACGAGAAAGAACCCUAUCCCAAAACUCUCUCUUCCUGUUUCAAGGCUGUAGGAGCCCUUUUAAAAGACUUGGCCUGCAGUUACAUAUUUGAAUUUCCAAAUUCAAAAGUUGGAGCCAAUCUGGUGGUUAUGCAACUGGCCAGAACCGCCCAUAACUGCCUUGCAUAACCACCCGCCACCCAAAUAGUGGCUUGCACAUGCCACUCACUUGCAUAAGCCAUCAUCUUUUUAGCCAACUGCAAGUCAAUUGGCUGCUUGAAUUGAUCACCUGAUGUCCUAGCUAGUUGCCACUGACUAGCUACACUGCCAUCUCCUUAAGCCUUGCUCACCAAGCUGCUGGAGAGUCCCCCUAACAAGCUGUCUCCUUCCCCACAAGGUGUCUCUUGUGACCGGGUGCUCACCAGCGUGUCUUUGAUCAAGACCUUCUGAUCUAGGCAGCAUGCACCGACUAGCUGACUAGAUGUCUAGUGCAUCAGUGUGCCUUCCCCACACUGAUGUGUGAGCUCGUGCCAUGUCUAGGUGCCCAUGGCUUGGGCGUGUUGCUUGCUUUCACUGUCAAGUCCAGCUUCAUAGCAACGAACCAUGGCAUUGCAUCCAUGCCUGAUCCUUCUUAGUGCACAAGGCUUAGGCGCCUUUGUGCCUGUGCGGGGAAGGGGUAGGCCCUGUGCCAUUGCGGCCACGGGGUGCACACCACACAUGUCGUGGAGCCUAUGUGUGCGUGCUCGAGUCACAUCCGUGUGUCCUAGGUACGCCCAAGGUCGUGCCAUGGUGCCCCUUUGGUGCGGUCAAGGCUUCCCUUGGUGCUCCUUCCUUUGAGUCACCUACCUCUCCUUAAAGAGCAAUACAAGCUGUUUUCAUUGUUUCUGGAUGAGACAUCAAUAUGUCUAAGGAGACAUAAUGGAAUAAUAAAUAAUUAUAUAUUAAAAUUCCAAAAGUCCUUCAGCCUUCAUCUGCACCACCUAAGUCAGGUGCGUGCGCCAUGUCUAUUUGGUGCACACGCGGUGCAUGUCUGGCUCGCCCGUAAUGCGCGUGUGGUGCGCAUUUGGCUUGCCCGCUUGCGGUGUGCGUCUGGGCCGCUCGCGAUGUGCGUUUGGCUUGCCCGCGGUGUGCGUGGUGCGUGUCUGGCUCGCCUGCGGUGCAUGUGUGGUGCGUGUCUGGCUCGUUCGUGGCCUCCUCACUUAGCCCCUGGAGUUUGAACCACCAAACCUCUAGGCUUUCCUUGCUUUUAGCCUAGGCUCUCAUGGGUGCAAGGACUACCCAUGAGGCCUUUUCCUCUAUGGUUAAGUCAAGAGGCUAAGGGGCUGACAACAGUCGUGUAUACCAAGUGGCAGCCCACAUAUCUUCAAAAUCUCCUUGUGCAUGAAUUAUACCUCCCAAAUCCCCUUCGUGGCCAUUUAUCCCUUUAGUCCUUUUCCAACUCAACUUCCAAAAAAAUUCCAUUUUCCUUAUGUUUUUUUCCAUUCUUUCAUGCUCUCUUAAUGGUAGUUGUUAAUCUCAAGGAUCCUUUUUCCUUCAAAAUAUCCAUGUGGCGUGAAUCAUAUCUCCAUGGCCUCAAAGAAUCAUUCUUAAUAAAAUCUCCUAAAAAAAGAUUCUUCCAUAUCUAAAGCUCUCUUUGCCGUCCAUCACCAUGAGAGUCUUUUUUUCUUUAAAUUCUUAUCAUGUUGUGAAUCUUCCAAUUUCCAUAUGGUAAUGCUCCAAGUCCACCCAAUCUCCUUCUCUUUUUAGAGUCUUACUCCAUUUAAAAUUCAAAUGGCAGUCAUGUUUCAAUAUAAAGAGGAUCAUUUCCUUCCUAAACUCAAUUCAAAAUAUCAAUGUCUUAAUAAGCCCCCAUGCACAUGCUAUGUAAGAUGAUAUGAAAUGUUGUCCUAAAAUGCACCUAAAGCUUUCUAAAAUGCAUGUAAAUAAACUAUUCUAAAAAUGUACCUAGAUGAACUAACUUAAAGUGUACCUAAAUGUUAUGAACUGAGAAUGUAUCUAGAUGAACUAUCCUAAAGUGCAACUAAACUAAGAUGUAACUAAGAAAAUUCUUAAAAUGCAACUAAGUAAACUAAGUGACCUAAACUAAAGUGCAUCUAAGUGAACUCCACUCAAGUGCAUCUAAGUGGGCUAAGCUAAAGUGCAUUUAAGUGAAGUAAGCUAAAGUGCAUUUAAGUGAAAUAAACUAAAUUGCAUCUGAGUGAACUAACUUAAAGUGCAACUAAGUAAACUAAACUAAAGUGCCACUAAAUGAGCUCAACCAAAGUGCAAUUAAGUGAGCUAAAUCUAAAAUGUGAUUAAAUGAGUUGAGUUGUAGUACAACUAAGUAAGCUAAGUUAAAGUGCAACUAAGUGAGCUGAACCUAUAAUGCAACUAAGUGACCUAAACUUAAAAUGCAGCUAAGUGACCUAAACCUAAAAUGCAACCAAGUGAACUAAAUUAAGGUGAAAUUAUGGAUAUAUUUGGGAUCUAUAAAAAAUCCCUCGACAAUGAAUCUUUAAAGAUGGAUAAAAAAAAAUGCUACAUGAGUGACAAUGGACCAUCAAUGGACGACUAUAGGGCAACGAGGAGUGAAUGAAAACACAUAGAAUCAUAUGUGCUACUAGGACAAAAUGGAAGGUUUAUAAGGACUUUAUUAUUUUUGGGAUUAGAUGGUUCUUUAGGGUCUCCUACCCUAAGAAAAGGAAAACAACACCUAAGGUGGACCUUUAGACUCUCCUACCCUAUGAGAAGGAGGUUGACACCAAGUUCUUCAGAUUCUUCCACAUUGAGAGAAGAAGAACUAUGAUUGGGAAAAGAAAGUUCAAAGAUAAAAAAUAUGAAUGCAAUUCCUACUUAGCAUAAGGGUCCUAAUUCAAGUGAUAAAUAAGAAUAUUGGAAAUCUCAUGAUGGAUAAUUUAUUUUAAUAAGGUUACCAAAAUGAUCUCAAAGUCUCUCAUUGAAAAUAUUAAAUAGGAGUGGGUCAUAAGUAAGCCCACAACCUCUAAGAGUGAGCUUAACUUGAUUUUGGGCCCAUCACCAUCUUGAAGAUGGGGUGACCCAAGGAAUCAAUGGAUAUAGACUAUCAUUAAGGACGAGACUAUAUAUGUUUAUAGUGGGCGUGACCAAUCUUGAAGAUGUAACUCUUUAUUUGGUAACAUUGAUGCUAAGGAUCUUGAUUAGACAGUUAACUCAAAUGUAAAGUAGUAGAAUCACUUGAAGUGGUUUUAUUUGCACAAUCUGAGGGUUAAACAUAAAAGGUAUGUUAAUCAAUGCCUUAGGAUAACAUUUUAAGGUUUAAGGCAAGUUGAUUAAUUAGAGAGGGUUCUACCCUAGUAAUAAAAGUCAUGACUUGCCUGAAGUAAGCCUGAUUCUUAUGAUACUAGGAUACCUUGCAUAGAUAUAUGUAACUUGAGAGCACUAAUUUUUGUAAAAUUAAUUACCUAUUUGCCUUGAAUGCUUAGUUUCUUUAUUAAUGAAUGGAAUAUUUUGUUUAUUACAAGAAUCAUGUCUUAUAACUUUAUCACCCUAGUUCUCAUUGAUACCAAAUUGACUGGACCUAAUUAUGUUGAUUAUAAAAGAAACUUGGGCAUAGUACUCAUAAUAGAACAACUGAAAUGAGUUAAGUUUCCAUCACUUUUGUCUUGCAUCAUCCAGAGAGACAAGAGGACCCUAACCUCCACCUUCCCAAACCUCCUCCUUUGGUUGAAUACUAAGAUCAAGGUAGAGUCAUAGCAGUAGAAAAUCUUGGGGAAUUUGAGAUAUUUGGAAACUUCAAGUUUCAUCUUCUUCGAAUGUAAUAGAUUUUGGAACAUCCAAAUCUAAGGUAAAGUUUUCUAUAACUAUUAAUUUAGAUUUGUUCAUGUUUAAAAAUAUAUGCUUUGUUGGUGCUUAGAAUCUAGAGGUUUAGGAAAGAUUUUCAUGCUCCUAACUUGAUCUUGAGAUAAGGAACAAAGACAUUUAGGGUGUUCCCUACAAAUCAUAGGCCUUAAACUUGAGAUAUUUAAGUAUUUACUAAUAAGUCAAGUAAAUAAGAUAUCUAAAGAUAUCCUAGGAUGAAUAGGGAUAGGCCUAGGAUAAAAAAUGGGCAAUACAAGAAAUGAUCCUCAAGCUUAUACCACUUGACCUUAGUCAAUAAGACAUAUACCCAAAGAUUUCCAAAGAAACUCAAACCUAAUAGAGUCUAAGGAUUUUGUGAAGGUAUCAACCAAUUAAUGUUAAGUGGAGACAAACUCUAGAGAAAUUACCUUGUCAUCUACAAGAUCCCUAACAAAAUAAUGAUGUUUUAAUAUGAAUAGUUCGAGAAUGAAGAAUAGGAUUUUUUUAAAUGUUUAUAGCAUUAGAGUUGUUUGACAAGAUUUUCAUGGUAUCUUGGUCAAUGCCAUAGUCACUAAGCAAUUGUUUUAUUUAAAGGAGUUGAGUACAACAACUCCUUGCAACUAUACACUCUACUUCCAUAGUGGAUAAGGAUAUCGAGUUUUACUUCUUACUUAGGCAAGCAAUUAGACAAUCGUUGACAAAAAAGCAAACUCUUGAAGUGUUUUUCUUAUCCUCUACAUUUCCAACCUAGUCAACAUUGGAAUAGCUGGUAAAUCACUAGUGAAGAAUCAAAGGGAUACCACAAACCAUAGUCUCAUGUCCCAUUCACAUAUCUAAUGAUUCUUUUUAUUGAAGUUAAAUGUGAUUCUUUCAGAUUAGCUUGGUAUGUUGCACAUGCUCUAAGAGAUAUUAGGUCAACUCAUAGUGAGAUAUAAGAGACUCCCUAUCAUACUUCUAUAAAGCUUUUUCUCAACAUGCUUUCUAGAUUUGUCCUUGUAAUGCUUAGCAAUGGUACUCAUAGGUGUUCUAAAGUGCUUAACAAACUCUAGACCAAACUUCUCACUAACUCCCUUGCAUAUUUAGACUGAGAUGAGAAAAUAUCAUUCUUAGAAUUGUCUUAUCCACAAGCCUAGGAAAAAGUUGAGUUUAUCUACCAUUCUUGUAGUGGUACCUAGAGGAGGUGAACAGGUGUAUCACUACAAGAAAAAAGGCUUCUCUUGACAGUGUUUGACUGUCAUGGUAAGUGGUAUAUGUUGUUAUAGUAUUCUAAUUCUAUAUGUCUUCUUUUCCAAUGUCAAGGUAGGGGUAUAAGCAAUCUUGACAUAUAAAUACCAUAGAGUAGGUGUAUUUCACUACUCAUCAUAUGUCAUGGUCUCUCUAACAUUUGUUAAGGUUGAAUGAAACAUAUUUCAAGGUUGCUUUAGCCCAUAUCAAGGUCACAAACCACAUAGUGUGGGCCUUGCAUUUUUCACGAUGCAUUCCCACUUGAUGGCGAAACUCGCUUUUUAUUUAUUUGGUAAAAAAAAUGAUUUUUAGAAAAGAAUUGGAGUCACCACUUAUUUUUGUUUUAUUUUUUUUAAGGGAAAACAAAAUAAGAAAUAAAACUCUAAGUAUGACUCCUUAUUGAGAAAAGACAGUUUAUGGAAAACCAAAGUUGGGUCUGGAGGUCAUGUUACUUAUUGGGAAGGUAUUGUAAAUACCGUAGCACCCCUCGAAGCCCUUAAAAAUGGGUCUCUACUAAAUAAGGUGAAACAAACAUGACAAUUAACUAGGAAAUUAAUUGAUACCAAAAUGAUCAUAGAUAAAAAAUAACUCAUGAUAACGAAUAAAUAAACAAGGUGAGAGUGAGAGCGUACCUUGGUAGCAGGUAAUAAAGUGUUAUCAUGAAAUAGAGUUAGUGCAUAAUCAUGAAUAUAAAGUAUAUCACAUGCAUAUCAAAGAGCAAGACAAAGAUCAGACAAUAUUCAUUAAGUCUAGUAGUUGACAAUUAGAAGAGAAAACUCAUAUGUAGGGUCCUCACCAAAGCCCAAUUGAUUUUGCAUGAAUUAAUCCCACAAAUUCCAUUGGUUUGGAAUUAUGAAAAUCAUAUUCAUGCUUAUUUAAAAUCAAGAGAAACAAAAGAUUAUUUGAAAAUCAAAGAAAAUUUGUGAAAGUGCUUACUUGAAGGGAAAUGUAGCAAGUUUAUUAUAAACAAGAUUUUUUUGACUUAAAACCCUAAUAAAGGAUGAAAAGUUAUAAAAUUAAAAAUAUUUGAAAACUGGAGUGAAAUUAAAAUUAUUUGAAAGAAAACUAGAUUUUUGAAAAUUAUUUGAAAAUUGAAAUCUUAAAAAUUAAAUUUAGAAAAUGGAAUAUUUAAAAAAAAAUUGAAAAUGGGAGUUUUGAAAAUUAAAUUUGAAAAUUGGAAUUUUGAAAUAUUAUUUGAAAAUGAAAAUUUUGAAAAUUGGAAUUUUGGAGAAUUAUUUGAGAAUGAGAUUUCUUAAGAAUUAAAUUUGAAAAGUGGAAUUUUGGAAAAUUAUUUGAAAAUGGAAAUUUUGAAAAUUAGAUUUGAAAAUCAGAAUUUUGGAAAAUUAUUUGAAAAUGGAAGUUUUAAAAAAUUAAAUUUGGAAAUUGGAAAUUUGGAAAAGUAUUUGAAAAUGGAAGUUUUGAUAAUUAAAUUUGAAAAUGGAAAAUUUGAAGAAUUAUUUGAAAAUGGAAGUUUUAAAAAAUUAAAUUUGGAAAUUGGAAUUUUGGAAAAUUAUUUGAAGAUUAAAGUUUUGAAAAUUGGAACUUUGGAAAAUUAUUUGAGGAAGGAAUUUUUUUUAAAAAAAAUUAAAUUUGAAAAUUGAAAUUUUGGAAAAUUAUUUGAAAAUAGAGUUUUGAAAAUUAAAUUUUGGCAUUAAAAUAUGAAGAAACAAGAGGAUGCCACGUAUCCUAUAGGUGGUGCACUGGAGGGUGGCCAUGCAUAGCCAUGUACACGUGGGGCCUAGGGUGCAAUUUUGGGAUUGCAUGCCAAAAGGUGGCCGGGUGCAGAAAUGAGCCAGAAUAAGUGAGACUGUAUUGUGGAUACUGAUGGCUUCAGUCUCUUGCCUGAUGACAACACUUAUCCCAAUGACACUUGCAUUCUAGCCAACUGACCCUCCCGAAUGAGACAAAAGGUUCCCAUUUCUAGUAGCUCCAUUAUAUUGAAUAUCUCUCAAGGAGGGCCCAUGAGACUUUGCACUAUGGUUACACCUGCUAAAGCCAAUAUCACUUUACCAAUAUUCACAGCUUUCAAAAGGUUACAUUCAUCUUCAUCGAAACAGCUCCGCUGAAAAUGAUUAAACCCAGAUACCAUCUUUGGAAGAGAAUCGAGGCUAGCGCAACAUGAAGAAAAGGGACUUUGUUGAGACCUCUCCCACAGUCCAUGACGUAUCUUCUUGAGUGCAAGUCAUGAUCUUCCAAAUGCCAAACGAACCCACCGGACAUAUCUAAAAUGAUAACUGCCACGCGUAGGAGUGAAUCCAUUUUUUUUUUUGUUGCAUUUUCUUUUGCAUGGGUUGGUGCUAGUGACGGUAGAGAAGCAAUCUGGAUUGGAUGGAGCUAAGGGCCGAAGUUAGAUGGUGUUUCGGGGGUGAUUGGUGGGCAUUGUGACAUGGGAUAAGCUGACGGUGGUGGUUCCGGUGUUGUAAAUAAAUUGAAGGAGGUGUGUAUGGUCUUUUCUGGGAGUGGGUGAUGAUUGUGUGGGCUGUGUGAGCUGUGUGGUGGCUGUGUGGGCUAUAACAGGAUGAUGGGGAUUAAUGGUGAUGCAAAUGGGGAGUGGUUGGUGAAAAUUGGUAGCUUUAGAACUGAAGUCGGGUGGUGUUUGAAUGGUGGAUAUAGUAUGAGUAUGAUGGAGAAAGAUUUUAAGAAAGGGUCUCAUGCACCUGGGCAGUGAAGAGGAAAGAAGCUCAUGGGGAAUGAGUGGAGGAAAAGAGAUUGAUUACUACCCAAAAAGUGCUAUUUUGCGCCUUUAAUUCAUUAUGUUUUAAGCACUUUUGUGUAGUAGUUCUCCAUUCUUAUUCCAAUUGGCAUGUUAAGGACCUAGCAAUGACUUCUAAUCAUAUUUGUGGCUAGUUUUAGUGUUUUGACAGCUUUUUGGAUCAUUAAGACAAGCCAAGUAAAGGAGAGAAGCAAAGAGGAAAACAAAGUGAAGAAAACAGAGGACAACAGCUGCAGUCUUCCUUCACACUUUUGGAGAACUUCCCGAAGUCCAUUUUCUACAUGAUAUAUACCAUUUCAAAGCUCAGGAAGUCAAGAAUCCAACGCUUCAAAUCGUGUAUGAUUUGGAGCUGAAAUGAGGAAGAUAUGGCCUUUGGAAGACAACUGCUCCAAGCUUGUGCGAAAUUCGCACAACACCUUCAGCUUGUGCGAAAUUCGCACAACACCUUCUCCUUGUGCGAAAUUCGCACCAGCCCAUGCGUGGUGCGAAAUCUCCUCUGUUCUGCCGACUCCACUUUAGAUAUUUUCUUUUAUAUUUUUUGAUGUAAAUUCCUUUCCUAUCCCUAUAAUUAGCCAAUCACAGGGCUUUGCUUUUGUAAAGACUAUAAGAGGGGUGGAAAUCAUCUCUCGGAACAUAUGAUUGUAUAUUUUUACACUUAGUAAAAUACAAGGCUCUCUUUGCUUCUAUUUUCUCUCUACUAUUUUCUUUUUCUUGGAAGCCAAACAACCUCUGAGGAUGUUUUCCCAGAGGAUGAGAGGCUAAACUUUUGGUUUCUUGAAGUGAAGGAAGCUAGGUGAAAAGUCCAGAUGCUAAAGUGGAAAACUCUCAUGCAUUAAAUACAGGUAGUUGGAGUUCAUAAAUGGCUUUUAAAUCUAAGGUUUUGCUUUAAAUCCCUUAGAAUCACUUUGAAUGACCAAUACAUGGUAAGCUUCAGGUCUCUGUGGAUACUUAUUGCUAGAUCCAUAUCAGACCAUUAGUUAUCAUGUACGAGCCAUUGGAAAGUGGCUCAAGGUGAAGACCCAUAGUGUCUAAAGCCAUUAAUGGAACUUGACUACAAUUUCUAUUGACUUUUUCUGGAUAAAUCUUCAUUGUUAAACCUAUACCGGUUCGGGAAACAACCAUCCUUUAUGUUGUUGUCCCCAAUGUGAGAAGAAAAAUCCGGAACUUCCACUUUGCAUUCUGAACUUGAUCCUAGCAACCUCUAGCUCCGGGAGACUUUCUUUCUUCCAUUUUUACUUAGUUUUAUGUUAGUUUAGUUUCAAACACCACUUUCAAAACAAAUUUUAUUUUCUUUUAAACUUUAAGUUUUUGACAAAGGAAAUCAUCAGACUCAAUUUCUAAUUUUAAGUCUAUCACUGGUAGAAUGAAAACCCAUCCCAGAGUUCGACCCUAGAGCCACUAUGCUAUAGUAGCUUUGCUACGCUAGUAUGAGGUCAUAGGUUUUAUAAAUGUUUUUGAUUAAAAGACCCGACUGGAUUUAACGAAUCAAAAUGGCGCCGUUGCCGGGGAUGGUGCCACUUUACAGUGAUAUGACCUUUUCAGAGUACUUGUGAUUUCCAUCACAAGUUUGGUGAAUUCCUUUUUCACUAACUUCAUUUCCUUUCUUUUAAUUGUAGAAUUCCUUUUGUUAAGUUUAUUUUUGUUUUCUUUCUAACCUUAACUUUUUUCUAGUUUUCUUUUGUUUUUGUUGUCUUUGUUUUGUUUUCAGGUAAGUUGUAACUUGUGCAUGCCCUAUUGGAUUCGGGACCAAGAGGGAAGACUAGUAAGGAUUGAGAAUCCUCAAGACACAGAGUUGGAUAUCUGUGUAAACAUCAUGGACCCUCCACAAGAGGAUCAGAAUUCUCAACACAGUCAAGGGGGUAAUCCAAAUGCAUAUCUAUCCAUGAGGGAUAGAAUGCACCCAUCAAGGAUGAGUGCACCCUCAUGCAUCGUACCUCCUCUUGAGCAGCUGAUUAUAAUGCCCCAUAUUGUGCCCCUCCUACCAAAUUUCCAUGGAAUGGAGAGUGAGAACCCAUAUGCCCACAUCAAGGAGUUUGAGGAGGUGUGCAAUACUUUUAGAGAGGGAGGAGCUUCAAUAGACUUGAUGAGACUCAAGCUAUUCCCUUUUACUUUGAAGGACAAGGCAAAAAUAUGGCUUAAUUCUUUAAAGCCAAGGAGCAUAAGGAAUUGGGUUGAUCUUCAGGCCGCAUUUUUGAAGAAAAUUUUCCCCACCCAUAGGACCAAUGGGUUGAAGAGAUAAAUCUCAAACUUUUCUACAAAAGAAAAUGAGAAGUUUUAUGAAUGUUGGGAAAGGUAUAUGGAGGCCAUCAAUGCUUGUCCUCAUCAUGGCUUUGAUACAUGGCUCUUGGUGAGCUAUUUUUAUGAUGGGAUGUCUUCCUCCAUGAAGCAAAUUCUCGAAACCAUGUGUGGAGGAGAUUUUAUGAGUAAGAAUCCUGAAGAAGCCAUGGACUUUUUAAGUUAUGUGUUUGAGGUUUCAAGAGGAUGGGAUGAGCCCAACUUAAGAGAAAUGGGAAGGAUGAAAGCUCCUGUAAAUCCAAAGGGUGGAAUGUACAUGUUAAGUGAAGACAUGGACAUGAAAGCUAAGGUGGCAACAAUGGCAAGGAGGUUGGAAGAACUCGAGUUGAAAAAGAUGCAUGAAAUCCAAGCCAUUUCCGAGACACAAGCCCAUGUCAUGCCAUGCACCAUUUGCCAAUCAUGUGAUCAUGUGGUAGAUGAGUGCCCAACCAUGCCAGUUGUGAGGGAGAUGUUAGGUGAUCAAGCCAAUGUUGUGGGGCAAUUUAGGCCCAACAACAAUGCACCUUAUGGAAACACCUAUAAUUCAAGCUGGAGAAACCAUCCAAAUUUUUCUUGGAAACCAAGGCCACCUCCAUACCAACCACAAGCCCAAACCCAAGCACCUCAACAAACCUCUUCAGUGGAGCAAGCCAUUGUGAACCUAAGUAAAGUCAUGGGUGACUUUGUGGGUGAACAAAAGGCAAUCAACUCCCAAUUGCACCAAAAGAUUGAAAAUGUUGAGAGUUCUCAAAUUAAGAGAAUGGAUGGGAUGCAAAAUGAUCUAUCUCAGAAGAUAGAUAAUAUUCAAUACUCCAUCUCUAGGCUUACCAACCUCAACACAGUGAAUGAGAAAGGAAAGUUUCCCUCUCAACCAAGCCAAAAUCCCAAGGGUGUUCAUGAAGUUGAAACCCAAGAUGGGGAGUCUUCAAAGUUGAGGGAGGUCAAAGUUGUGAUUACCUUGAGGAGUGGGAAGGAGGUUGAUCAACCCUUGCCUAAGGUGAGGCAAGAUGAAGAACUCAUGUCAAAGAGAACCUUGGUUAAAGAAAGCAAUAACCAAGAAGAGAAGAGUGGGAAGAAAAAUGCAUCCAAAUCAAGCAUUGAAGAAGAGCCAAGGAUAGUGAUUAAAGAGGAUAUGAUGAAGAAACAUAUGCCUCCCCUUUUUCCUCAAGCUUUACAUGGAAAGAAGGAAAUCAAGAAUUCAUCAGAAAUUCUUGAAGUUUUGAGACAAGUGAAGGUGAAUAUACCCUUACUUGAUAUGAUCAAGCAAGUCCCCACAUAUGCAAAAUUUUUAAAGGACUUGUGCAUGGUCAAGAGAGGGUUACAUGUGACCAAGAAGGCAUUCCUCAUUGAGCAAGUAAGUGCCAUCAUUCAGAGUAAGUCUCCAGUUAAGUACAAAGAUCUGGGAUGUCCCACCAUUUCAGUCAACAUUGGAGGGACACAUGUGGAGAAGGCUUUGCUAGACUUGGGGGCAAGUGUGAAUUUGCUCCCAUACUCUGUGUAUAAGCAACUGGGACUUGGAGGAUUGAAGCCCACAACCAUCACUCUCUCCUUAGCUGAUAGGUCGGUCAAAAUCCCGAGGGGGGUGAUAGAGGAUGUUCUAGUUCAAGUGGACAAAUUCUACUAUCCUGUGGAUUUUGUGGUGCUUGAUAUUGAUCCCACUAUUAAGGAAGCAAAUUAUAUGCCAAUCAUCCUUGGGAGACCUUUCCUAGCUACCUCCAAUGCCAUCAUCAAUUGUAGGAAUGGGGUGAUGCAACUCACAUUUGGAAACAUGACCUUGGAGUUAAACAUAUUCCACCUAUGCAAGAGGCAUCUUCACCCAGAAGAGGAGGAAGGAUUGGAGGAGGUGUGCUUGAUCAACACCUUGGUUGAAUCGCAUUGUGACAAGAAUUUAGAAGAGAGCUUGAAUGAAAGCCUUGAAGUGCUUGAAGACAGGUUACCUGAACCCUCUGAUGUGCUAGCCAUCACGUCUCCUUGGAGGAGACGGGAAGAGAUCUUACCACUGUUCAAUAAGGAGGACUCACAAGGAGCACCUAUGGAGGACCCUCCAAAGCUUGUUUUGAAGCCGCUUCCUGUUGAUUUGAAGUAUGCAUAUUUGGAGGAAGAUGAUAAAUGUCCAGUGGUGGUUUCUUCAAAUCUCACAAGUGGUCAAGAGGACAGUCUUUUGGGAGUCCUCAGAAAAUGCAAGAAAGCCAUUGGAUGGCAAAUUUCUGAUCUGAAAGGGAUUAGCCCUUUGGUAUGCACCCACCAUAUCUACAUGGAGGAAGAUGCAAAACCAGUGAGGCAGCCCCAGAGGAGGUUGAAUCCUCACAUGCAAGAGGUGGUAAGGGGUGAAGUUCUGAAGCUACUUCAAGCAGGGAUCAUAUAUCCUAUUUCAGAUAGCUUGUGGGUGAGCCCAACCCAAGUAGUCCCAAAGAAAUCUGGAAUUAUUGUGAUCCAGAAUGAGAAAGGGGAAGAAGUCUCUACACGUCCUACCUCAGGAUGAAGGGUGUGUAUAGACUACAGGAGGUUGAAUUCAGUGACUAGGAAGGACCACUUCCCAUUGCCUUUCAUGGACCAAGUCAUUGAGAGAGUCUCAGGACAUCAUUUCUACUGUUUUUUGGAUGGUUACUCGGGGUACUUCCAAAUAGAGAUUGAUUUGGAAGAUCAAGAAAAGACAACCUUCACUUGCCCCUUUGGUACUUUUGCAUAUAGGAGAAUGCCCUUUGGUCUAUGUAAUGCUCCUACAACUUUCCAAAGAUGUAUGCUAAGCAUCUUCAAUGAUAUGGUGGAGCGCAUCAUGGAAGUCUUCAUGGAUGACAUCACUGUAUAUGGAGGUUCUUAUGAGGAGUGUUGUUGCAUUUAGAAGCUGUUCUCCAAAGAUGUAUUGAGAAAGACCUAGUGCUAAAUUGAGAGAAGUGCCAUUUUAUGGUACAACAAGGAAUUGUCUUAGGACAUAUAAUCUCCAAGAAUGACAUUGAGGUAGAUAAGGCAAAGGUGGAGCUAAUUGUUAAGUUGCCACCUCCCACAAAUGUUAAAGGAAUUAGGCAAUUCCUAGGACAUGCCGGGUUCUAUAGGAGGUUCAUUAAGGAUUUCUCAAAAAUCUCAAAACCUCUUUGUGAACUUUUGGUAAAGGAUGCCAAGUUUGUGUGGGAUGAGAAAUGUCAAAAGAGUUUUGAGGAACUGAAGCAAUUCCUCACAACUGCACCAAUAGUGAGAGCCCCGAAUUGGAAAUUACCUUUUGAGGUAAUGUGUGAUGCAAGUGAUCUUGCUAUGGGGGUUGUUUUGGGGCAAAGAGAAGAUGGAAAGCCCUAUGUGAUUUAUUAUGCGAGCAAAACUUUGAACGAGGCUCAAAGGAACUACACAACUACUGAGAAGGAGUUGUUAGCAGUAGUUUUUGCCUUGGAUAAGUUUCGUACCUAUUUGGAAGGGUCCUCUAUAGUGGUGUUCACUGACCAUUCGGCUUUGAAGUACUUGCUAACCAAGCAAGAUGCCAAGGCAAGAUUGAUAAGAUGGAUCCUUUUGCUUUAAGAAUUUAAUCUCCAAAUCCGGGAUAAAAAGGGAGUAGAAAAUGUGGUGGCUGACCACUUGUCAAGACUUGUGAUAGCACAUGACUCACAUGGUUUACCUAUCAAUGAUGACUUCCCUGAGGAGUCUCUCAUGUCAAUAGAGGUAGCUCCAUGGUAUUCCCACAUUGCAAAUUACUUGGUUACUGGAGAAGUUCCAAGUGAGUGGAGUGCCCAAGACAAGAGGCAUUUCUUUGCUAAGAUCCAUGCCUAUUAUUGGGAGGAGCCUUUUCUCUUCAAAUAUUGUGCGGAUCAAAUCAUAAGGAAAUGUGUUCCUGAACAAGAGCAAUCAGGAAUUCUAUCCAUUGUCAUAAUAGUGCAUGUGGAGGUCAUUUUGCUUCCCAGAAAACAGCUAUGAAAGUGAUCCAAUCAGGUUUUUGGUGGCCCUCUCUUUUCAAGGACGCCCACACUAUGUGCAAGGGAUGUGACCGGUGUCAAAGGCUUGGUAAGCUAACACGCCGAAAUAUGAUGCCCUUGAACCCCAUCUUGAUAGUGGAUGUCUUUGAUGUUUGGGGGAUAGACUUCAUGGGACCAUUUCCAAUGUCAUUUGCACACUCCUACAUUUUGGUGGGAGUGGAUUAUGUCUCUAAGUGGGUAGAAGCAAUCCCAUGUAGGAGCAAUGAUCAUAAGGUGGUUCUUAAAUUCCUCAAGGAGAACAUCUUUGCAAGAUUUGGAGUGCCUAAGGCCAUUAUAAGUGAUGGAGGAACCCACUUUUGCAAUAAGCCUUUUGAGACUCUUCUAGCCAAAUAUGGGGUCAAGCACAAGGUAGCUACACCUUAUCACCCUCAAACAAGUGGCCAAGUUGAGUUAGCCAACCGGGAAAUCAAGAAUAUACUGAUGAAGGUGGUGAAUGUGAAUAGGAAGGAUUGGUCAAUUAAGCUCCUAGAUUCAUUAUGGGCUUAUAGGACCGCUUACAAGACCGUUCUUGGAAUGUCUCCUUAUCGUCUUGUUUAUGGCAAAGCGUGCCAUCUUCCAGUAGAGAUUGAACAUAAAGCAUGGUGGGCAAUCAAGAAGCUCAACAUGGAUUUGACAAGAGCCGGGUUAAAGAGAUGUUUGGAUUUGAAUGAAUUGGAGGAAAUGAGGAAUGAUGCUUACCUCAAUUCAAAAAUUGCAAAGGAGAGGUUGAAGAAAUGGCAUGAUCAAUUGGUAAAUCAAAAGAAUUUUGCCAAGGGACAAAGAGUCUUGCUUUAUGACUCAAAGCUUCAUCUUUUUCUGGGAAAAUUGAAAUCAAGGUGGACGGGUCCUUUCAUAAUUCAUGAUGUGCAAUCAAAUGGAGUAGUGGAACUAUUAAACUUCAAUAGCACUCGAACUUUCAAAGUGAAUGGGCAUCGUCUCAAGCCCUAUAUGGAAUCAUUUUCCCGAGACAAGGAGGAAUUUAUCCUCCUUGAUCCACCUCCAACAUGAAAACACUCAGUUCAUGGUUGAACUUAGUCUCUUCAAAGACUAAAAAGUUCAUGCUCUUUUUGUUCCCUUUUGCAUUAAUUUUAGUUUAAUCUAGUUUUUCUUUUUCUUUUCUUGUGUAUAUGCAUGUUUUGAUUUUUAUUUUUGCCCUUGAGUUCAUUCUAAUGUGGUUUGAAUUGGUUCUUGUGUUAACAUGUAGGUAGGAAAGCUUGAAGAAUGAAAACAAGGGAAAACAGGGGAGAAAAGCCAAGACACAUCAAAAUUCGCACCACCCAUGCCCCUUGUGCGAAAUUUUCACACAACACAUCCCCUUGUGCGAAUUCUCUUUUGUGACAAAUUUUCAAAAAGCAUGCUCUCGGUCCCUACCCAAAAUCUCAGUGCGAAAAUCACAGGAAUGCAAACCUUGUGCGAACCUUGUGUGAAUUCGCUUUUGUGACCAAUUUUCAAAAGCAUGCUCUCUGUCUUGGACCACCACAGGAAUGCGAAAUUUUCGUACUACCCAUCACCUUGUGCGAAAUUCGCACUUUCUCUUUAAAAGCCAUUUUCUCUUCUUCAAUUCUAAGCUUCUUCUUCUUCAAUUCUCUCCACACCUCUCUUUCGAUCACCAUUUUCCAUCCACAAGGUCCUCUCCUUCAUCAUCCCUCAUCAGAGAUUCAAAUCAAAAUGGCUAAAUGGGUUUCCCUUGGGUGAGCUUGAUGGAGAAGAGGGUGGCCAUGCAGGAGUGAGUUGGAAAAGUAAGGCUUUGGGUGUGGGGAGUGCUGGAACAAAAAAAAUGGUAUCUUUGAUCUACAAGCUCUAAGUUUUCUUUUCAUUCAUGUUUGAUCCAAAGACACAUUUCUUUCAACAGGAUGCUUUUCUGAAAGUGUCCAUAUUAAUAUGCAUUUUUUUGAACCAUGUCACUAGGUGCAUGUUCUCCUCGAGCUGGCUCUUGUCUAGUGCUUUUUUCCAAGUGAUGAGCUCUGUCAAAAUCACCUCAAAACUGGUGACGUCCACUUUAGUAGUCACUCAACUAGUCGAUACAUACUCUAGCACCAAAGUACCGACAAUUCUUAUUUUAAUUGAGCUCUUCUCAUCCGGAACAAGUCACGCAAGACCACGAUCAACAACCUUAACUCUCAUAUCGUCCUUAAGAAGAAUGUCUGAAGGCUUUAGGUCCUUGUGUAUAAACUCUGAUGGGCUGAUCCAAGGAGGUAUUCAACACCCCUUGCUACAUCCAAUCCAACAACUAGCUCUCCAAUCCAUUCAAGUCACAUCCUUCUCAUUAUAAUUUAGCAAACACAUUCUAGUUAUCACAACUCUCAGCUUUAUUUUCCCAACCAGAAUAAUCACCAGAGAAGUAAAAGGUACAUGGUAGUGGAUAUAAGACCCAUACACACUGAAAAAUAUGACCAGUAUAGAAUAAACACUCAUCCAAAAUCCGAUUCCAACCACCUGCUCAAAAUCAUUGUCAAAAACUUUGGAAAAGAACUUUGAAAGUUGAAAUUACUUCAUUGGGCUAAAUAGGACAUGAUGAAUCCAUUUCUAAAAGUAGAGUAAUUAGCUUUCAAAACUAAGUCACUGAACUGUCUCAACCCAACAAACUGACUAAGUUAAAAGAGAAUAAUCACUCUAAAAUUUCAAGUGUCAUUGUGAAACUGAACCUCCUUAGAUCAUUGACAAGUUGAUACUCAAGGAUUUGUGUGUCCUUCCCCCCAUAUAUUUCAUCUAUAGCCUCCUCUCCACCUAUCUCCUUUCCCUUAGACCCUCUAAUCAUAUUCAGAUCCACAAGGAUAGAACCAAGACCGAUUUUUUUCCCAUUACUAGCAUCAAUGACGAUCAAAACAAACAAGCAGGCCACCAAAACCACAAAGUAAGCAGCAAACACAAUCAAACACUAUCCCCAAGAAUAAUGAAAGUAAGAAAGGAUUGGAAGACCAGGUACAGAAAGCUAAAGGUUCCAAAAUAGAGCAUCCAUGAUCACGACUUGAUUAACAUUCCUCUUUCAUUCAAACUGAUGGUGGACUUUAGUUGUUUUAUCAAUUACAAAAAAAAAAAAAAAAAAAAAAUCAGUCUACAUUCAUGGGUUUUCACUUAUAGAAGGGAUCUCAAGUGUGGAAUCUAAAACAAAGACCCAGAUUGGAACACCCAUGUGCUGAAUAGGGAGAAACAUAGGAUAUAAUGGAAUGGAGCUUUAAAAGAGAAUGAGUGUAGACCCUUAAUUUUGUCCUCCUAGCACAUGUCUUAUUAGAUACUUAUUCGAUACUUUACAGUAGCUCCUUGGUGGCCCAUAUCUACUCACAUUACUUACCUUUCUUGAACCACCUCGGAGACUCUGAUUGAGGGAUUGCCUAACCCCUUAUUAUGACCUCGGCAGCUCUAAUUUAGACUUAGACACUUUCCUAAACGCCUUAGGCCCACUUAGACACUUCAUUGGGCUUAGUUCACUUAGGUCCACUUUAGCACUUUUUAAACCCACUUUUUAUAUGGCUUGCAUGAUUGCAUGGCCUACCCGGCUUGUGUGGCUUAUAUGGAUUUCUUUAUUUUUUUUUUACUACAAGUUUUCUAAAUCAUAUUUCUUGGCUUGUUGGGCAUGAGGAAACGGGCCGCCACCUAUUUGGAAGGAGAACCGACAAAAUUUUGAAAAAAAGGAGAUUUUGUUUUUUUUUAGAAGGAUAACACAUAUAUUAUUUCCAUAGGGAAUCGAUCAUAAAAGGGAAGAAAAUAAGAAAGAGAGACAAAAAAGGAAGGAAUGAGAGGAUUUUGCUCUAGCGAGAUUUGGGGCGUUCUUUGGGAAGACUGAUAUAUAUACGUGAGAGAGGAAGAAAAAAAAUGGGGAGAGGAUUCUUUGAUUGUUAAGGGCAGAAAAGCGCACGAGGGUGGAAGAGGAGCAAUUGCAGCCGACUUUGUCCAGGUAUGCUUCUGGUUACUCUGGGUGUUCUGACCCAUAUUUGAUUUCUCCAUUUUGGUCAUUUAGAAAUAUUCAAUGUCUUGUUGUUCGGUGUGGACGAAAAGGGCCACAAGUUGUUCUUCUGGGAUUGGUCGUUUACUACUCCACCUUGUUUCGAUUUUGAUUAUUUUAUAUGUCAUUGAUGUCUUUGGAAAUAUAGAACUCCAUGCUUGAAUAUUAUCACGCUCGGUUUUUCGUUUAAAUCCUAUUCUGCAUAGUUCCCUCCGCUCUUAACCCAUGGAUUAAUACUUGAAGUGGGGUUAUUUAUGCUUACUGAUCAACGUCUUCUGUUUUUUCCUUCUCCGGAUAUCUCACAUUCGGAAUUCUGUCCGGCCCAACGUUCCAUCUUCUCCGGAUAUCUCACGUCCGAAAUUCUAUCCGCCGACAUUUCACAUUCUCCGGAUAUCUCACAUCCGGAAUUCUGUCCGGCCCAACGUUCCAUCUUUUCCGGAUAUCUCACAUUCGGAAUUCUGUCCGGCCCAACGUUCCAUCUUCUCCGGAUAUCUCACGUUCGAAAUUCUGUCCGGCCCAACAUUCCAUCUUUCUCCGGAUAUCUCACAUCCGGAAUUCUGUCUGGCCCAACGUUCCACCUUCUCCGGAUAUCCCACAUCUGGAAUUCUGUCCUGCCCAACGUUCCAUCUUCUCCGGAUAUCUCACGUCCGGAAUUCUGUCCGCCGACAUUUCACCUUCUCCAGAUAUCUCACAUCCGGAAUUCUGUCCCCCAACGUUCCAUCUUCUCCGGAUAUCUCACGUCCGGAAUUCUGUCCGCCGACAUUUCACCUUCUCCGGAUAUCUCACAUCUGGAAUUCUGUUCGCCGACAUUCCAUCUUUCUCUGGCCAACAUUCCAUCUUUCUCCGGAUAUCUCACAUCCGGAAUUCUGUCCGUCGACAUUCCAUCUUUCUCCGGAUAUCUCACAUCUGGAAUUCUGUCCGCCGACGUUCCACCUUCUCCGGAUAUCUCACAUCCGAAAUUCUGUCCGACCGACGUUCCACCUUCUCCAGAUAUUUCACAUCCACCGCCUGACGCCGGAUGGGAGAGGAGGGCGAUUCAACUUCCCCGGUCAGACAUGUCCGAAUCCUCCUCUCUUCGCUUCUUUGAUUGGAAAUUUACUAUUUUUAAUUGAAUUUUUGAAUCCUUUUACGACUAAGUGUUUCUGGCUUUGAAAAAUCCAUCCUUAGAACCAUUCUAGUCACUAAAAUUCGGAUUUUAAUAAAUUUGCUGCCACUUUCCUCCAGGCAUGCAUUUUCAUUAUUUUAUUUUAUUUUCAACUACUUUCAUGGUUUUCUUGAUUUCAAUAAGCAUGAACAAAAUUCAUGGUUCCAAAUAAUGGAAUUCACUGAACCAAUUCAUGCAAAAGCAAUUAGGGCUUUGGUGGGGGCCCGACAUUUAUGAUAUUCUCAUCAAUAUUGUUUGCUUGAUAUUUGAUUGAUUGUGAUUCCUCUUUGUGGCAUUGAGAUUAUUUCGCACUUGUUACUAAACAACUUGAUUCCAUAGAGGAGUAUCAGCUUGCUAUCCAGGUACGCUCUUCCUGCCCUCAAAACUCUAAAAUUCUAUGAAUGUGUUUGUCAUUAUGAGCCAUGUCCAUGUUUUGAUGCCAUAAUUGAUUGCCUUGAUGCUUGUUUGAUCAUCUUUGAUAAAAAUGUUUAUCAUGUCUCAUAUUUUCAAACUAAUCUUUGAUGUCUUGUGGAAGCGCUUAAGAAGCUAUCCAGGUACGUACCCUAAAUCUUCUUCAUGAUUGUGAUUGGUUUUCCUAUUAAGCAUGCUAUUUUUUUUUUCGAAAUCACUUAGCCUACUUGGGUAUCCAUGAUUAACCAUUUAAUUGCUAUAUUUCCCUCAACUAGUCAGUAGAGACCUUUGUAGGGCUUAGAAGGGUGCUACCUCCUAGAGGUACCUUCCCAAUAAGUAACCUGAUCCCCGGACCUAGACUCAGGUUUCUCAAAGACAUGUUUUUUCCAAAACUAUGGAGUCACUUUUUAGGGUUUUUCUUUCUUGUUUUAUUUUCCCUUUAAAAUAAAAAUAAAAUAAGUGGCGACUCCAACUUUUCUAAAAUUAAUUUUUUUCACAAAUAAAAAGUGAGUCUCGCCGAUCGAGUGGGGACGCACAUGAAAAAUGCGAGUCCACAAAUUGGCGACUCUGCUGGGGAUUUUGAGGAUCAAGCUUGAACACUAGUUAAGGAAAAUAUGGGGUUUAAUUGAUCGAUUAGAGGGUAACCCCUUUUCCUAGGCAAGGUGAUUCGAUUUGCUUGAUUGGUCUGCUAUCUUGACAUGUUUGAUUGCCUUGGAUGAUCACUUGAUUGCUUGCUCACUUUAGCAUGAUUCACUCUCACAUAUGCUAGAUAGGACUUUGAUUUUAUGAUAUUCAUCUGCUUGGUAUGACUGCUUGUUGCAUGACAACUCUUUCUCUUGCAUGAUCGUAUGAUCGCUUGUCUUUGUUCACUCUCUCACUUUAGAUCUUAGGUUUUUUGGAUGCACCCACAUCCUUCAUUGUGCACUUUAGAUUAUUCCUGAGUGUUGAGAGAUGGGAGAGCCUUCACCCUUAAGAAACCCCCUGGGAAUGCGAGGAAGUGCAUGUGUGGAGGUGAUGACCACCUUGCAUGGAAGCACCCCGUCUCCUUGGAGGCGUGCAGAGGGUUGCGUACCGCCGGAGGGUACUAUCGCUUCUGCUAGGGAUCCUUUGACCCACCCAUUUUACCCUAUAGAGCCACCUCAACCUUGUAGGUUAGCCUAGACCCAAUUAAGAUUUCAUCCUUACACGUGGGUGCAUCUGUGGACCUUUAGAGCUGCCUUGGUCACAAUUGGGUUUAGUUAUCAUCUCCGUAGUCUCAUUUUGGUGUGCUCAGAGAUUGGUACAUAUUUGUUUCAAUUGGACCACAUUUCUGCUUAGUGAUUAGUGUGUCUCCACCUUUUCUGAGUUUCCUUCAUGUCAUUUAUCUUUUCGUGCCUUUGUACCUUAUAGGAGGGUUAUUCGCUUCAGUUUAGAUUCGACUUCUUAGAUCAAAGUUGGAGAUAAAUUGAUCAGGGUUUCAAAGCAGUCAGGUAUGGAUCUUUAGCAUGUUAUAGUUGAUCGAAUUACAGUCACCAUGACUCUAUUCAAUAGACAUUAGCAGGUUUGAGCUAGAGGAUUGAUGGACAGUGAGAUAGAUAGCAUCCAUUUCAGGAUGAGAUGUCGUAUGAUUCAUUACCACCCACCUCCACCACCCAGUUAGCCAGUGACAUUGUUGAGGGUGACUUCGUACAUAUGAUGAGUUUAGUGGAUUAUGAGUCAAAGUUUAUCAUAUGAGAGUUCUUAUAGAGGACGUUAGUUUUUCUCAGAUGGGAGAUUUGAUUGACAUGAUUUUCUUCAUGACGAGCAUGAGAUGGACGUAUUGGAUGAUAGUUGGAUGCUUGGCACAUAUUAGCCAGAGAUAGUUCACUCUCUUGAUAUGCUUGAGAUCUUCAUUGUUGAGAGUUCAAAAGAGAUUCAGUUUAUUUAAGUUGGCGCAUCCCACUUAUGUUGAUGAUAUGUUUGAGGACGAUAUUAGCCCGGUUAUGGUCAUGGAGAUUCAUCUAUUCCAGGAGACCCUAGGGACUUACUUGGAGUACACCACUUGUCAUUAGAGAGUUGACCCCAAAGAGGAAAUAUGAUUGACAUAUCUGGAUAGAGACCAGUUCUCAAACCCCACCAAUGUGGAUUAGUUGAAGAAGUAUUACAUUUGAGACCAUGGUCGCAGGAUGGGUGGCCAUCAUUUUGGUUAGCCUUAUACCUUAUCACCUUUAUUGAUAUAUUAAACCAUUGCUAGCCCAUUGAGCCUCACGUGGUAUGUUAUAGCCUUAUUUCUUUCUUAUAGCCUUGAUUACCAUUUCUACACUCGGGUUGGGACCCUUUGGUGUAUAUGCAUGCUUUGCUAUGAAAGUCUCAUGAGCUUUAGACUUAUAGGCCUAUCUUCUCAUUCUUGUCAUUAUCUCCUUAUCACCCCGUUUGUUCUAUUUUGCUAUCAUCACAUUUCCAUUCUCUUUCUUGCUUUUAUCAUUAUUUGCUUCAUUUUAUCUCUUCUCUUUCUUGGGCUGAUGAUUCUUCACAUCUUAGUGCAAAGAUGGCAGUCAUAUCACUCCAUUCAUCCCAUCAUUUGGCAUUGAUUCGGAGAUUUUAGUUUGAGAGGUUGUCUCAUGGGUAGGGGUUCAUGUAUUCAUCAGUAAUUUGAGAGAGUUUAUUCAUUUCUUGUAUCUUUCCCAUUGGAGUUUGACUUAUUGAUGAUCAGAGCAUGCGCUAAAAAAAAAAAAAAAAAAAAAAAAAAAAAAAAAAAAGAAAGAAAAAGCGCAAUGAUAUGUUUGUGUGUGGAAUCUUGCUCCAUUGGGCACUUAUGUCACCUUUUGAGGUCUGUUUAUUGGGUAUAUUUGUCAUUGUGGGUUCUUGUGAGAUUUUUAUAUGGGUUUUCACUCCUUGAGCCAUUCUUGUCAUGCAUUUGGAGUCUCGAGGGUUCAUGUGAGAGUUCUAUGGUAUCCUAUGCUUCUUGGACCAUGGUUGAUAUGUAUUAGGUAUGAGAGAUGAGUGACCUUUUACUAGGGUCUCCAGAUCAUUGUCUUAUCCACCAUUCCAUCAUUGGUGAUAUGACUUUCCUUUAUUGUACUAAUAUGAGUUGAUCAUCAUUCAUUCCACUUUCUCAGUGCCUUCUUUUGUAUCUUAUCACCUCUUUCCAGAUCAUUGUUCCACAUUUUAUCUAUUUCCUACAUAUUGAUACACAUUUUUGAUUCGAUACCUUCUUCACAUCACUCACAUGUUUCAUUGAUGGUUUGACCACUUAUCCUUUCUCUUGUUUCGCCAUCAACAUUUCCUUUGGUUACCUUUAGGUUCAUGGCUCGUGAGAUUUUUUCUAUGCAUUACAUUUUGUACAUGAGGGUAUGGGUUUGAUCAUUGGGUAUUUGAGCCUAGUUUCCCUUCAUUUCUUUCACCCUAUCACCCUGGCCUACGUUACGUCCCGUGUCUUAAGACCACCCUGAGGGUCAUGAGAUCAAAUAUUAUCUUUGACAGCCUCUACUUAGGUUGGUGUUUGGGAUUUGGUUGAUAUAUAGACGUUGUUCUGUUUCUUCUUCUAGGAGAUGCUUCUUUGAUGCUUGGAGGUGAUCUAGUGUUGGAUGUAGACGAUUACUUCAUUUUUAUGGAUGAUAUUUGAUGUUGUUUGGCUUCCCAUUCUACUGCACAUCAGAUAUCCAUACUAGGGCAUAUUCCCCUUUCAUUUGGUUGAGAUGAGCCCCUAGUGGAGCACUUUCUUUGAGCCUGGGCAUUUUCAUCAAUCAGAGAUCCCUAGUGGAGCAUGUUGAGAUGAUAUCAGUUCUAGUGGAGCAUUGUUGAGCUUAUUGACAGUUUUUAUGAUUCUAGGUUCCAUUUGCGGAGUAUUUUUGAGAUAGACUAGUGGAUCAUUAUUGAGUUGCAGGCAGUUUUCAGUGCAGUGUAUUGAUUACUACCAAAAAGUACUAUUUUGUAGACCUAAUUAUAAUGGUUUUAAGCACCUUUGAGUAGUAAUUAUAUUCAUUUAACCCAAUUAAUUCAUUAAGGUCCUUAGUAAUUGGUUUUAACCAUUUUGUGGCAAGUUUACAUGUUUUUAUCAGCUUAUGAAUCAAUUCAAGCAUGCCAAAUGAUGGAGGAGCUUCUUGGACAAGUUAAAGCAAGCUUUUAGCUACACCAAAGCAAGCCAACAAAAGGAGAGAAGCAAAGAGAAGCAAAGGGAAGCAAAGAGGAAAACAGAGGACAGCAGCUGCAGUCUUCUUUGGCACUUUUGGAGCACUUCCCGAAGUCUAUUUUCUACAUGCUAUAUAUCAUUUCAAAGCUCAGGAAGUCAAGAAUCCAACGCUUCAAACCGUGUACAAUUUGGAGCUGAAAUGAGGAAGAUAUGGCCUUCGGAAGACAACUGCUCCAGGCUUGUGCGAAAAUUUCGCACAACACCUUCCAAAUUCGCAUAGCCCAUGCGUGGUGCGAAUUUUCCUCUGUUUUUGCCGACUCCACACGAGAUCUUUUCUUUUGGAUAUUUUUGUAUAAAUUUCCAUUCUUCUCCUUGUAAUCCACCAAUCAUAAGAUUUCUUAGCUAGGAAGGUUGGAAAAACUUCUCUAUUUAUAUCCCCUUGCAUCCGUUGUAACAAAUAUUGAUAUAUAGAUAUAGAAUACAUAUUACGUUUGACACUUAGAAUAUUUACAGAGCUCUCCCGUUUCUAUUUUCUUAGUAGACAAACAGCCUCUGAGGGCUUUUCCUCAGAGGAUGAUUGGCUAAAACUUUUAGUUUCUCAAAGUAUGGAUGUUAUGUGAUGGCUUGGAUGCACUCCCAUGGAAAUUUCUCGCACCUGGAAGGUAAGGUAGUCGUUUUUCAUUAAAGGUUCAUUAAUGCAAAGUUUGGUUUUUAUUUUCUUUGGACAACUUCCAACGGCCAAUACUUGAUAAGCUUUUGGAUUUCUAUCCAUUAGUUAUCUCCUACGAGCUAUUGGAAGGUGAGGUUUUCAAUUCCAAGUUUUGCAUUAAUCCGUUAGAACCAAUUUCAAUGGCCAUUAAAAGGUGAGUUUAUCACCUGGAAUGACUUUGAGUUGCCAAUAUUUGGUAAGCUUUUGGCUUUAGACCAUUAGUUAUCUCUUACGAGCCAUUCAAAGGAAGUCUAAGGUGAAUAACCAUUGAUGAAAUUCACUACCAUCUAUUUUGCCAUUUUAAAGGAUUAAAACUUGAUUUGCUAAAUCCAUACCGGUUCGGGAAGCAAGCAUCACCAUAGUUGCAACCCCAACGCGAGGAGCCUAUCCUGAGAUUUCCAAUUUGCAUAAGAGCCAGAGCAUAACUAUCCUAUCUUUGAGAAACUUGUUUUUACACCCUUUCAUUUUAGUCUUUAAUGUUAGCUUAGAUUAGUUUAAAUCUUUCUAAAACAUUUACAUCUUCUUUUAAAGCUAACAUCCAUAAGAAAAUCACCUAUUUUCCUAAUUUGAAUAUCACUUGUGUUUGCGAAAACCCUUCCCAGUGAACGAUCCUAGAACCACUAUGCUAUAGUAGCUUGGCUACUUUAGUAAUAGUAUUCAAGGUAUAAAUUUUGUUGAUACGCCUUUAAAGCUAAGCUACCAUGAGUCGAAUCAUGUAUAGAUCUUAUAUAUUGGGGUAUAUUUCCUCAUUUUGAGGUCACCAGAUUCCCAUAAGAUUUAGUUAGAGAUUCAUCAGAGACGUGCUUCUACUCUCGAGAUUAUCAUAUUCCUCAUCAUUUUGGUUAUUCAUUUGAGAUUAGAUUUAGAGUAUCUUCCUUGAGGCAUCGACUGAUACUUCAUUUUGAUUUCUUAGCGGAUUAUUGUUGAGUUGGAGACAGUUGAUUGAUGAUGUUGGAUUCAUCCUUUUGAUUGUGCAUCAGAUAUCCACAUUGGGGCAUAUUCCUCAUUUUCUCCGAGAUUCCUAGUCGUUUUGGAUCAUGUGGCUAUCUUAUUCAUGGUUAUAGAGAUGCUUGACGGAUUCUUUAUUGUACAUCAGAUAUCCAUACUGGGGCAUAUUCCCCUCUCCAUGAUGAGAUUAUGUUCGAGCAGCGGUGUAUAGAUGGAUGAUCACUGUUGGUUGUUUAUCUCAUGACUUCGACAUCAGAUAUCCAUACUGGGGCAUAUUCCCCUCUCCUUUACGAGAUUUGUUUGGGCAGUGGUAUGAGGAUGGAUGAUUAGUGUCAGUUGUUUACCUCAUGAAUUUGAUAUCAAAUCUUAUACUGGGGCAUAUUUCCCCAUUUUCUUUGAGUAUCCUUGAGAUUGAGACAGUGGCCAGCAUGGUUUUAGAUUGAGAUUAGUUUGAAGCUUCUGAUGAUUGACUGUAUCAGGACUUCCCUACAUGGAUUUGUUGAGAUAGAGAUGGAUCACAUCAGGUUUCACCCGAGGAGCAUAGGUGGAUCCUUUAGACAAAUGUUCAUGAGAUAGAUUGCUUUAGUCAUUUUUACCUUGUAGAUUGGGUUAUCCAGACGAGCGGCAUUUUGUGCACUUUGAGAUUUACUUUUAGAUUAGCCAUGAUAUAUGCACUUUGAGAUUUACCUUUUGAGAUUUGUCAAUAGAGCAACUUUUCAGACACAGAGAGUUCUUUCAGUUUUGACUUUUCAGAGGUUUGUCGUGAUGCAUCGAUUUCUGACAUAUUGAUUUCAGCGGAUGAUUGAUUUACUGGUUGUUUUAGCAGUGUGAGCACCCUGGAUACCAAGGCGUAUCUCCCUUCUUGAGUUCAGUAGUCCGACUCUUGUCACUUUGAGUAUACAACUUUGAGCCCAUUUACUUCCUAUCCACUUUCGAGUGGUCUUCCUUAUCUGUUCCUACUAGGCCCUGAGCCUCAUAGCCCUGAGCUGUCCAUUCCUUCUAGACCUUGAGUCAUAUAGCCUUGAUUUAUCCUUUCCUUCUAGACCCUGAGUCUUAUAGUCCUAGGCUUUUCUUUCUUCCCUUAGGUCCUGAGCCUGGUAGCCCUGAGCUAUCGUUUCCUAUAGACCCGGAGUCUUUCCAGCCUUGAGCUGAGCCUUCAUCAUUUGGUCGCCCAUGAGUGGUUUGACCGGGAGUUUGCGUAUUGCAUUCUCCUUCUAGCCGAUCAGUCAUAGAGCCCAGAGCUCAUAGCCCUGAGCUAUUCAUUGUAACCCCGAGUUACUCAUUGCAUCAUGACCUAGAUUCAUUUAUGUCAUCCAUAGCCUUGAGCUAUUCAUUGUAACCCCGAGUUACUCAUUGCAUCAUGACCUAGAGUCAUUUAUGUCAUCCAUAGCCCUGAGCUGUUCAUCAUAACCCUGAGUUACUCAUUGCACCAUGACCCAGAGUCAUUCAUUCCAUCCAUAGCCCGAAGCUAUUCAUCAUAACCCUGAGUUACUCAUUGCACCACGACCCAGAGUUAUUCAUGACAUCUUGAGCCCUGAGCUCAUGACCCAGAGUCGUUUGCAUCCUUCACAUCCCUUAGAUGUUUCGUUUCAUCAUUUUAGCCACUUGUGAAUGACCUCGACCAAACACUCUGAGUCGGAAAGCAUCCUGAUCGGCUAUCCAUUUAGAGCCCUGAGUUCUCGACCAAGAGUCGAUUUUCAUUUAUGACCUAGAGUCAUUUCUUUCCAUUUAGAGCCCGAGCUCAUGACCCGGAGUCAUUCACUCCAUCUUGACCCAGAGUCAUUCUUAGCAUUUAUAGCCUUGAGCUCACGACCCAGAGUGGUUCAUCCUAUUUCUGACCCGGAGUCGUUCAUCCUAUUCCCGACCCAAAGUCGUUUGUCCUAUUUUUGACAAAGAGUCAUUCAUCUUAUCCAUGACCUAGAGUUAUUCAUCUCAUCCAUGACUUUGAGUCAUCAUCUUCAUAUUUUUUCAUCUUUGUGCUACUCAUCACAUACCUUUCUCUCUUUGCUGCCAUUCCCCCACAUAGAGUUGUUCCAUCCUUGUCGUUGCAGCCCCAUGUUCCGACCUUACUCUCACCAAGUGCUAAGACAAAAUCUCUGGUCCUUCUUUAGUUCUUCGGUAUAGUUCACUUCGUUCCACUCAUUAUUCGUUUUUUUUACUCACAUUCCUUACACUCGUGAUCUAUACCGAAGAGGGGCAUAUUUGUAGACCCUCAAUUUUGUCCUCCUAGCACAUGUCUUAUUAGAUACUUAUUCGAUACUUUACAGUAGCUCCUUGGUGGCCCAUAUCUACUCACAUUACUUACCUUUCUUGAACAACCUCGGAGACUUUGAUUGAGGGAUUACCUAACCCCUUAUUAUGACCUCGGCAGCUCUAAUUUAGACUUAGAUACUUUCCUAAACGCCUUAGGCCCACUUAGACACUUCAUUGGGCUUAGUUCACUUAGGUCCACUUUAGCACUUUUUAAACCCACUUUUUAUAUGGCUUGCAUGAUUGCAUGGCCUACACGACUUGUGUGGCUUAUAUGGAUUUCUUUAUUUAUUUUUUUUUACUACAAGUUUUCUAAAUCAUAUUUCUUGACUUGUUGGGCAUGAGGAAACAGGGGAGAACCAACAAAAUUUUGAAAAAAAUGAGAUUUUGUUUUUUAUUUAGAAGGAUAGCACAUAUAUUAUUUCCAUAGGGAAUCGAUCAUAAAAGGGAAGAAAAUAAGAAAGAGAGACAAAAAAGGAAGGAAUGAGAGGAUUUUGCUCCAGCGAGAUUUGGGGGGUUCUUUGGGAAGGCUGAUAUAUAUACGUGAGAGAAGAAGAAAAAAAAAAGGGGAGAUAAUUCUUUGAUUGUUAAGGGCAGAAAAGCGCACGAGGGUGGAAGAGGAGCAAUUGCAGUCGACUUUGUCCAGGUAUGCUUUUGGUUACUCUGGGUGUUCUGACCCAUAUUUGAUUUCUCCAUUUUGGUCAUUUAGAAAUAUUCAAUGUCUUGUUGUUCGGUGUGGACGGAAAGGGCCACAAGUUGUUCUGCUGGGAUUGGUCGUUUACUACUCCACCUUGUUUCGAUUUUGAUUAUUUUAUAUGUCAUUGAUGUCUUUGGAAAUAUAGAACUCCAUGCUUGAAUAUUAUCACGCUCGGUUUUUCGUUUAAAUCCUAUUCUGCAUAGUUCCCUCCGCUCUUAACCCAUGGAUUAAUACUUGAAGUGGGGUUAUUUAUGCUUACUGAUCAACGUCUUCUGCUCUUUCCUUCUCCGAAUAUCUCACAUCCAGAAUUCUGUCCGGUCCAACGUUCCACCUUCUUCGGAUAUCUCACAUCCAGAAUUCUGUCCGGCCCAACGUUCCAUUUUCUCCGGAUAUCUCACAUUCGGAAUUCUGUCCGGCCCAACGUUCCAUCUUCUCCGGAUAUCUCACAUCCGAAAUUCUGUCCGCCGACAUUUCACCUUCUCCGAAUAUCUCACAUCUGGAAUUCUGUCCGACCCAACAUUCCAUCUUUCUUCGGAUAUCUCACAUCCGGAAUUCUGUCCGGCCCAACGUUCCACCUUCUCCGGAUAUCCCACAUCCGGAAUUAUGUCCGGCCCAACGUUCCAUCUUCUCCGGAUAUCUCACGUCCGGAAUUCUGUCCCCCAACGUUCCAUCUUCUCCGGAUAUUUCAUGUCCGGAAUUCUGUCCGCCGACAUUUCACCUUCUCCGGAUAUCUCACAUCUGGAAUUCUGUCCGCCGACAUUCCAUCUUUCUCCGAAUAUCUCACAUCCGGAAUUCUGUCCGUCGACAUUUCAUCUUUCUUCGGAUAUCUCACAUCCGGAAUUCUGUCCGCCGACGUUCCACCUUCUCCGGAUAUCUCACAUCCGGAAUUCUGUCUGACCGACGUUCCACCUUCUCCAGAUAUUUCACAUCCGCCGCCUAACGCCGAAUGGGAGAGGAGGGCGAUUCAACUUCCCCGGUCAGACAUGUCCGGAUCCUCCUCUCUUCGCUUCUUUGAUUGGAAAUUUACUAUUUUUAAUUGAAUUUUUGAAUCCUUUUACGACUAAGUGUUUACGGCUUUGAAAAAUCCAUCCUUAAAACCCUUUUAGUCACUAAAAUCCGGAUUUUAAUAAAUUUGCUGCCACUUUCCUCCAGGCAUGCAUUUUCAUUAUUUUAUUUUAUUUUCAACUAUUUUCAUGGUUUUCUUGAUUUCAAUAAGCAUGAACAAAAUUCAUGGUUCCAAAUAAUGGAAUUCACUGAACCAAUUCAUGCAAAAGCAAUUAGGGCUUUGGUGGGGGCCCGACAUUUAUGAUAUUCUCAUCAAUAUUGUUUGCUUGAUAUUUGAUUGAUUGUGAUUCCUCUUUGUGGCAUUGAGAUUAUUUCGUACUUGUUACUAAACAAACUUGUUUCCAUAGAGGAGUAUCAGCUUGCUAUCCGGGUACGCUCUUCCUGCCCUCAAAACUCUAAAAUUCUAUCAUGCGUCAUAUUUUCAAACUAAUCUUUGAUGUCUUGUGGAAGCGCUUAAGAAGCUAUCCAGGUACGUACCCUAAAUCUUCUUCAUGAUUGUGAUUGGUUUUCCUAUUAAGCAUGCUAUUUUUUUUUUCGAAAUCACUUAGCCUACUUGGGUAUCCAUGAUUAACCAUUUAAUUGCUAUAUUUCCCUCAACUAGUCAGUAGAGACCUUUGUAGGGUUUAGAGGGGUGCUACCUCCUAGAGGUACCUUCCCAAUAAGUAAUCUGAUCCCCGGACCUAGACUCAGGUUUCUCAAAGACAUGCUUUUUCCAAAACUAUGGAGUCACUUUUUAGGGUUUUUAUUUCUUGUUUUAUUUUCCCUUUAAAAUAAAAAUAAAAUAAGUGGCGACUCCAACUUUUCUAAAAUUAAUUUUUUUCACAAAUAAAAAGCGAGUCUGGCCGAUCGAGUGGGGACGCACGUGAAAAAUGCAGGUCCACAAUGAGCAAGGACCAAACACCUAACAAAUAUGAAGAAACCCGAUUCAUUUUUCUUUAUAUUUGGGUUUAAAGGUCGGUGGAUUGAACCAGGAAAAUAUCUUAAGAGAAAAAUUCCAGGAUACAAGAAGGUUUUCAAAUAUGAAAUAACCAAUCAAAGCACGAUUAGAUUAUCCUCGAAUGAAACCAAAGAAAUAUAAGCUAGCCACCAUAACCAAACCAAUGCGACCUAAUAAACAGUGAAAAAUAAUCACAUGAAAAAAAAAAGAGAAGUAUGAUGAUCAAUAAUAAUCCAUGAACCUGAUCAGUCUUACCAGAUAAUGCUCUCCUUCAGUCGGAGUUUGCUUGGCUUCAACCCAACUUCUUAUUCUCUACUCCGCCUCCAUUUGCUCUUGCUUCUCCAAAAAGUCUCAUCCGUCAUUUUUCUCUUGCUUCACCUAAAAACAGAACCUUCAUUUUCAAGUUUCUCAAUGUCUCCUCUUAUAUAUCUCCUUUGCCUGCUCUACUCUCCCAAAAAAACCUUUUGAAUCUCCUCCAUAAUUCACCAGCCUCUCCUUCCCAAUGGUCUUGCUCCACUUCACCACCAAGACUCUUUUAUUUUCCAAAAACAUCCCGCCUCUCUCUCCUUCUCUAUGCCGUUCAAAUCAUUUUUCAUUCCCCAAGUCCCAACAUAUAUCCCUUUUCCAAUUCUCUAUUUCCUUUUUUCUUUCUUCGCAUUUCCAAUUAUGGUGCUCAUGCCAAGUUGAUUGCAUCAUAUGGAGAAGAUGAUCUGCAUCCAAAUGGUCAUGCAUGGCCAUGCAAAUGUGGGACCUCGAAAGAACUUAGGCGAUUGGUGAGGCCUAACUGAGGUGUAGUUCCAAUAGUGAAUCCAUGCUACAUGAAUUUUUUAUUUUUUAAAUUUUUUAAAAUUUUAAAUUUUUAUGUUUUUAUUUUUAUUUUAUUUUAUUGCCUAAGUAAAUAAAAUAAAAUAAGCAUUUUGGAAAAGAAAAGAAAAUAAAAUAAAAUGAAUAAAAUAAUAUAUAUAUAUAUAUAAAAUAAAAUAAAAUAAAAAGAUAAAUAGAUAUAAGUACGUGACGCAUAUUCAUGUAAGCUACAUUAGCCAUGUAAGCCAUGCAAAUGACUUAGGGGUGCUGAAGCAAGCCCUAAACGACUAGGUGUACUUAAAUGGGUCAGAUGUGCCUAAUGGGCCUAAAUAAGUCUAAACAAAUUGUCAUAAAUGUGUAUUUGGUAUCUAGAAAGACUUAAAGAGGUAAGAUAUGUGAGUAACAAGGUAUAAAGUAUUGAAAGAGUACUUAAUCAAGGUAUGCGCCAAUGGGACAAAAUGGAGGGUCUACAUAUGGGUCAUGGUUGUCACCAUAUAUGUUAAGGUUAGGUACCACAUAUGUCAUGGUUACUCCUACAUAUGUCAAAUUUGAGUCUCACGUAUUUAAGAGUGGGGAUAAGCACAAUUAUCAAGGUUUAAUUUUUUUAAAAAAUAUGUUUUAAUAUAACUUUUAAUAUGAAAAACCGAACCUAUGGCAUAAUAACAAUAAGAUUAUCCUUAUUCUAUAUAUAAUCAAUAUAUGUUUAAUAUACAUUUGAUGUCAAUUAAAGCAUAAAUGAAUGAACUUGUUUAAAGUUGUCCCUAGUUUCUAUAUAUAGUAGAACCUAUAUAAUAUAGAAUUAAACUAAAAACACACCAUAAGACUAUACAUAAACUUAAAGUAAAGUUGCUCAUGCAUCUACAAUCAAAUCUCUUGUAUCCAUCUUUAAGCAUUGCUUUAUAGGUAGACCUUAAAUUGCCAACAUCCAAACUUCAAAAAAAUAUAGAGUAUAUUAACAAACAGGAAAAUUGCAUCAUGAGGAGCACUCAAAUAUCCAAAUUUAUGAAGAAUUUCAAUAGCAAGCUAACCAUUACACCUUCUUUAUUUUACAAGAAUAAAUUAUUUCUUAGUAACAUGGGUAAAGAACCCAACUUCAAACAUUAAAAUAUUGAUAUAGCAAAAACGUAUGAAGGUUAAACAAAGGAGCAAAACCUAAAAUGGAAAUCAUUUCAAUUUGACCUAAUGAAGUUAUCAUUUCAAUCCAACCUCAACCAAAAUAUUUAAUUAUUUAAUCAUUAUUAUGAUUUUUUGAAAGCAAAAGCUUAAACCAAUUCAAAAGUACCAACAUCUAAUUCAACAACAUGUGUCUAAUAUUAUGAAUUUUAUACCAUGGAAGUUUGUGAUGUUAGUCAAUUGAGUAUGACAAUAUCAAAACACAUGUAAAGGUGUUAGGUUUGUCAAAACAUAUGUAAACACGUGUUGAAUUAUUACAUGCCACUCCACAUUCAUCAUGAGGAUUCAAUGUAAACGGAAAAAAAAAAAACAUAAUACAAUUUCCUUUUAAAAAACAUUUUCUCGUCUUUCCAUAAGCAAAUUUAACGUGAAUAACUAAUAACUUGUUGGAUACACUUCUCGUUUUAUGUUUAUAAAAAGAAAAAAUGAUAUUAAAUCCUAUAUAAAAUAUAAAUACUUAUUAAAACUUACCUUAAAAAAAUAAUAACUUAGAAAUAAUGUUUUAAAAAAAUUAAAGUAUUAAAAAUUUUUUACUACCUCAAAUUUAAAAAAUUUUAAAAGUAAUUUUCAAGGAAAUAAGAAUAUAAUUAUAUAUAUAUAUAUAUAUAUAUAUAUAUAAUAGUUACUAUGUUUUAUUUAGAAGUUACUGUUAUUUUCUAUUUUUAAGAAGAAAAAAUAGAAAGUAUAUCCAAUUGAACACUAAAUGAAUAAAUAAAAAUUUAAUUAGUCAACCUUUUUUUUAUUGUCAUUAAUUUUAUCACUAUCAUAAUUACCAUUUUCUUAUGCUUCCUUUUCUAUUUUUUUUUAUUUCUUUUUUAGGGAGGUUGUGAUUUUUCAAAAAACGUGGAUUUAUAUUAUUAUUUUUCUUAUUAAAUAUCUAUCGAGGACAUGUCUUUUAACAAUUAUAUAAUACAUUUCCAUCAAAAAUGAGAUUAGCAUAUUAUUUUUGUUUGCUAGGAAGAAUUAACAAUUGUAUUUUGAUUCAUAAUUAUUUUUCUAAAAAUUAUCUCCUAUAUGUAAAAAAUGUUAGAGUUUGAUGACCCGAAAAGAUUGUGGUAUUACAUAUGUGAUGAAGUUAAAAUUAUGAGAUUUUUUUGGGGUAUGUGAUGGCAGCAAAGGAAUGUGUGUGUAUAUGAUGAUAUAUAGUUUUAGGGUUAUGACGAUUAUACUGGUACUAUAGUCGCAGCUGGCAUCUCUCCCCUUUUAUACCAAUUUUUGACAUAGUGGAUUUUCUUCUCCUCUACUAAUGGUUUUUUCCGUCUAUAGUUUUUCACGAAAAUUUAUAUGUUCUUAUUUUGUUUUUCUUAUUACUUAUUCUCAUUACUAUGUUACAAAGAAAAAAUUAUUUAAAAUGUUUUGAUCAAUGAUUUAGUAUUUGAAACAUGAAUAUUUUUCCAUCAAUUUUUUUUUCAAUUAAAAUAUAUUGAUCCCUAAUAAAAAUAAAUACUCAAAUGAUCAAAUCUUUCCAAUAAGGAUAAAUAAGAUAAAUAAAAUGAAUAAAAGUCAAAACCCACAUGACCUUGUAAUGCAUGAUAUUAAAAAGUUAAAAAUCACAUGAAACCAAUGGACUUGUAUUGCAUGAUGUUAUAAAACUAAACCCACAUUAAGCCAUAACAAAAAUCAAACCCAUGAUAACCCAUGAUACAUGGAGAUAAAAGAUCAAAACCCACGUGAAACCAUGAUGCAUAACAUUAUAAAACCAUAAUACAUGACAUUAAAAAAAAAAUCAAAAUUCAUACAUGAAGACAAAUUAAGUGCAUAUUAUUAAAAAGUCAAGCCCCCCGUACGCAAUGAGUUUCAGUAGGUUUCAAAGAGGUUGUUUUCUACCGAUGGGUUGAUGAAGGUCUUAGGAGAGGGAGUUGGGUUUGAGGCAGUCUUUUGCUCAUAUUGGUGAGUUCAUUGUAGGAAAAGGUCUUCGUUAUGGUGCGAUGGAUCCCAUGGAGGCUUCGUAGGAUUGCAAAGAUGUGGAGGCUUUGUAAGAUUGCAAAGACAGUAUCGAGAGGUGAGGUCGUGGGCUGAGGUUGUAAAUGGUAGUGGCGGAGUGAGCUGUUUAGCUAUGUUAGGUUAAGAGAUGGGUGAAUGUAGUGUGAAUUUUCAUGGGUAGAGGUAAAGUGUGAGGGCCGUUGUUGUUUAGUGAGGUUUGAGGUGAAAUGGCGUAUUCUUCCAAAAAGAAAAAAGAAAAAAAUUAAAAUUGAAAUUGAAAUUAAAACAAAAAUUAAAAUCAAAAUUAAGAUUAACUAAAAUUAAAAUUAGAAUUAAAAUUAAAUUUAAAUUGAUAUCAAAAUUAUCAUACAAUAAACAUAUGUGAUUCCGAGGUCCCAAACAUCACUUUUAUUCCAUUAUAACAUAAUGAAAAAAAAUAAAAAUGGAUUAAAAAAAUAUAAAUUAAAUAAAAAUGAAACUAUAGGAAAAGUCAAAAUAUAACAUGAUGCCAAAAUUGGCAUAGCAUGAGGGAGAGUAGACCCACUUCAUAUUAUUUGAAACAAGAUUAGAGUUGUCAAGUAGGGCUACUUUGACAAGUAACCAGUGAAUAUAAGUCAAUUAAACGUAAGAAAAUUAAUAUUCUCUAUUAAUGACAUCUACUAAUGACAUUUGACAUGAUAGAAAAAAUAAAUAAGUGAAAAUUUGAAUGAUAGAAGAAUCUAAUGAAUAAACAAUUGUAUGGAUAGAUGAUUUAGAUUAAAUGGUAAUGGUAAUUUCUAAUAUUUUCAAAAUUGGACUGAUAAUUGAAUUAGAAAAAUUAUCAAGUCGCGAUUUAUUGAUUAAAUCAAUGGUUCAACUAUCAUCAAGUAGGUGGUAAAUAAUGAACAACUUAUUAUGUAUCAAACUAUAGAGUAUUUAUGAAUUCAUAGUUAAUAGUAAUAGUUAAUGAUUCUAUUUUGUCUUGGAAUUUAGCUUUUGUGACUCGUUUGGCCUAUUUCUGGCAUCAUAUCCAUAAUUAGAGCAUGCAUCAUAGUUAGUAAUAGGAAAAAUUAUUCAAAUACAUGUGAGUGAGUGAGGCUUAUUUGGGAUAUUUUAUAAAUGUCAUCGCGUGAUCAAACUGUGAUACCAACAUAACUUAAUAUAUAAUUAUUAGAAACUUAAUAAAUAAUUAUAAAAAAUUAAGAAUAUAUAUAAUUAAAAUAAAAUAUUUAUAAUAUUUAAGUGUGAAAAUAUCUUUGAGAUGAAAGAAAAACUCUAUUAUUGAAUUUUAUCUAUGCUAUAUUUCCCAUUAUUUGAUGAUUAUAAAACUUAUUAAAUUAUUUAAUCUAUAUUAUUUUCAUAUUUAUUAUUAUAAAAAUAAGUGUGGAGAUAAAUAUUUAUAUUUAUAAUUUAAAGGUUUUAAAUAAUGAUUUGUUUUAAAAGGGCCUAUAUUAGUUAAUGUAUUAAUUUGUAACACUAUUUUAUAGAAAAAUUAAUAGUCCAAGGGUCAUGCGUUUCCAUCCACUUGCCCAACACAUCCUCUCCUUUGCAACAUCAUUUUUUUUUUAUCCACGUGUCUCUACACGUUGGUGCUCAUGAAUGAAGAUCAACCUUCACCUUAUUUGUACUUUAUUGAUUUUGUUAAAACUAAUUGUCUCCGAUUCGUAUAUUUAAUCUUAUAAAUUGCUUUUUCUUUUGAGAAAAAUACCCUUUAGGCGGGGGUAAAAAAUGACCCAGAAGGGUGAGUGAAUGUGGUAAUUCUAGGCCUCAUAUUUUUGUCAAAUCAAUUUGCCCUUUAAUUAAAUUCUAAAAUUACAAAUUUUAAAUAAAAUAAUAUUUUUUUUUUUAAAAAAAGAGAAGAAACCUGUUUCAUUACCUGUAUUUUAUAAUAAAAGUAAUAAUAUUGAGGAUUACUUUUUAUACCUCAUUAAUAUUUAACAUAUCAAAUGUAUUAACAUCAUCCACUUAAUGCAUUGAGAAAAAAAAAAUACAUAUGAAAAUUAAGAAAAAAAAUAUUAUGCGAAGGAAAAAAAUAGAAAAAUCAUAUAAAUGUUUUAAAAUUAUUUUAUUAUAAAAAAUAAAAAUGAUUAAACAUUCUCCAUCAUUUUCUUAUUCUUUUUAGAUAAUUUGAAUGAAAAAUUAAACAUUUUAUCUUCCUUGAAUUUAAUACAAAAACAUAAUUUAUCAAUUUAAAAUUAAUAUAUAUAUCCAUGAAAAAAUCAUCAUUUUUAUUAUAUAAUUAUAAAACUUGUUUUUUUUCUUAAUAAAAUUAAAAAUUAGAAUAAAAAUAAAAAAUGUAAAAAAAACACAAUAAAUGAUAUUUUGAAAAUAUUUUUGUUUUAAAUAGUAAAUUUAAAUAACAAAUUAUACUAUCAUUAUAUAUAAUAAUUGUAAGGGUUAAACCCAAAAUUUUGAUUUAAAUUUUGAAUGUCAAUAAUUACAAAAAAUAUGGAACCCAUACAUCAUAAAUGUCUUGACAAAUCAAGUGAAGUGCUUUAAAUGCUUUGAAUUUUAAAAGUUUUAGUUGAAGGAUAGUUUUGGUAUUUAAGCGUAUUAUUAUCCUCCUCAAGAAUUAUCAGAAGAGACGACCCUUUGCAAUAAUUAUCACAUUUAGCCCAACCUAUACCGUAAUUCUCCCAAAUAAUUAUUUAUUCUAUUAUGAUAAUAAAGUUUUUAAUUGUAUGUUCCAUAUAUAAAACAAUAUAAUAACCUUAGAAUAUGAUUUUUAUUUAUGAUAUAUUGAAAAUUACAUAUAUUUUUUUACAAGGUUCUUUAAAAAAUCUCAAUUUUUUUGAAAAAAAUAAGAGAAAAAUAGCAAUUUUUAAACAGUUGCUUGUUCAAAAGUGAACACAAUUUUUUUAGGGCUUAAGAAAUGUGUGAUUGAUUUCUUGUAUUUAUCAUUAUGUAUGGGCCUCACAUCAUUGACAGUCUCAAAUUUGUUUAUAGAUAGUAUAGAAAACAUAUUUAAGUGUAAAAUUAUCCUCUAAAAAUCAUUGAUACAAGUGACCCUUCCCAAUAAUUAUCACAUCCAACCCAUCCUAUUCGAUAAUUCUCCUUAAUUAUUUUUUACAAGCACUCAUCAAUUGAAUAAUAUAUAAAUAUUCAAUUGAAUAAUACACAACUAUUAAAUAAAUGGAAUAAACAACUAUUCAUUGAGUAAUAUAGCACAUGAAAACAUUAAACAAAAAUAAAUUAAAUUAUGUUCUAACAUAUUUUAACGAUAAUGUAUUUGUAUUAUAAGUAUAAUGCAUUUAUGUUGUACCUAUAUUAACAACAUUCAUCUAAUGUAUUGAAAUUAUUUAAUAAUUUUUGUAUAUAUAUAAAAAAACUACGAAUUUCGUGAAUUCAAAUUAGUAUUUCAUUUGGUUUCAUAAAUGAUUUAUAAUAUAAGUAUCUUAUGAAAUAUGGUAUGAUCAUACAAAAUGAUUAUUUUUAUAAAAAAGUUCAAAAUUUUCCCAAUUAGGUUUUAUUAUAACGUAAGUGUAUUUAUAUUCUAAUUAUAAUAUAUUUUUGUUGUACUUGCAUUUUUACAAUAAACGCAAUAAUCUUGAGGAUUACUUUUUAUUCUUUAUUAAUAUUCAACAUAUCAAAUGUAUUAACAACAUUCGCUUGAUGCAUGAGAAAAAAAAAUUACAUAUGAAAAUUAAGAAAAGAAAAACAUUAUGGAAAGGAAAAAAAACUAGAAAAAUCAUAUAAAUGUUUAAAAAUUAUUUUAUUAUAAAAAAUAAAAAAUGAUUAAACAUUCUCCAUCAUUUUCUUAUUCCUUUUAGAUAAUCCCAAUGAAAAAUUAAAUAUUUUAUCUUUCUCAAAUUUAAUACAAAAACAUAAUUUAUCAAUUUAAUAUAUAUAUAUAUAUAUAUAUAUAUAUAUAUAUAUGAAAAAUCAUCACUUUUAUUAUAUAAUUAUAAUUUUUUUCUUAAUAAAAUUAAAAUUUUAAAUAAAAAUAAAAAAUAUAUGAAAAAAACACAAUAAAUGAUAUUUUGAAAAUAACAUUACAAAAAAUGUGGGGCCCAUACACCAUAAAUGACCUCAUCAACAAGUGAAGUGCUUUAAAUGCUCUAAAUGCUUUGAAUUUUUAAAGUUUUAGUUUAACGACAAUUUUGAUAUUUAAGCCUAUUAUUGUCCUUAAAAAAUUAUGAAAAGAGACUAUCCUUCUCAGUAAUUAUUACAUCUAGCCCACCUUAUACGAUAAUUCCUUUUUUUUUUGUGUUUUUUUUUUGUUGCUUUUGGCUUAUUAAUGGUAGUCUUGACAUUUAAAAAGAGGGCCUUUAAGAAAUUAUGGCAUUUUCAACCUACCCUUUACAACACUCACCCAGGUCAAUUUUUUUUACCCCACCCACCCUAAAAGAUAAUUUUCCUUUCUUUUUUUUCUCUUCUAAGAUUAAAGUUUCAAUAGAAAUUAAGAUUAAGAUUAUAAUUGAAAUUGAAGUCAAAACUAGGAUUAAUGUUAAAAUUGAAAAUUAAAGUUAUAAUUAUAAUGAAAAUUAAUUUUAAAAUUAAAAUUAAGACUAAGAUUAGUAAAGUCAAAAUUAAGACUAAAGUUAAACUUAAGAUGAAAACAAGAUUAAAAUUACUAAAAUGAACAUAAAAAUUCAAUCAUACAAAUAAAAUUUUCUUUUCAUUUAUGAGAUUAAAAUAAAAAUCAAGAUCAAAACCAUCACAUAAAAAUUAGAAUUAAGAUUAAAAUUAGAAUUAAAAUUGAAAUUAGAAUCAAAAUUAAAGUCAAAACUAAGAUUAAUGUCAAAAUUGAUAUUAAAAUUAAAAUUAUAAUGGAAAUUAAUAUAAAAAUUAAAAUUAAAAUUAAGAUGAGGAUUGAAAUUCAGGUCAAAACUAAUAUUAAAAUUAAAGUCAAAGUUAAGACUAAAGUUCAAGCUAAAGAUUAAAACUAGAAUUAAAAUUACUACAAUUAACAUUAAAAUUGAAAUUGAAAUUAAGAUUACAAAUUCUAAUUAAACUAAAAUUAGAAUUAAGAUCAAAACUAAGAUUAAAGUUAAAAUUAAAAUUAAAAAUCAAAAUUAAAAUUAUCAAAGAAUAUAUAUAUUCUUUAAUUACCUAAAUAAUACAUAUUUAUUAUAGUUCUUAAUCUUAUUUAAUUUUAAUUAUUAUUUUGUUAUUAUAUAUAUGAAGUAAUAUAAAUAAAAAAUAUACUAAUAUAAAUUCCUCAAAUAAUAUAUAUUAUAUUAUUUCAUAGUAAUUUUACUAUCAUCAAAACAUUAAUAACAUACUAAUUAAUAAUUAAAUAGAUCAUAUAGCUAUUUAUCAUUGUUACUAAUAUUACAACUUAACAACAUUGUUCAACAAUAAAAUCACUCAAUUCAUUAGGAAAUAAUACAAUCAAUGAUGAAGGUUUUUUAAUCAAAGAAUAUGGAUAAAAAAUUAUAUUUUGUGAUGAAAUUUUAAUUUGCCUAUAAAUUUUCAUUGGAAAAAUCAUAUUUUCUUGUAGUGUAGACAGUAGUAGCAAAAAAAAGUCACAUUUGUAACCACACCACUAUAAUUAUUAUUAAUUUUUAUAUUUUUUAUUUAUAAUUUAUUUUACUUAUAUUAUAUUAUUUUAUUUAUAUUUUUUUAUGGCCUAGUUGUUAUUAAAAAAAUUUUAAAAUAAUUAUUUUACCUUACUUUUAAUUUGGAACUUUAAUAUAACAACAAAGUGGUCACUUAUGGUUAAAAUUUUGAAUAAUGAAAUUAUUUUUUCAUCUCUCGACUUUCAAUCAAAUAUUUGUAUUUACAGUGGUCCACUAGCCAACACUUUGUGACUAUAAAUUCCCCAAAUGUGUCAGCACCUUCACUCCGUUGUCUUGUUCGACUCUCUCUCUCUACGCCUCUUCAAGAUGCUCUUCUUCCCUUUCUCAAAAUCUUGCCCAACUGCAAAACCAGUGUUUUCGAAUCUUCACUCAUCUCUCUCAGAUUCCUUUUCUGGAUCCCAAUCUUUCUCUUUCAACCCACAAACUGGAUUCAACCUCUGCCCGAAAUCUCUCCAAAUCAGAGCCAUGGAGGCCUCCCUAGACUACCACUUUGGAACCCAACUGCAAACCCAUAUCAAAACACCAACAAGCCUUAAAAUCGCAAUCAUUGGGUUCGACAACUUCGGCCAGUUUCUAGCAAAAACCUUCGUCAGCCAGGGCCACACCGUCCUCGCCCACUCUCGCUCUAACUACUCUAACACGGCCGCUAAGCUCGGCGUUUCCUUCUUUAGUGACCCGCACAACCUUUGCGAGGAACACCCAAAAGUGGUGAUGCUAUGCACCUUGAUCAUUUUGACAAAAUCCAUGCUCAAAUCGAUCCCAUUUCAUAGACUACUGCGUAGCACGCUGUUUGUGGACGCUUUGUCGGUGAAAGAAUUUCCCAGAAGCCUAUUUCUUGAAAUCUUGCCUGAAGAGUUCGAUAUCCUCUAUACACACCCAAUGUUCGGUCCGGAGAGCGGCAAAAAUGGGUGGGUAGGCCUUACUUUUAUGUGCGAUAAGGUCAGAAUUGGAAACGAUGAUCCUAGAAUCUCAAUGUGUGGGAGAUUCUUGGAUGUUUUUGCAAGAGGAGGGGUGCAAAAUGGUAGAGAUGAGCUGUGUGUUUAAUCAACCAUUAUAAAUCCAAGAACUCUACAUAAGAAUCUCAUGUUAAAUCAUAUAAAGAAAUGUGCCUGAAUGUUUUAUGGAAUGCGAACAUACUGAAUCCAGACUAACCCGAGUCCAUUAUGGGUGUAGAUGAAUAAGGUAUGGAUCUUCUAAGGCUGUAGAGGGCUAUCCACCUUUUAGUAAUCUCUUUAACGAUGCGAGCAAGAGAGAACGGGUUCUGUUCUUUAUUCAAAAGAUGUGAUCAUCUGAAGAACAUACACUUAGCCUUUAUAUACCUUCCUACCUUAGGGACCAUACCCUUUGGGUUAUUGGGCCUCACGAGUCUUAGCCCAUCAUCUAAGGCCUGUGAUGGCAUUGAGCUCUACACAUAAGGUUACCCAUACUCUAGAUUAAUCAACAAUCAUAUAUAUAUAUAUAUGGAUAGCUAAAUCCUGAACAAUGGUUAAUAUGAUGUGAGUCCACAUUUAUUCUAACAAUCUCCCACUUGGACCACAUAUAUUAACCAACAAUGUUCAUGAUAAUACUUCAUUGAGCUCAUCUUUGCUAUCCUAUUCAAAUAUCCUUAAACAAUAUGGUCUACUAAUUAUGCUAACAUAGCAUCAAAGUGGCCUUCGUUAAUCACAAUUAUAACUAGACCCAUCAAUGAUCACAACAUUAACAAAAUUAGCAACAUGGAUCAAGUAUGGAUGUGUAGCAUGGAAAUUACAUAGAAUGUGAUAUUUAUUAUGUCUAUUUCCAAUUGGUCCUACUUUAUGACUAAAAAUAGUCAAAUUCUACUUUCAACACUUGAUGCUAAACUGCUUUUGAAAGUCAUCAUUUCAAUUUAGAGUAUUCAAAGACAAUAGUCUUUAAAAACAAGGUCUGCAUAGAUAACACAAACAUUAUAUCACAUCAAAAAAACAAACACAAAAUCUAAAUACAAACUCCCACUAUACUAGCACAUCAUCAAUGUGUACAACACCCAUAUGUGUGACAUGCUCAUGAUAUACUUUGGGUGGCAAACCCUUAGUGAGUGGAUCCACAAUCAUGGAGUUUGUGCUUAUGUGUUCAAUUGAUACUUGAAGACUUUGAACUCUUUUUUUGACAACCAAGAAUUUGAUGUCAAUGUGUUUGGACUUUGAUGAACUUCAGUUUUUCUUAGAAUAUAAUUUUGUGGCCUUAUUAUCACAGUUCAUUCUCAAUGGUUUCUCAAUCCCAUUAACAAUUCACAAUUGAGUGAUAAAAUUCUGCAGCCAUAUCCCAUGGUUUGAUGCCUCGUAGCAAACUAUGAAUUCUACCUAACAUUCUAACAAUGUACACAAUAUCCGGAUGCAUAUAAACUUGUGCAUACAUGAGACUUCCUACUGCUGAGGCAUAGGGAAACCUCUCCAUAUCCUUUUUCUCAAGUUCAUUUUUUGGACAUUGGUGCAAACUAAAUUUAUCGCCUUAUGCCACAGGUGUGUCUCCUGGUGCACAAUUGCUCAUGCCAAACCUUCUUAACACCUUAUCGAUGAUCGUCUUUCAUUGAUUUCGUCUCAUCCUUCAUGGCUUCUAUCCACUUUUUAGAGUCAGACCUUUGUUUGACUUGACUAACUGAAAUUGGAUCAUCUUCCAGACCCAUGUGAAACCCAUGUUCCUGGAGAUAUACAACAUAAUCAUCUGAAAUUGUACUUCUCCUUUCUCUAGUGGAUCUCCUCCGUGGCACUUGUACUUGAGUUUGUUGAGUUACCUCUUCAUGAACUUGAAUUGGUUCCAUAACUUGAGUAGGAGGAAUCCCAAGCUUGUCUACAAUCUCUGGUUGUACAUUCUGGAUAGUGUCAUCAAUCAUAAUAUGACCAUGUCCAGUUGUAAUAAUAGGAAUACUACUAAAUUCCUCUUCAAAGACCACAUUUCUUAAUGAUUUUCUCCCACUUAACUCAAAGAAGGAUCUAGUUGAGGGGUCAUAAAUAAAUAUCAUGCAUAUAUGAAUAAAUAAAAAUUUAAACACACACACACACACACACACACACAUAUAUAUAUAUAUAUAUAUGCAUGUGAGCCUCUUACAAGAUACCUAGUACAAACAUUAAUAUUCAGUAUUUGGAAAAAAAUAUCAAUUUGUAAUUGGUAUCCUUUUACAACAUUAAUUCAUAAAUAUUGACAAUAAAACCAAAGCAGUAUGCCUAUCUUUGAACUGACAUAUAACAAGUAAGAUAAACUUUAUAUGUCACAUAUUUAUGACUACUUUAUUUAUUAUUAUAUUAAAAUAAUAUUCCUUUGGGCCGAUUAUUUUAAAUAAUAAUAAUAAUAACAUGUUUAGAUAUUAUAAAAUAAAUAAAUUAUGUAAUAUAAGUUACUUUGGCAACUAAUAUACAUAAUUCAUUUAUUUAAAAAAAAUAUUAAACACAAAUAUAACAUAAAAGGAUGGGAAAAUUUUCCAAUCCAUCUUAUAUAAAUUAAAAACUGAGGGUCCAAGGUUGGACUGCAAAAGAAGGUGGUCCACCAUCUCCCUAAAAUUCUUGUGCAUGUAGCACCAGCUUGGUAGCAACAUGACUUCUUUUAAUAGAUUAUCAAAUAGUCAAAAUGUUUACCAAAUAUGCAAUUUAAACAAAAAAUAUACUUUAAUAGGGACUUUCAAGCCUAAAACUUUCGCAUCCCUCAAAAGGGCAAUCCCCAGUCCCUUCUUCUAUGGUGUCCAGAAAUAAUCCAACUAGGACUUAAAAAAAUAAAUAAAUAAACAUUCACCCUCCACCAAGUAGCCUUCACAUAGACUAAGGAUCAACAAAAUUUUAUCAAGGAUUAACAAACCUCUAUUACUGAAAGUUCAUUGGUGGCAGAAUCCAAAUUGUCACCCUGCCUGAGUUCAGAUACCAUAUAAUAAUUUGGUACCCAUGCAUCAUAAACAUGGAUGCACAAUAACCAUUUUUAUAGCUAUCAAGGUAUAUAUGACAAUAAACAUGUGCAUAAAUAGACACAAAUCAAUAUGGGAAAUAUGAAGUGAACCUGGGCAUAUUAAUAAAUAAUUUUUAUUUUUAUGUUUAAUUUUUUAUUUUUUAUUUUUAUUUUUUAUCUUAUCUUAUCUUAUGCAACCCUAAACAACCCAAGGUCGUUUGCAGCCGCGUCACCCUUGGAGCGGCACCAGUAGCGGUGCCGGAGUUGUCCUCAAGCCGCCGAUGGCGAAACUCUAUCUCCAUCACCGGAAUGGUGAUUUCCCAUCUCCAAACGACGGCGCCACCACCGGAAUGACAUUGUAACGGCAUUGCUGGCAAGUGGCCCCACCUGUUGAUUACUACUCAAAAAGUGCUAUUUUGUAGCUUGUAAUUAACUCUUUUAAACACUUUUGAGUAGUAAUUAUUACCUUUUAACUCAAUUGACAUGUUAGGAACCCUUGCAAUCGUUUCUAAUCAAAUUGUGUUAAGUUUUGGUGUUUUUGUUAGCUUUUUGCUCACCAAAGCAAUCCAAGAAUGAGGGAGAGCUGUAUAUAGUUCAUGGCAAAGCUUUUGGAAGCUGAAAUUCAUGAAGAACCAAGCUUUGGAGCUCCAUAGCCUUUUUCCAAAGUCGCUCAAAGUAUGCAAGGAAAGAACAACGGAGAGAGGAAAAACAAAGUGAAGAAAACAGAGGACAGCAGCUACAGUCUUCUUUCACACUUUUGGAGCACUUCCCGAAGUCCAUUGUUUACAUGCUAUAUACCAUUUCAAAGCGCAGGAAGUCAAAAAUCCAAAACUUCAAACCAUGUAUGAUUUGGAGCUGAAAUGAGGAAGAUAUGGCCUUCGCAAGACAACUGUAUCCAACUGAAGGACAAUUUCGCACCUUGCGAAAUUGGAACUCCAACGUGCGAAAUUUAAAGUGGAUGGCAGCUGUGCAUUCGCGGUGAAGUCCAACAUGCGAAAGUGAUUUUGCAACUUGCGAACUUGGAGCUCAACGUGCGAAAAUGGAUUCUAAGUUGCGAAAUCAACUUGCGAAAUUUUCGCAAGUCACCAUGCAACGUGCGAAACUGGGAUAUUUGUGCACCGACUCUUUUAGAUAUUUUCUUUAGAUAUUUUUGUAUAAAUUUCCAUUCUUCUCCUUGUAAUCCACCAACCAUAAGAUUUCUUAGCUAGGAAGGUUGGAAAAACUUCUCUAUAUAUAUUCCCUUGCAUCCAUUGUAAACGACAUCGAUCAAUAUAUAGAUAUUUAAAUAUAUAGACUAUACAGAGCCUUGCUCUGUUUUUCUCUCUUCUCCUAUUCUUCCCCAUUUCUAUUUUCUUAGUAGCCAAACAGCCUCUGAGGGCUUUUCUGUUGGGCUUUGUGGAGCCUAGUUUUGUUUGAUCCGGUUUGACAACCCGACCCGAAUAAUAUUGCAUGGCCUUUUUAAUGGGAGAUUUAUUGAGGUCUGUUGGGCCCGUUUAGCCCAUUGUGGAACCACCUUUUGUAAUUAGGGUUUUUAGUAUGAUAGGGUUGUCAUGCUAUAUAUAUAUAGAGAAUAUUGUAGCCGCCAAGUUGUACUCUGUAUUCUUCCCUGAUAAUAGUGAUAUCCCUACAACUCCGUGGACGUAGGCAAAUUGCCGAACCACGUAAAUACUGUCUUGUGUGUGUGAUUGUUUUUUCUUUGGCGUGUGUUUUCUCUAAUUUUUUGUUUCUCACGGGUUGGGAAUUCGGUUUAAUUCCCUACAACUGGUAUCAGAGCCUAGGAUUAGGUUUGAGUGGGAGCAAUGGCAGAGGAAGCAGGAAAGGCGUCUGGAAUAGAAAAGUUUGAUGGCACAGACUUUGCGUAUUGGAGGAUGCAGAUUGAAGAUUAUCUCUAUGGGAGGAAAUUACAUUUGCCUCUUUUGGGGACAAAACCUGAGAGUAUGAAGGCUGAGGAAUGGGCGCUUCUUGACAGACAGGUUCUAGGAGUUAUUAGGUUAACUCUGUCUAGGUCUGUUGCACACAAUGUUGUAAAGGAGAAGACCACAGCAGAUUUGAUGAAGGCUUUGUCCGGUAUGUAUGAAAAGCCGUCCGCAAACAAUAAGGUGCAUCUGAUGAAGAAAUUGUUCAAUUUGAAGAUGACAGAGAAUGCAUCAGUAGCAUAACAUCUGAAUGAAUUUAAUACAAUCACAAAUCAAUUGUCGUCUAUAGAAAUUGAUUUUGAUGAUGAGAUUCGUGCUCUGAUCGUCUUGGCUUCUUUGCCAAACAGUUGGAAGGCAAUGAGGAUGGCAGUAAGCAAUUCUACAGGAAAAGAAAAGCUCAAGUACAAUGAUAUACAAGAUUUAAUUCUGGCUGAGGAGAUUCGCCGAAGAGAUGCAGGUGAAACCUCAGGAUCUGGUUCUGCCCUAAACCUUGAGACAAGAGGCAGAGGUAAUAACAGAAAUUCAAAUCAGGGUAGAUCAAAUUCCAGAAAUUCUAAUCGGAACAGAAGCAAAUCUAGAUCAGGCCAACAAGUACAAUGCUGGAAUUGUGGGAAAACAGGUUACUUUAAAAGGCAAUGCAAAAGCCCUAAGAAGAAGAAUGAAGAUGAUUCUGCUAAUGCUGUAACAGAAGAGGUACAGGAUGCAUUACUUCUUGCAGUAGACAGUCCACUUGAUGAUUGGGUUUUGGAUUCAGAAGCUUCGUUUCAUACCACUCCACACCGAGAAAUCAUACAGAAUUAUGUUGCAGGUGAUUUUGGUAAGGUGUAUUUGGCUGAUGGUUCAGCCUUGGAUGUUGUGGGUCUGGGAGACAUCCGGAUAUCAUUGCCCAAUGGGUCUGUUUGGUUACUGGAGAAGGUUCGACAUAUUCCUGACCUGAGGAGGAAUCUGAUUUCUGUUGGACAACUUGAUGAUGAAGGACAUGCAAUACUAUUUGUUGGUGGUACUUGGAAGGUUACAAAGGGAGCUAGGGUAUUGGCCCGUGGAAAGAAGACUGGUACUCUGUAUAUGACCUCAUGUCCAAGAGACACAAUUGCAGUUGCUGAUGCAAGUACUGAUACAAGCCUAUGGCACCGCAGACUUGGUCACAUGAGUGAGAAAGGGAUGAAGAUGUUGCUGUCAAAAGGAAAACUACCAGAAUUGAAGUCCAUUGAUUUUGAUAUGUGUGAAAGUUGCAUCUUAGGAAAGCAAAAAAAGGUGAGCUUCUUGAAAACUGGCAGGACACCGAAGGUUGAAAAAUUGGAACUAGUACACACUGAUUUGUGGGGGCCUUCUCCGGUUGCAUCCCUAGGAGGUUCAAGGUACUACAUCACUUUUAUUGAUGACUCAAGUAGAAAGGUAUGGGUUUAUUUUCUGAAAAAUAAAUCUGAUGUAUUUGAAACUUUUAAGAAGUGGAAGGCCAUGGUUGAGACAGAAACAGGUUUGAAAAUAAAAUGUUUGAGGUCAGAUAAUGGAGGAGAGUACAUAGAUGGAGGGUUCAGUGAGUAUUGUGUUGCACAGGGAAUUAGGAUGGAGAAGACCAUUCCUAGGACACCACAACAGAAUGGUGUGGCUGAGCGCAUGAACAGAACUCUCAAUGAGCGUGCUAGAAGUAUGAGGUUGCAUGCUGGACUACCAAAAACUUUUUGGGCUGAUGCUGUUAGCACUGCAGCUUACCUAAUAAACCGAGGACCAUCAGUUCCCAUGGAGUUCAGACUUCCUGAGGAGGUUUGGAGCGGUAAAGAGGUGAAGUUUUCACAUUUAAAAGUUUUUGGUUGUGUUUCUUAUGUUCAUAUUGAUUCUGAUGUUCGUAGUAAACUUGAUGCAAAGUCAAAAAUAUGUUUUUUUCAUUGGCUAUGGUGAUGAGAAAUUUGGCUAUAGGUUUUGGGAUGAACAAAACAGGAAAAUCAUCAGAAGUAGAAAUGUGAUAUUUAAUGAACAGGUUAUGUACAAGGACAGGUCGACUGUAGUGUCAGAUGUUAUAGAGAUAGAUCAAAAGAAAUCUGAGUUUGUCAACUUAGAUGAAUUGACUGAAAGUACUGUCCAAAAGGGGGGUGAAGGAGAUAAGGAGAAUGUAAAUUCACAGGUAGAUUUGAGUACACCUGUAGCUGAAGUUCGCAGAUCUUCCAGGAACAUUAGACCUCCGCAGCGUUAUUCACCUGUUUUAAAUUAUCUCCUGUUGACUGAUGGUGGUGAGCCAGAGUGUUAUGAUGAAGCCUUGCAAGAUGAGAAUUCAAGCAAGUGGGAGUUAGCCAUGAAGGAUGAGAUGGAUUCCCUGUUGGGGAAUCAGACAUGGGAACUGACUGAAUUGCCAGUAGGAAAGAAGGUUUUGCACAACAAGUGGGUAUACAGAAUAAAGAAUGAGCAUGAUGGUAGCAAACGUUACAAGGCCAGAUUAGUUGUUAAAGGGUUCCAGCAGAAGGAGGGCAUUGACUACACAGAGAUAUUUUCUCCAGUUGUGAAGAUGUCAACAAUUAGACUUGUACUUGGAAUGGUGGCUGCAGAAAACUUACAUCUUGAGCAGUUAGAUGUAAAGACAGCAUUCCUUCAUGGUGACUUGGAGGAAGACCUUUACAUGAUUCAGCCAGAAGGGUUCAUUGUUCAGGGACAAGAGAAUCUAGUCUGCAAACUGAGAAAGAACUUGUAUGGCCUUAAACAAGCUCCUAGACAGUGGUACAAGAAGUUUGACAAUUUUAUGCAUAGAAUUGGGUUCAAGAGAUGUGAAGCUGAUCAUUGUUGCUAUGUUAAGUCAUUUGACAACUCUUACAUCAUAUUACUGUUGUAUGUGGAUGAUAUGCUUAUUGUAGGGUCUGACAUUGAGAAGAUUAAUAAUCUGAAGAAGCAAUUAUCCAAACAGUUUGCAAUGAAGGAUUUGGGAGCUACAAAGCAAAUCCUUGGUAUGAGAAUCAUCAGAGACAAGACUAAUGGUACAUUGAAGCUUUCACAGUUAGAGUAUGUGAAGAAAGUUCUCAGCAGGUUCAACAUGAAUGAAGCUAAACCAGUAAGCACACCCUUGGGUAGUCAUUUCAAACUAAGCAAAGAACAGUCACCAAAGACAGAAGAAGAAAGGGACCAUAUGAGCAAGGUGCCCUAUGCCUAAGCUAUUGGCAGCUUGAUGUAUGCUAUGGUGUGUACAAGGCCAGACAUUGCACAUGCAGUGGGAGUUGUGAGCAGAUUCAUGAGUAGGCCUGGAAAGCAGCAUUGGGAGGCAGUCAAGUGGAUUUUAAGAUAUCUGAAGGGUUCAUUAGAUACAUGUCUUUGCUUCACAGGUGCAAGUUUAAAAUUGCAGGGUUAUGUAGAUGCUGAUUUUGUUGGUGAUAUUGAUAGUAGAAAGAGUACUACUGGGUUUGUUUUUACUCUAGGUGGUACAGCUUUAUCAUGGGCUUCAAAUCUACAGAAGAUUGUUACUUUGUCUACCACAGAAGCUGAGUAUGUUGCAGCAACUGAAGCUGGAAAGGAGAUGAUUUGGCUACAUGGUUUCUUAGAUGAAUUGGGUAAGAAGCAGGAGAUGGGCAUUCUACACAGUGACAGUCAGAGUGCAAUUUUUCUUGCCAAAAAUUCGGCUUUUCAUUCAAAGUCGAAGCAUAUACAAACAAAAUAUCACUUUAUCCGUUAUCUUGUUGAAGAUAAACUGGUAAUACUUGAGAAGAUUUGUGGAUCUAAGAACCCUGCAGACAUGUUGACUAAGGGUGUCACUAUUGAGAAGUUGAAGCUGUGCGCAGCUUCAAUUGGUCUUCUAGCUUGAGGACAGGAGGAUGAGUUGUAGGGAUGAGAGAUCGUUUCUUGGAGGAUAGCGGUUUGAUGUUGGUGAUUGGACUAGUCUCCAAGUGGGAGAUUUGUUGGGCUUUGUGGAGCCUAGUUUUGUUUGAUCCGGUUUGACAACCCGACCCGAAUAAUAUUGCAUGGCCUUUUUAAUGGGAGAUUUAUUGAGGUCUGUUGGGCCCGUUUAGCCCAUUGUGGAACCACCUUUUGUAAUUAGGGUUUUUAGUAUGAUAGGGUUGUCAUGCUAUAUAUAUAUAGAGAAUAUUGUAGCCGCCAAGUUGUACUCUGUAUUCUUCCCUGAUAAUAGUGAUAUCCCUACAACUCCGUGGACGUAGGCAAAUUGCCGAACCACGUAAAUACUGUCUUGUGUGUGUGAUUGUUUUUUCUUUGGCGUGUGUUUUCUCUAAUUUUUGUUUCUCACGGGUUGGGAAUUCGGUUUAAUUCCCUACAUUUUCCUCAGAGGACGAUUGGCUAAAACUUUUAGUUUCUCAAAGUAUGGAUGUUAUGUGAUGACUUGGAUGCAAUCCCAUGGAAAUUUCUCGCACUUGGAAGGUAAGGUAGUCGUUUUUCAUUAAAGGUUCAUUAAUGCAAAGUUUGGUUUUUAUUUCCUUUGGACAAUUUCCAACGGCCAAUACUUGAUAAGCUUUUGGAUUUCUAUUCAUUAGUUAUCUCCUACGAGCUAUCAGAAGGUGAGGUUUUCAAUUCCAAGUUUUGCAUUAAUCCGUUAGAACCAAUUUCAAUGGCCAUUGAAAGGUGAGUUUAUCACCUGGAAUGACUUUGAGUUGCCAAUAUUUGGUAAGCUUUUGGCUUUAGACCAUUAGUUAUCUCUUACGAGCCAUUCAAAGGAAGUCUAAGGUGAAUAACCAUUGAUGAAAUUCACUACCAUCUGUUUUGCCAUUUUAAAGGAUUAAAACUUGAUUUGCUAAAUCCAUACCGGUUCGGGAAGCAAGCAUCACCAUAGUUGCAACCCCAACGCGAGGAGCCUAUCCUGAGAUUUCCAAUUUGCAUAAGAGCCAGAGCAUAGCUAUCCUAUCUUUGAGAAACUUGUUUUUACACCAUUUCAUUUUAGUCUUUAAUGUUAGCUUAGAUUAGUUUAAAUCUUUCUAAAACAUUUACAUCUUCUUUUAAAGCUAACAUCCAUAAGAAAAUCACCUAUUUUCCUAAUUUGAAUAUUAUUUGUGAAGUGAAAACCCAUCCCAGUGAACGAUCCUAGAGCCACUAUGCUAUAGUAGCUUUGUCUCUGCUACCCUAGUACAUGGUGUAAUAGGUUAUAAAUUUUGUUGAUUACUCCCUCAUUCAAGGAGCACCAGCUAGACAUGAAUCAACUGAGACACCAAUUAGGCAUGAAUCACCUGUGGCGUGACGCCGUGACGAGUAGAUGGCAUUUGGAGAGCCUGAAAGACGCCUUAAUGGUGUCUUAACAGGGUCUGGAAACGACGUUGCAAAUGACGCCUGAAACGUGCUUUGAAUGGUGCCUGAAGUGGCCUUGAAUGCGCAACCAACUGGUGCAGUGAAGCGCGCCUUGAACAACGCCUGGUAUGGUGCCUGAAGUGCAUCUGAAACGACGCUCUUCACUGGCAUUGGAUGACCCUUGAACGACGUCUUAAACGCUUGUAAGGAGGCCUGCAACAACGCCUUCAAUACAUUAUAUAUAUAUGUAUACUACAGCCCAAAAGACCCAAGGUCCCCUGUAACCAAAUCAUGCGCUCAGCGCCAAACGAUGCCGUCGAUAGGGGACGAUGCCAAAAUGGCGUCUUUGACUGCGUUUUGACUGGAAGUGACGCCAAACGACAUCUUCGACUGAAGUGACGCCAAAUGGCAUCUGGAAACGACGCCUGUAAUGACGUCUAGAAUGACGCCUGAACGGCGUCGUUGGAAUGCCUAAAAAUGACGUCUCUUGAAUGCCUGAAUCAGCACCAAACGAUGCCCUUUUUGAGCACCAGACAGGCGAAAAAAUGGCACCCCUCAUCAGUGUUGCAAGCGUCACCCCCAUCACUGGUAGCGGUGCCCAAAUGAUGCCAUUUCCGCGCUGAGGUUCAUCUUUAUCCUUGCUGACCACAGCGCCAUUCCCUGAUCUCCCGAGACCCGAAUCUCACCCUCCCUAAUGGCCUCCGAAUCGCCACAGAAUUUCACCUCCUAGGUUGUGCCGCGGUUGUUAGUGUCUGGAUCUACUCUAGAAGCCACUUCGAGAGCAACGCCACCAAUGACAUGGCUCAUUUUCUGGAACGUAUGGUGUUCAAGGGCAUAGAAAAGAGGCCGACUAAGGGUUUUAGUGAAGGAAAUUGAGAGCAUGGCGAUCCCUUGAUGAUUUAAAAAAUCACAAUUUCUUAAUGAUUUUAACAUGCUGCUCUGAUACCAAUUGUUUAAUCAACCAUUAUAAAUCCAAGAACUUUACAUAGGAAUUAGGAAUCUCAUGUUAAAUCAUAUAAAGAAAUGUGCCUGAACAUUUUAUGGAAUGCGAACAUACUGAAUCCAGACUAACCUGAGUCCAUUGUGGGUGUAGAUGAAUAAGGUAUGGAUCUUCUAAGGCUAUAGAGGGUUAUCCACCUUCCAGUAAUCUCUCUGACGAUAGGAGCGAGAGAGAACGAGUUUUGUUCUUUAUUCAAAAGAUGUGAUCAUCUGAAGAAUAAACACUUAACCUUUAUGUACCCUCCCGCCUUAGGGACCAUACCUUUUGGGUUAUUGGGCCUCACGAGUCUUAAGCCCAUCAUCUAAGGACCGUGAUGGCAUUAGACUCUACACAUAAGGUGGCCUAUACUCUAGAUCAAUCAGCAAUCAUAUAUAUAUAUAUAUAUAUAUGGAUAGCUAAAUCCUGAAUAAUGGUUAAUAUGAUGUGGGUCCACAUUUAUUUUAACACUGUACAGAUCACGACAAGUACUCAGUGGAGUCUCAGUUCAUAACCCACAUAAUGGGGAGGGUUUUAGAGAGGUUCGGGUUAUAAUCAAGCUCCAUUAACACCAAAGGGUAUGAAACAUUGCUAAAAUUGGUGGAGAACACAGCCAAGGACAACUUUGAUUUGUACUAUGGGUUGUCCAUGUACAAUAAUAAUGCUAUGGAGUAGCUGGAGAAGUUGGAGUUGGCCUUUCAGUCUCUUAAGAGGGAACUUUUUGGGAAUUCGCAGUCUCUUUAUGGACGGAAGUUGUUUGAAGGAGAGUGAGAGGAGAGAGACCUAGCGCAAAAGCUGCUCCCUAAUAGUGUUUUGGAUUCUUGGAAACUUACAACUCUUUAGUUGGUUUGUUUAUCAUCUGGAGGAGUGCAAAUGCAAUAGAAUUAUUGAAAAUCAAAUUUCAUUCUUAUGAUUUAUCAUUUGUUUUUACUCUAAUGGCUUGGCAUGAGAGAAUUAGUAAUUUUUAAUUAACAAUGAAUUGGUAAUUGGUUUGAGAGAUUUUAAGAAGAAAAUUGGUAAAUAUAUUUUUUUUUGUUUAAAUAAUAUAAAAAAUAUAAGGAAAGAAAAUAUUUAGGUUAUAUUUAAGAAAUAAUCGAUAAAAAAAAAAUGAAAUAGUCCUCAUAUUUAUGAAUUUAUCCCUUAUGUUUUUGUUCGGAGAGUAACCGAUUUUUGAUAGAAGUGUUCUUAACUAUUUCAAGUUUUAAUAAUAUAUUAUAAAAUAUUAUUUUUACAAAAAAAAUAAAAUAAUAAUAAGGACAUUUUUAUCAAUAGGAGGGCAAAAAAAGGAUGAAGUGUUAGAUUUUUAAAAUUGAGUUUCCAAUGACCAUUUUAAUAAAAUAAUCUUAUAUUUAAAUUGAGUUUCUAGGAACUUUUUAUUUUUUAAAUAUUAAAAAUAUGAGGAACACUUUUUAUGAUAAUUGCUAAAAUAAAUUUUAAUUUAAAAAAAUUAGAGGAAAGAAAAUAAAAAGGAAAAAUAUAAAGAAAAGAAAAGAUUUCAAGCCAAUAAUUUUUUUUUUUUUAGACUAAGACUUUUUUUAGAAAGAUAUCAAAAUAUAAAAUUCACCUUCUUCAUUUGUUAAUGUUGUAAAAGGCAAAGUUAUUAUUAAAAUAACUUAAGAAAAAAAAAAAAAAACCCCUACCUUUCUCCUCCAUUAAUUUAUUCAUUCGAUGUGGGUACAAAUCCUCCACUCACAUGCCCCUCUUGUAAGACCUUAGAAAGCUAAGAUUAGUGGCUUAGUCAUUGUUCUCCCUUUCCUCUUCUAAAGAGACAGUAAAACAUUAAUCUAAUUAAUAAUAUAUAUAUAUAUAUAUAUAAUAUGGUAUAUUGUACAACUUUUAAAAUUAAUUAUAAUAAAGACAUUAAAAAUAACAUUUGAGAUGAGGAUAAUUCAAUAUGAUAAUAUUUUUUUUGAGCUAAUAAGAGAAAUAUGUAUAACCCUAUGGGAUACAAUUAUAUAUUAAUAUGGUAAAAUCGUUCAAAAAUUAAUUUUUAAAUUGAAUUAAAUAUAUAACCUCCUUAAUAUGGCAAUUUCUUUUUUACUUUUAUAACGAACUUUUCUAUAUAUUCAAACCUAUUUUGCAUAUAACAGUUAAAUUACUUCACUUCUAAACAAUUAGGAUAUUCGAUUUUAUUAGAUGAGAAAUAGGUAUCUUAGGAUAUAAUUUUAAAUAAGAUAUAAUAUCCUUAUAUAUUAAAUUUAAUGAAUGUUAUAUCUAAGAUAACAUAUUUAAUAAAAUACGUUAUAUUAUGCUUAUAUUUAGUUUAUAAAAUAAAAAAAUAAAAAAAGUAAAGCAUAUAUUAUUUUAAAUACUUAAAAUGAAAAUUAUAUUGCAUUUCAAUAUUUUCUAUUUUAGAAAACAUGAAAAUUUGUUUCAAUAUUUAUGAUUAAAACAUUUAAACUUUGUAAAUAAAAGUUUUUUUAUUAUGUUAUUCAAUAUAUAUAUAUAUAUAUAUAAUAUUAAAAUUAUUUUAUAAAUAUUUUUCAGUUCUUAUUUUUUAAUCAUAAAUUUAAUUUUAUACUAAUUUUUAUUUUAUUUUAUUUUGUAAGAUCAUUAAUAUAAAAAAAUAAAAAUUAAUAAAUAAAUUUAUGAUAUAAGAGAUAUGUAUAUUCUACAUUUUAAGUUUGGAUUAAAAUAUCAUAUGUAGUUUGGCACAUGGGCACAAAAGGCGACUUGUAGUUGAUUGCUUCCCUUCGUAUGAUCAAAAUCUCUAAAAAUCCUAUUGUUCCACCAAAUAGAUGUAUGCUCGUUUGCUAUCAAAUGGAAAAGGAAAACCUAUGGUAUAUGAAUCUGGAUAUUGUCCACAAAGGAAAACCUUAGGUUGUUCAAGUUUCUCAGGUCUCCUAUUUGGCAUUCAUCAUUAUGAUCAAAAUCUAGAUAUUGCUAUCGAAUAAGAGAAACAGCUUAUCAUCUCCACUGUUCUUAUGACUGUGGGAGUUGCAAUUGUUAGUUGGAUUGCCCUUCCAUCAUCCUUCACAAUCUUCAAUUUUGGCUCUCAGAAAGUUGUGAAGAAUUGGUAAGGUUUACAUUGUUAAUUCCUUGGAAAAAAUGGAUAUACAUCUACUAACUCAAUUUGGGUUUGCAGGCAGCUGUUCUUGUGUGUGGGUGUUGGUCUUUGGGCUGGACUUAUUAUUGGGUUUGUAACUGAGUAUUACACUAGCAAUGCAUACAGGUAUCUAUAAUCUCACUGAAUUCCUGCCUUGUUAUAGUCUUCAGCUUUCCUACUCUGAUUCUUGUGUUUCUUUUAUUUGCAGCCCUGUGCAAGAUGUGGCUGAUUCCUACAGGACUGGAACUGCCACUAAUGUCAUCUUUGGCCUUGCUUUGGGAUACAAAUCUGUCAUCAUUCCUAUUUUUGCUAUUGCAGUUAGUAUUUUUGUUAGUUUCAGUUUUGCUGCCAUGUAUGGCAUUGCAGUGGCAGCCCUAGGAAUGCUGAGUACCAUUGCUACUGGGCUUGCUAUUGAUGCUUAUGGUCCCAUCAGUGACAAUGCGGGAGGAAUUGCCGAGAUGGCUGGCAUGAGCCACAGAAUCCGAGAGAGAACUGAUGCACUUGAUGCCGCAGGCAACACCACUGCUGCCAUUGGGAAGGUAAAUCACAUCUGUAGGUUGGUUCUAAUGUUGUCAUUGAAAAGUGUCUUAUCAUCACAUGCAUUAUGCAAGGUACAAAUCCAUGAAGGGUAAGUAUCCUUAGCCGAAAGGCUCAUCCUAUCAUGCAUAUGGCUUUUGACUAGGCCUAUAAAUUGAUGAAACUCAAUUUUUGAAUUUGGAAUAAAAUAUCUCAGUAUAAAUUUUCAGAGUGUGUAGAGGCGUUGUAGUUCAUUUUUGUGUUAAACUAAUGCCAUUCCUACGAGCAGUAAGCCAGAAGGUUCUAUUCACAACUUGUAAGUGGUGAGCUGCCUGUUGGUUAUCUUAACUAAUGUGAAGCAAACUCAGUCCGUACAAUGCAGCUUUGCUGUGUAAUUUGUUAUUGAAAUCUAAUUGUGUACAUUUCUUUUAGCUUCACUUAGCUGUUUGUAACUUCAUUUUUUAUGUUUGAUUUACAUUUGUUCUCAGGGAUUUGCAAUUGGAUCUGCGGCACUCGUGUCUUUGGCACUGUUUGGUGCCUUUGUAAGUCGUGCAUCGAUCUCAACUGUUGAUGUCUUGACUCCAAAGGUCUUCAUUGGUUUGCUUGUUGGUGCAAUGCUUCCUUACUGGUUCUCAGCCAUGACCAUGAAGAGUGUGGGAAGUGCAGCUCUUAAGAUGGUUGAGGAGGUUCGCAGACAGUUCAACACCAUUCCAGGUCUGAUGGAGGGCCUCGCCAAGCCUGAUUAUGCCACUUGUGUCAAGAUCUCUACUGAUGCAUCCAUUAAGGAGAUGAUUCCACCUGGUGCCCUUGUCAUGCUCACACCCCUUAUCGUUGGGACCUUCUUUGGCGUGGAGACUCUAUCUGGAGUACUAGCUGGCUCCCUUGUUUCUGGUGUCCAGGUAAUAUCAUGAUCAUUAAAUGUAUAAUUGGAAUUUCAUGGUUUCUGAUCUAUUAAAAAAAAAAAAGUAGUUUAUCUUAAAAAUAUCAUGAAUUAUGCGAAGAAAAGUCAGGGUUGAAUUUAAGUUAGUGAAAUUUGGGAACAAAAUCUUGUUAGGUGUGUUUAGCAAUAUAGACAUGCAUGAGUAGUCAGAGACUUCGCAAAUUAACAAAAUGCUUAUCUGAAGCACUUUCUAGGAGCUUUGUUUUUGGCUGUUAAUUGAAAUUUUAUUUUCUGAUUUGCUCUUUUGGAUGUGUGCUUUUAACCGAUAGCAAUCUCUGCUUCUAACACUGGCGGUGCAUGGGAUAAUGCCAAGAAGUACAUUGAGGUAAGCAUACGCUGAAGUGAGGCUAUAGGUGGUUUCCUCUCUUGGCCCGUGUUUACUGUUAUUAUUGCUUUGACGAUAUUAUUCAAUUGAGUGGUAAUUUUUGGAAUUUUGUUGUUAGGCUGGUGCUUCCGAGCAUGCAAGGACGCUUGGCCCAAAGGGGUCUGAUCCACACAAGGCAGCUGUGAUUGGUGACACCAUUGGAGACCCACUGAAGGACACCUCAGGCCCAUCGCUCAACAUCCUUAUCAAGCUCAUGGCAGUGGAGUCUCUCGUCUUUGCUCCCUUUUUUGCCACUCAUGGUGGGUUGCUUUUCAAGAUCUUCUGAGGAAUGGGAUGAUGAAAAAUACAUGGGCAAAGGGGUGAUUAGCCCUUUUUUCCCCAGUAUUUAUUGGGCACCUCUUACCAAUUCAUCUAAUCUCCAUAUCCAUCCAUCCCCACAUUGUGGGUUUUUCAAGUUGGUUUCUAUGUUUAGGGAAAUAUUAUUUUUGAAGGGCUGAUGAUGAUGAUGAUGAUAAUCAUGAUUGGUAAGGGAGGACAGGCAAAAUGGUUUUAACUGUCACAGAAGAGUCAGGAUGGUAGCGUGUUACUUUUCUUUAUACCUCUUUUUAGAACAGCUCUGUUCCUAAUUUCCUUGUAACCUUAUCCUUUUUUCCAUUAAAAGCAAGGAGAACAUGUUCAUCAAUUUUGGGUAUUUUGGCUGUCCAUUAGUGUGGAGCUUUGUAGUUUUUGUUUGGGUUAAAUGCGUGCAGGGCCUAGGUAGAUGGAAAAUGAUGCCGGUCUUUUUAACUCUUGGAUUUUAGCUUUAUCAUCUCCAAAUUUUAAAAAAAUAGAUAUAUAAGGUAUGUUUGUUAAAUGAUGUCUAACUGUUUUAUUAGUAGUUGAUUUUAGUGAAUUAUAACUUUUAUUAAUAGUUUAUUAAUAGUGAUUGAGACAGGCAUUGUUGAC